AACAACAAACUCUUGGAUCUAAAGAUGGCGCCGAUUGUAGCUGAAACGAAGCCCAAAACUAAGAUCGUGUGCACCCUUGGACCUGCAUCUAGGUCUGUGCCGAUGGUCGAGAAGCUUCUACGAGCAGGCAUGAACGUUGCUCGCUUCAACUUCUCUCAUGGUUCCCAUGAAUACCAUCAGGAAACCCUAGAUAAUCUUAGAGCCGCCAUGGAGAACACUGGUAUUCUCUGCGCCGUCAUGCUCGACACUAAGGUACUGUUCCUCUUUCGAUUUUGUUUUUAUUUUACAUCUUGAUUUUCCUUUUAUAAUUUUCAAUGCUUUUUUUAUUUGAAUUUGAAUAGUGUGUGUGUGCCUGUAAGGUUAAUCUGUGAUUUAUAUGAAUCAAUCAAGCGACAACUGAGAGCAGGUUGAUUUUGAACUUAUAUGGAUAAAAUUAAAUUUUAGUAAUUCAUAGUGACCUUACAACUAUAAGAUUAGGUCAUGUUUGGAUAAACAACUUAUUGAAGUGGUUAUAGCAUAAUCACUUAUCAUAUAACUAAUUAUGUACAAAAGUUAAAAUAAAGUCAAACUGUUUUCAUAAAAGCUAAUGACUGUUUUUGUAAGCUACUUUGGACGGCUUAUGGAAAUACGAUGAAAACAAAAAUCUUAUUGUGGAUCUGUCUUAGUUUUUACUAUAAACUCUUUCAAACAUCAAUCUAAACAAAAUCUAGUUGUUUUAACACUUUUGCGCUAUGCAUAUAGUAAGAUAAGAGCAUCUACUAUGCUUGGUGAUUCUUACUCGAUUCUUAAUCUUAUAUUUAAGAAUCUGUUUUUGGUGAAUAUUGUUAUUUGAGGGGGAUGAGAUGAAUGGUGUACUAGACUCUGUUGUCAAAAGCAGCCGGAGCGGCCGCUAUUGCAGCACGGCUUUUUUUCAGGCCACCACUCCUAGGCACGCUGGUGCGUCGUGAAUGGGUGAAACGGUCAAAGCGGCCAGUUUCACCGCGAACUAAGCAGUGUGGUUUGGGGUCAAAGCAGCCGUGUUUUUUGGUUUAAGCAUUGAAAGAAGAGAAGGAGAAAAAAAAAUGAAAGAAAUGUGAAGAAUGACAUAGGAAGCAUGAAGCUGAAGCCUACCCUUCUUCUUUUGACCACGAAGUCAUCUCUCUCUCUCUCUCUCUCUCUCUCUGUAUGGUGAAAGCAGGCGGAGGCUGGUGGGAGAGAUGAAAAUUAGGGUUAAUUUAUUUAUUUUUUUACAAAAUUAGGGUUAACUUUUUAUUCUUUUGUCAUAAUAUAUAUUUUGGGCCGGACCCAUAAUGAUCUAAUCCAACAAACCCAACAUGAUAAGUAAAAACAAGUGGUGGUAUUAGUACUAUAUAUUAAUUCUAAAUAUAUUCAUUUAUACUAAUACUAAAUAUAUUUUAUAUUAAUUUUAAUAAUAGAAAUCAAUUAAUUAUUUUUUUACAAUAAAAAAUCAAUUAAUUAUUUUUAAUUUUUAAUUUAUAUCAAAUGAUAAAAGUGGAAGCAAAUACUUUUGUUUUCAAUCUUACAUGGAUGCUUAAUAUUAGUAAAACUCAAUGUUGAGCAUACUUGUAAUGUUGAGUGUUCUAUUAAUUAGUAAACACACUUAAGUGUUCCAUAGUCCUGAAGAAUAGUUCAAGAACAUUAUGACUUAAAUGUUUGGGCAUGUCAUGUUUCCUAUGUUUUACUAAAUGUUGAGUUGGUGCAAAUUCAAUUCAUUACUAUUCAUGAACUCCAUUAAGUGAAACCUGCAUUGUCAUGUUCUUUCAUUUUGUAUCUUUCAUUUAUGUAUCUACUUACACUGGUGUAGGGGCCUGAGAUUCGAACUGGAUUUCUCAAGGAUGCCAAGCCUAUCCAACUGAAACAAGGUAAAGAAAUAACUAUUUCGACCGACUAUAGCAUAAAGGGUGAUGAGAAUAUGAUCUGCAUGAGCUACAAGAAGUUGGCUGAGGAUGUGAAGCCGGGGAGUGUCAUACUCUGCGCAGAUGGAACCAUAUCAUUUACAGUUUUAUCAUGUGACAAAGCAGCUGGUUUGGUUCGAUGCCGUUGUGAGAACUCUGCCAUGCUUGGUGAGAGAAAGAAUGUUAAUCUUCCUGGAGUCGUUGUUGAUCUACCAACUUUGACUGAGAAAGACAAGGAAGAUAUCAUGGUAUGGGGAGUUCCCAAUAAAAUUGAUAUGAUUGCGCUUUCGUUUGUUCGAAAAGGUUCUGAUCUGGUGCAAGUUCGCAAGUUGCUGGGGAAACAUGCUAAGAACAUACUUCUCAUGUCAAAGGUAUGGUAUUUUGUGGUUUUAUUUCAUGAUAAUGAAAAUUGAUUGUUGAGCUGUUUUAAAAAUAUAUUAAGAGUUAUGAAUCAGACAUGAUAUAAUAGAGAUGCUUAUUGAAUCCACAUUAAUGUGUGCUAUUGGGCUUCAUCUAACAAAAUUCAGGAUGUUCUUUAAAGAAACUAUGUUUUUAGUACCUAGCAAUAUUUUCUAUCUCUCGUAUGUGUUAUGUUUAAUUACUUAUUUCUAAUUGUUUUUCCUCUGUUACUUCUAAAUGUAUGCGGCAGGUUGAAAACCAAGAAGGAGUUGCAAAUUUUGAUGAUAUCCUUGCAAACUCUGAUGCAUUUAUGGUGGCACGUGGUGACCUUGGAAUGGAAAUUCCAAUAGAGAAGAUAUUUCUCGCACAGAAAGUGAUGAUUUAUAAGUGCAAUAUCCAAGGAAAACCAGUUGUUACUGCGACCCAGAUGUUGGAGUCAAUGAUCAAAUCUCCCAGACCAACCAGAGCUGAAGCUACUGAUGUUGCGAAUGCAGUUCUUGAUGGCACAGACUGUGUCAUGCUUAGUGGUGAAACUGCUGCUGGAGCAUAUCCAGAACUUGCUGUUCGAACCAUGGCUAAAAUAUGUGUUGAAGCUGAGAGCACCAUUGACUAUGGAGAUGUAUUUAAAAGGAUAAUGGAGCACUCACCAGUACCAAUGAGCCCAUUGGAGAGUCUAGCUUCUUCUGCUGUUAGAACAGCCAAUUCAGCUAGAGCAGCUCUCAUAUUGGUUUUAACUCGAGGAGGGACUACUGCAAAAUUGGUGGCUAAAUAUAGGCCAGGCACGCCUAUCCUUUCUGUUGUUGUUCCUGAGCUUACGACUGAUACCUUUGAUUGGUCAUGUAGUGAUGAGUCCCCUGCGAGACAUAGCUUGAUAUUCCGAGGAUUGAUUCCAAUAUUAAGUGCAGCUUCUGCUAGAGCUUCUCAUGCAGAAACAACAGAAGAUGCAAUAGAAUUUGCACUUCAAUGUGCCAAGGGAAAGGGACUCUGCGUUAAUGGGGAUUCUGUCGUGGUUCUGCAUCGUGUGGGCACUGCAUCAAUCAUCAAAAUCUUGACCGUGAAAUGAUCUCUCAAUAUAAGUAUUAUUUCUGUUUUUUGGCAGCCUAUUUUUAUGAUGGGAAAUAAUGAACUACUAUAUUAUACCAUCUCCGGUCUAUAAUGGAUGCAAAACAUCAAUUAGAUGCUUUUAUUGGGGUUUCCCCUAUUUUACACUUAUCCGCAUAUCACUGUUUCCUUACUAUUGUUAUCUUUGAGACAAGUUGUGAACUCUUAAUUUUUUUGAGAUUAUGUAUGAACCUUAUGGUACUCGAAGAUAUGGCCAACUUUUGGCUUUUGAUAUAUAUGUUGGCAAAAAAAUGCAAUAUAUAUCUUGGUUUUUCAUUUUAACUUUUGGUUUUUCAUAUUUAAUUAUUAUUCAUCCUUAUGAAAUCUAAUGAUUUGGUCUUUUAAAUAUUCAUAAAAUUUCAACUAUAUGUUUUAAGAGUAGAGCUAUUUAGUACGGCGAAAAACUGGCAAAUGUGUAAUAUCCUCCUCUCAGGCUCUCACUGUCUCGUACCGUAUGUGUUAUGUUUUUAGGGAACCAAAAAAAAAAAUCCAACACUCAGUACGUUGUGUUUUGACUGUGUUAACAUCAAGCACAAUUCUUGUUUAAAUAUAGACAAGUUUGAUACCAUUGGUUUUUGGCAACCAUUCAUUCUGGCUCACCAAAUUUUAUUUUACAAACCCCAUAGUAAGGAUGAAAUCACAAGAAACAAAAAGUGCCAAUGCUUUUUCUGUUCAGGUACCCCCAAAAGUGAAGGACUAUUUUGAACUUCACUAAUUGGAUGUAGCAACUCAGUAAAUUAGAUGUUUAACUUCUUUAUGAUUACUACUACUAAUAGUACUAGAAAAUGUGUGUAUCAUCAAGUAAUGACACAGUUGCUUAAAUAUUCAGCUCACAGAGAAAGGCUACACGUGACGUAAGUGAUGACUAUAAAAACAGCCACUGCUUAUGAAAUACUACCAUCAAAUAUAAUUUAUAUUAUUUUUUUAUAAAAUUUCCAUCAAAUCUCUGUUGAAACUAAACUCACCAUAAAAUAUAAGUUAAAGGAUUUUGAAUUCGUUAAUCAUAGAUUUUAUACCCUUGUUUUUAUUUUGUCCCCCCUAUAAUCAAUGAUGGUAUUGACCAGCAUGAGUUACAUACAUAUUCAACAUCUUUCCAUUUAAUAAGUAAAUAUGAACACUAACUGAUUUCAUAGCAUCUUUAAUAUUGUAUAUAUAUCCUCAUGGUCUAGUUUAAAAAAUAAUUAAAUAAAAAAAUGCCUGCUACUUGACUAUGGAUUCACUAACUAGCGCCUCCUAAUCAAUCACUGCAACAAAAGAGGCAAGAAAAACCCCGGAACAAGUUCCAGACAUAUUUUCCACCUAUAUAUGCAGCAUGGAAAACUAGGGUGCAGCAUGCCGAACUGCUUGCUCAUAUGCAGAUCUGUCAAAAAUGUACUAGAUUGGUUUCUUCCUAAGCUGAAUUUUCACAGACAUAGUCAGGUAUUGCUUCACGGCAAAACCUUGGAUUNNNNNNNNNNNNNNNNNNNNNNNNNNNNNNNNNNNNNNNNNNNNNNNNNNNNNNCAAUGAGAAAGUUGCCAACAGAUACAUAUGGUACAAGACCCCACUCCCAUACAGGCUGCUGCUAUAACGAGAAAGAAACUCAUACCAAUACAGGAGUGAGAACAAUGCAUUUCGGUCUCUAUUUCAAACGAGUUCCAUCUUUUGAUUUAUACAUUCUCUUCCUGCAAGGAUCAAAAUACAUAAGUUACCAACUAGACAACUCUGAUUUGGGUGGGUCAAGAUGCCGGUAGACAACUACACAUGCCACCAGUGUUUUUAAGAAACAAAUGUGAGAAAUAUUAAUAAUGGAAAUGAUCUAGUUCUAUUGAAACUGUAUUUUUAUACAGAAAACAUAUAUAUGCAGUAUUGGCAAACAAUACUAGAAAUAAUGGUAUAGAGCAAGUGAAUUUUCUUGCAUAUCUAAGAAUUUCUGAGGUCAUUCCAUUUAUAUUAUCUUCAUUUAGAUCAUUUCUAUCCAGUUUCAUGCUUCUUCGUUCUUGACUUAGCCAACAAGAACUUAAGGGGCAGAUAUCUAACAAUCAUAGUGUGACAGCAACCUAAAUAGGAAAGAGAUUCACUUGUAGUUUUUAAAAUGGAAUUGUGUCUAAAAUAAAGAAAAAACACAUCCUCUUGCAUAUUCUAUGGCCUGGAAAGACUAUUUACUAUUCUGAAGAGCAAUAUCCGGCCUCGGUAGAAGGAACUACUAGCUAAGGUGAUGAGAUUUGAGAAAUUACAACGUCCUCGAGACCAGGCUUGCACCAGUCAGCAGUCACAGUAAUCGUUGAAAAGUAAUAAAACAAGUGGAGAAAACAAAGACAAUCAUGGGAUUAUCAAGAGUGUACUCUAGGAACAUUUGAAAGCCUUGAUAGUGAGAUGUCGUAACUGGGAGUAAGAUUACAAGGAAAACUAGAACAACGAAAAAUAUAACAAGAUAAAGAAUAAACAAGAGUAUCAGGAAACAUAAAAGGGUAGGGAGUACGGUCCCAUAACACAUAAGAGGGAAUGCAGCUAAUCAAAUAAAAUAAUAUGAUCUAACAUCACAAGUCAAAAUGCAUGAGUAAAGUCUGCAUUGUUUUAACUAAAUGAAGAAUUUUAUGCUUAGUGAUUCCAUUUUGUUGUGAAAUAUGAAGAAAUUGUUCACUGCAAAGAUUCCCUAUAUGGUCGUGAAUUCUUGUAAAGGAAUAGAUGCCUUUAACAUUGACACUGAGAAUAAUUAUGGAUUAAAAACAUCCAAAUGCAACUGAAUAACUGACAACAAAAAUUACAAAUACAGAAAUAAAAAACUAGAGUUGACGCAGCUCAACCCUAAAUGUCAUCAGCUCCAUAAUUUGGAAGACAAGAAAAGGAUACAAAAUUGUGCUUUCCUUUUUGACAAGACUCAUUAAAAAAAAAAAACCAGUAGNNNNNNNNNNNNNNNNNNNNNNNNNNNNNNNNNNNNNNNNNNNNNNNNNNNNNNNNNNNNNNNNNNNNNNNNNNNNNNNNNNNNNNNNACCAGUAGAAUGGAUAGAAUAUGGACCUGAAAGCAUUAGAGAGAAACAUGGAGCAGUACAAAUUGCAGAAAAGAUAGUAGAGUUUCGUCUUAGGUGAUUUAGGCAUGUGUUGAAAAGAUCUAUAGAAACAAUAGUAAGGAAGGUAGACAGAAUAGAGGAUAGUCCAAUUGUAAAAAGUAGAAGGGUACCAAAGAAAACUAUAGAACAAACUACUACAAAGAAUUUGGAGUUAACAAGUUUAUCAUUAGCAUAUUCAUUAUAGAACAUUAUGAUGUUAUUUGACCCAUGUAGUUGUCUCCAACUGCAAGAAAAAGUUUUGGUCGUUGAUGAGGUUGUUAUUUUUGCCAUAGAGAUAAUAAAUAAGAUCAGGAAAAACAUCAAUGUAAACGGAUUUUGUCUUAAAUCAGGUAGUUGACUAAUUUUGUCUUUAAUCGACUUUUGAUCCAAAGAAAUUGCCUGUUCUUAAGAUGUGACCUAGAGUCCAAUAUGUGGAAACUCCGCACAAACCAGGAGACAAGAAAGGUCGUUGGAAUAAAAGCAUAACUGAAACUACAAGUUGUUUCACAAUUUACAUAUAGCAGGCAUGACAAGAAAGUAUCACCGUUUAACCCUGAUCCCACUAUGAUUAUGACAAAAGUAUCUAAAAUAAAAUCUCUAAAGGGAUCCCUGUUAAAGUUUUUUUAAAAAGCAAUAAAAGUUAAUAAAACGUCACAGCAGACAUCCAUCCGGGUCAUUCAGUAUAAUGCGUACAUGAUCAAAAUUCUCAGUAAACUGUUAUAACUUAUAUGAGAUCAAGGUAAAAGAGGUUCUAGGCAAAGUAAUACAGAUUGAUGAUGUUGCAAAAAGAUAAGACUACAAAAGCAUAUACAAUAAACAAAUACCUACAUCCACAGCCUGAAAAGGUCUCUCCAUGGACGUCUUCUGAGAGACUCCAGUGGCUGAUGUUGACCCAUUCGGGGUAAUGUCAUGAUUGGGCAUCUAGAAACAACCAAUUAAAUGAAAUAGAUAAAGCCUAAUGAAGUUUAUCAAAACAGUAAGAAUAUGAUAACAAAUAUUAAAUUAAAUCCCUAUAAUGAAGGUUCCUGGAAAAAUUCCAAGAUAUAUCAAACUCUUUCAGUGUAAAACCUUAAAACUGUCAGUGGGAGUGGAAUGCACCUUUAAAACAUGUUAGAGACUAUACUGGUACCAAUAAAUAGAGCCCCCCCUCGAGGAAUGGGUAAAAAUUGAUUGGUUUGACAAAUUAGGCAGAACUUUUAUUCCUUCUUUGGGAUAGGUGUAACUCAAAUCACAAUGAUAAGUAGAAACCUAAAGUUCACCAGCAAAACUUAAUUUCCUCUGAAAAAGUUUUCAUUUCUUCCUUGUCAUUGUCAUCAAUGUAUAUCCAAUAAAACUUCACAAAGCGGAUAUUUACUGACAGGGUUCCUAAAAGAGGUAGAGUGGCAACUAACUACAGAUUAUACAGGAAUUUAUUCCCAGUUUCAUUUAUCUUUAUUCAUUUACCCAGCAGAAAAUAUCCAUAGCCGAACACAUUCUAAAGCACCAAAUAUCUCACUCUUACCAAGAAAUCCGUUCUAGGUUCGUUAUCUCAAAACUUACUACAGGACCAAGAAUAACUUGUAUACAGUUAUUUUAUUUUUGAAUCGUAUACAGUUAUUUUCUUAUCAUCAGAGAAAACUAUAUUAAGAAUACUUUUGUAGUAAACUCUGCUGUGUCCCUGCGGGCACUUUAUUAACCACUGGAUUGUGCACCGAGGAUUAAUCCAAUACUGAAAAUACCUGGCAACAAGUUAGGGUACUGGUACAUUUGAAAUGCCAGUGUAGAAAAUAUUGCCUCCCUAUAGACUGUUACGGGUAAAAUUGCAAAGUGUAGUGUCUAACCAAUACCAACUGAAAGUUAAUCAUUGAAGCAAACAUAAACAGAUAUAUGUUUAUGCGAAAAAUUUAGCAUACCCCGCAUGUAGAUUUGUUUUCUUGACUAUCUUCAAACAGGGAUGAGUAGUAUGCUGGAUCAUAUAUAGAGCCUCCAAGUAUCUCAUUGGAAUCAGAGAUUUGCCUUGCUACUGCAGGUGUCACGGGACUCAGAAAACUACUCCGUAAGUCAAAAUCUGCUGCUCGAGAAGAUGUGUCCACAUAGGAUGCACCCAGCCUAUAAAUUUGAAUCCAUAACAAUGAGGAUGAUAGCCUCACUAUGAAACCAGCAAUUUGCAUAGCCAGGGUAAGUUUCAAAGAAAAUAUGAAAAAUUUGGCAUAAUCGGCGGAAGAAAUAUUCCUGCAAACACACAUAAAGAUUUUCAUCAGAUAUGAAUCAAAAGCACAGUCAUGAUCACUUGUUUGAUUCAUACAAGCAUCAAAAAUUGGUUAAUGUGAAGUGUGAACAUAUAUACUCUACUCUGCUCACUAUAAUCACAGUGACUUCAUAUUGAUAAACAGUACUGGGUGCAAAAAAAGUUAGCAGUGACGUGACUAGAGUGCAUUAUGAUGACAAAUUUUUUUCAUCAAUCAAGAUAACCAAAGGGCACGUGAUGAUCAAAGGAUACUGGCUAUAAAGGUGAACAAGAAUCCUGCAACCACGUCAUUGGCACAAACAACCAAACUAGGCUAGUGGCAAAACUUGUUGAGAUACUCAGCAACAAAGUGAUGGGUUUUAUGUGAAUAAAACGGUAAUAAAGAUAAAGAGAUUUGUAUUACUGUGAAAAGAACGGAAUACAAGCAAACGAAAAUAGAACGUAUUGAUAGCGACGGCUAUCAACCCUAAAAAGCAACAAAGUGCUUCCCAAGCCACAAAGUGACCCCCACAAAAUAACCAAUUCUAGCAUGAAUAUUAUUCCCUCACUGACACCACCUUUAUAGCACUCACUCCCAUGCACAUCAUCACUUGUCCACCUCAUCAUUCCUAAUUCUCUUUCCUUUCUUUGGUUUGGGCUCAACUUCAAGGCCCAUCUCUUGAUCCAUGUUUCUAUCACAAUGUUAGUACAGAACAAAAUAAAAUACCAUUGUUUUUGAUUUUUGAGCUUGGAAUUGCAUUUCUUAGGACUUGUGCUUAUAUUUGAAAUUUUAACUCAAAUAUACACACCAAACAAGAUAACUUGAACUGGGAAGAAGUUCAAUUCCAUUUUCAAGGCUCAAUUCCAUCCACCAAAUGGCAGCUCAAAAUAUUCCAAUUUCCAACACAAUAGCAUAUGUCAACAAAUGAAAUUGCAAAUAAGCACGUUAAGUUUCAUGCAACUCUGUUAGCAACACAGUGAUUUGCAUCACAUCAUUCCACAAAAAUCCCACACAAAAGUCAUUAUCAUUAUUCUGCUUUAAAAAGAGACAUGAUUUCCCAGUGGCUCGGGUGUAUUUCAGUGAUUUGCAUCUCAUNNNNNNNNNNNNCGCCACACCCAUUUCUCUAUAUAACCGGAUACCACGCCUACACCAAAUAAAAUGCCUCGGUGGUGUCUAACCAACUGCAAUGUGAGAUAUAUGUAUAUUACACAUGUCUGCAUGAACAUCGCCAUAAAAUGUUUUCAUUCCCUUUUUUCCAAAAAUGCCACAAGAGUAUGACCCCGACCCAAAGGUCUUCCAAAAAUCCCAUACAAAACCAUAACUUUGCUUUAACAAGCCACAAAGGCAAGUGGUGCGAAAGAAACCUAAUUUUCCUAAUGAUCAAGUGUGAUUCGUCCAUGAAUCAUCAAUAUUCACUCUUCACACCAUACAAUCAAACAAUCCAGUGGCGAAACUCACUCACACACACUACUAAAUGUGACUGCAACCUCCUAUCAUCAUAUCUAACCAAUACAUGAUGUGAAAUUCAUAUUACAUAUUAUCUACGUGGCAAUCAAAUUAUUAAGUAAUUGGUCUGAAAUGUGAGUUAAAAACAUGUAUAAAAGAAGAGAAAAAACAUAACAUACCAAAUUUCAUGAGUGAAGAGAAUGAACCAAGAAAUGUCAAGCAAUAUAGAACAAAAGAGAAGAAAAGCAUAGGUGCGACCAAGGCUCUGACUGCUACUCUCAAUUGCAACCAAAGCGAACAAUGCAAUUGCAAGAUUUAUAAGCGACACACCAUUGUAAGAUGCUCCAAGCGAUCCAAUUAACGCGCAUCCAAUCUUGCAUUUUAUUUUUUCCAAUAAACACAUUAAAAUCAUCAAAUAAAUAAAUAAAUCAUAAGAUAAGAAAAAUGUUAUUAUUAUUAUUAUUAUUAUUAUUAUAAUUAUACCUGUAUGUAAAUGAGGAUUACAGCGAAUGACUGAAGGCUAUCGUAAUCGCGUAUCCAUGGUUGUAUUCGAUCUCUCAAAUUGCAACAACAACAGCAACAAAGCAUCAUAAAUAAUAUUUACUGUGUGUGUGCGCGCGUGUGUGGUUUUUUAAGAUUAAAAAUCAAUCGGAAUGCAUCGUCGUCGUUGUUGUUAUCGGUGAGGUUUUCUUAGAAACAAGAACGUUGUGUUGUGUUGUGUUGUGUCGUUUGCAGAGUUUCUUUUUUUUCUUCUGUGUUGUUUGUUCUUGCUGGCGAGUGAUGAGCAAUUGCCAAUUUUGCAGCAGAGAGGUAUUAAAAAUUGCAACUUGUGUUGUGUUGUGUGUGUUUUGUUUUCUAACCCUUUCUUUCUUUCUUUCUUUCUUUCUNNNNNNNNNNNNNNNNNNNNNNNNNNNNNNNNNNNNNNNNNNNNNNNNNNNNNNNNNNNNNNNNNNNNNNNNNNNNNNNNNNNNNNNNNNNNNNNNNNNNNNNNNNNNNNNNNNNNNNNNNNNNNNNNNNNNNNNNNNNNNNNNNNNNNNNNNNNNNNNNNNNNNNNNNNNNNNNNNNNNNNNNNNNNNNNNNNNNNNNNNNNNNNNNNNNNNNNNNNNNNNNNNNNNNNNNNNNNNNNNNNNNAAUCACAACUGGUAUAAUUGCCAUAGUGGUUGGAAAUAUUGUCUUCCACUAAAGGGUUGCGGGUUCGAAUCCUAGUCAAGACAAAAUUGUAUUAUUUUUUAAUAAAAAUUGCAAGAUAAAAUGGAGGGAAAACAAAUUAGGGUUUAGGGUUUGCUUGUGUAUACAAGCUUAUAAUAUAAAAGAUGAUGUGUUGCCUUGUCUGUGAUAAAAAAGUCAUGUUAAAAUGUGUCCUUAAGUAUAAUUUAAAUAGUGAUAAUGUCUUGAAUAAAAUAAUGUUUGACUUUUAAAAAGAUAAAAUGCACACUUUUCAAUAUAAAGUUAGUAUCUAUAGACACUAAUAAGUGCCUCAAGGACACAUGAUAGCUUUUCUCAAAAAAUAAUAAUGAUGUGUUGCUGUCACCUAUAUGAUGAUUGAUUAUGGGAUUGAAAUCUCACGUAUAAAUUAAUUUUUGAAUUUGACCUGAGACACACAUAUUAAGUAUCUAUUGUCGAGCUUGAAAAUAAGUUGUGGAAUUGGGUAAUAGCUUUAACUCAUCCUCAUCAUAAUAAAUGAUAGACAAAUGUUAACAUGUGCAUCUAAGGCACAUGUUAAGAAUAUAAAUAUAGAAAUAUUCUCUCGAAACAUGUGCAUUAUAUCUUUUAAGCAUUAAAUUUAUUUGUAAUAUUAAAUGCAAAUUUCUAAUUAUAGAUACAUUAACAUGUGCCAUGUAUACACAUGUUAACAACACCCUAAAUGAUAUUCUUGUCCAUAAAUGACCUUUGACAAUAGGGAAAUGCCAAUUCAUUGAACUUUUUGAGACGAUCAAAUAAAAAAUUCUGAGGGCGCCAUAUUCUAGAAGAGUAAAUAUAGUGAGUUAGGAUCUUCUCUAUUUUCAAUUAUUUUCAUUUCUUCCAUUAUUAUAUAGUUUUAAGAAUAUAAAUGCAAAAGUGUGACAUUAAGUGAGUCUAGAUAUCUUUUGUACACCUGAUGACAGCCAAUCAUUUAGUUUACUAUAAUAUUUAAAAACUUUGGUAAUGGAAGAAAUGAAAAUAAUAGGAAAUGGAGAGGAUCCCAACUCAAAUAUAGUGGACAAAUAUUUUAAAAAAAUUUCUUUGGUUGAUUCUUACGGAUCAAAGAUUGAUUGAUUACCUCUUGUAAUGGAUAACCAUUGAUAGUCGAAAUAGAGAUGGAUCACCAGAAUUUUACGAACGACAACGCCUCUAUUCAGUCCAUACAAAUAGAAUCAUUUCGGUCAAAAUUGUCAACUAUGAUCAAAUGAAAGUUUAGGGAGAGAAAACAUAAUGUUCUGGACUGGACUAAAGCUCUAUACAUUGAAGCCCAAAGGCGCAAAGAUCCAAUAUAUGUUGCUAAGCAUGAGAUAAUUACUCAAGGGAAGGACAACCACAUUCUAUAUAGCACAUAGCAUCGACCAAUGAGAAUUCAACAUUAUGCGUACGAAAAUUAUCUCUCCUAAACGAUACAAUUGUAAAAACAACAUUUACUAUCAAUAAAUUUAGGGUUAAAUAGUGUUAACCCUUACAAUAUGAGCGUAUAUCGGUUAAUCCUAUGUAAUAUUUUUUCUUAUCCCCCUUAAUAACAUGAAAAUUCCAUCAUUUAGGACCUUCGUUGAACAAGUUGGACUAUGACUAGACAAGUCUAGACAAGUCUGAUAAUGUUACUAUCUAACCAUAAGUAAUUAACGUUUAUAAAUUUGAGAGGCCAAAAUUGCAAUAUUUAAACUUCAGAUGCCGAAAUCGUCGGAUUGUAAAACUUGAAGAGACAAAAAGUAUUAGGAUCGUUUAAUUUGACGGGUUCAGUUUUGCAAUUUAAGAUAUCAGGGUACAAAAUGCUAUUGUUAAACUUGAGGGUCGAAAGUACAAUUUAGUGAAAAUAGAAUAAAAUCAUACAAAACACGGUUGAGCAUAUAUCAAACCGGGACGGAACAGUGACCGAGAGCAUCAGAAAAUGGCAGAGACAGAUUCGUCGUCUUCCUCCAACGCAGAAGAAGUAGUGUCCUCCUCACCGGCAUCGGCCUCCGCAUCGCUGGUAUCGAUGGCUGAGAAUUUUCAGCGUUCUGCAAUUGAAUCUGCUCGUACUGUUCAACACACCUCUUCCACCCAAUUUCGCACCUUUCAGGUUUCUCUCUUUUUCCCGAUUCUACCUAUUCGUUUCGCCAUAGGAAACAUAUAUAAGAUCAUAUAGCUUUUAUUUUUCAUAUUUCAUUCAUCUGCUUUUAAAUUGGUAUGAAAUGUUAAUUCCCAAUGUGGCAACACCAAUAGAGAGGGUUUCGUUUCCGUUCCCCGAUUCUUCAUAAGAUUCUUAGAAAUUUUAGGCUGCAAUGCAAUGGCACCAUUGACUCAUGUAGUUAUGCACCUGCUCUGCUACUUUAUGGAUAUACUAAUAUAUGUACUAUCUCUAACACACACCCUUUAAACAAACAAUUAUCAACGAUGGAGGAACUCGUAUAAUAUAACCAACAAUAAAUUUGUCCAGGUGGUAAGAAAUUUGGGCCCCUUAAGUAGAUGGUUAGGAUUUUGAUCCUUGGCUCCCACAUAUAGAGAAAAUUGGUCUGGGUCCUCUGGGAGGGGAGAAUCCACCUUGUGUGCCCCACAAGUUCUCUGACGAAGAUUAGUCAUUGUUGAAUGACGGUGGAAUCUUCAUACCUAUAUCAAACACAAAUAUAUAUAUAUUGUUUGCAAUCUAUUGAUGCUUUGUGAUGGAAUAAUGUAUGCAAGUUGUUUUGUUGAUGCUGCAGCUGCAACUGCAAGCUUAUAUACUUCAUUUCUUUCUGGAUGAGUAAGAGUCAAAUAUUGUAGUGAACCAAUAAAAUUCAUAUUCCCUCUAGCUCUUCUACAACCUUAACUAAAUCGUCUUACUCUGGUGCAUUUGCUUUGCAGCAAUGCAUAUUAACUCACAAGAAGCAUAUUCUGACUAGACAGUUUUUGGUCUCCUAUAAUCUGUCACAUAUAAGAAUCUACCAGUAUCACCACUAAAUUUAUCGUCACUGAUCAUCACUAUUAUUACCUCCUUUGGCAUUUUCAAUACCAUCACUGCCACUACCAACAUUAUGUUAGGGGACCCCAAUCACUAGUUAAUUAGAGAGAGGGAGAGAGAGAGGGAAUAAUAGUUUAUAUAUAAGAGGAAAGAUGUGGGAGAGCAUUCGGUUAAGUGAGUGUUUUGGGGACUUUGGGUGGGGAGGACUGUGGAGCAAAUCCUUGACGUUCUACAAUAUGCUGAUCUCUUUAAUUAGGGAGUUUAUCCCCAUUUCAUAGAAUUAUAUACAUUAUUUCUACCAACUGAUAUUGGCGCUGUGGGAAAUCAUCUUGAGGAUGAUUAAAAUGUUUGAUGUUUUGAUGAAGAGGAUGCUUACUGGCGGCGGCUUAUCAAAUGUGGAGCAGUAUUUUGAGGGCACUGGAAUACUUGGAGGGUAUAAUAUAUCAAGUUCAAGAGCUGGAAGGUUGUAAGGAGUGGUGCUAUCUAUUGGUGGUUUUGCUAGAAAUGGGGCAACCAAACUACGAUGUGGUGGACUUUGGAGAUUGCUCAAGCGAUUCCUAUGUGAAUAUGACACAAAUAUACCGGUGCCUGUUUGGGACGAGGGAACAGAAAGUGAAUUGUAAUUAGAAUCAUUAACAUUUCAAGAUGGGAAUAAAGAAUCAGCUGCUAAGAGGCCAGAAGUAUCUAUAGAAAAGGAACACGAACCAUGGGAGCUAGAAAUCUUGGAACCAGAGAGUCAAAGACAACCCAGAUUUGGAGGGCACAAAAGCAACCAAUCCACAGUUUGGAUCAAGAAGCAGUAAAAAAACCCCAAGAUGAAGCCAUGUAGAGGGUAAACAAAAACCAUUAUGGUGGAGAAACACCAAAGAAUGACCGAAGGGCCAAUUAAAUGUGGAUGGAAUUGGAAACCCACUCCCUAUACUACACGAUGACUGUUGUUUUAGGGACAUACAACUCCAAAAACAUGUAAGAGAUUUUUCCGCAGAGAAAAGAACAAAAAAUAGGGGAGAAGAGGAGUUGCACGAUAUAUUGUGAUUUGUGACCGAAUAGAACCUUAAGAAGGUUUGGGUAUUUUCCGAACCGCUAAGGGUGCCUAGCCAGCCUGCCACCACUGCCAAAACAAAAAAACUAGAAUUAUAUUUCUCGUUUCUUUGUAUAUUUAUACAUAAAAAGGUUUGAUCUAAUUAUGGUUGAGAGCAAGUUAGAAUUGAUAUUAUAAUUCUAUACACGACUUUCACUUUUGUUAUCCAAAUAGAGCAAUACACAUUUUACCAGAUUCAGUCCAGGAGCCUAAGAUAUACUAAGAUCAGAUUGGUUAAAAAAUAAUAUGUUGCAAUAUGUUUUUCAUAUCAGUUUCAUAUUUUAUUAUGAGAUGUUCUCAUAUAAAUUAACCUACUAAACCUGCCUGAAGUUAUGAAGCUUGAUUAGUUUGGGAUUGUUUUUCUUUUAGAUCAUAUACGGUUUGAUGCCAACAGCUAUUGAUAUAUAAUAAAAUAGUAUACGAAGUCAAAUUAUCUUAAAGAUUGAAGCAAAGUUAUUUUCAUGGUAUCUUUGAAAUAUUGUAAAUAAAUAUAAGGUACUAUUUUACAUUUCCUUUUUUUUUUUUAAUUAUUGGUGAGGUUCUUGCAUUAGCUUUCCUACUCGUUGUAGAAAAUAUUUUUUCUUCUAAUGGCCUAGCUUCUUUACAUACUCUUAUUUUUUUUCUCUUUCCAUGUUCUUUGUCUUCUACUAAUACAGGAAAUUUUUGACCACGUGUAAUCCCUUUUCUAUCUCAAUAAAAUAUGAUUGCUCCAAAACUCAUCCAGAUUAUGUUUGAUUCUUUUGCAGAAUUUUUUACCAGAAGCAGUGUCACAUUAUAGAACUUAUGAAGAUGCUUUCGUCAAUAAAGUUAAAGGUGAUUACAAUUUAAACAGUUUCAAACUUAUGAACGGUAGAUUUGUUCUUAAACUUUGAAGCACAUUGUAAUGGUUUGGCAAAAAUAAGGUUGAACUUUUGUGGCCUUGUGUAAUGUAUGCAUUUAUUUUAAAAUUUGGUUGGAGCAAAAUGCUUGCAUAGGGUUAUGUUUAUGGCCUCUAUUUGGUGUUCAGACUAAAGUUGUUUAUUCAAUGUUUUUUUUUUACACUUAUGAUAUGCGAAAAGAUCACACAGCUUGCUGUAUUUUGAAUGUUUCAUGGUUUGCACUCUACUUACUAAAGACUAGAAUUUGGAGGAUAUCUUUAAUUUGAAAAAUCAUUGUAUUUCCUGGGUUGUGACUUGUGGGUGAUUUUUAUUUAUCUAGAAUCAUAAUCAAUUUAUGAUCUUAACACUUUUACAGAUGGACUGAUGGUAGCAAGGGAGAACCCGGCUAUAGGUGUUGGUUUUGCUGUUUCUGCUGCCCUUCUUGUUAUGAGAGGUAUUUUCCCAUCUUUUGCACAGACAAGUAAUAAGUUUUCCUACACUAUACCACUUAAAAGUUUUUCUUAAAAUGUUCAAUUAACUACUUUUGUAUCUUUAACUUUAUAUUGUCACAAGGUAUUAUAUUGUCGCCAGUGUGGGGAAACUAAUGCAGGAUCAAUUGCUUAUUUCCUUCCUUUUUUGUCUUUUUUGUAGUUUCUAUUUUAUUAAGUAGUCACAUGACUAGCACCUGUCCUUUAAAGGACUCCAUGGCCAAGUUUGAUUUCAUAUAACUUGGAUUGGACUCGGUAAAUACAGUAAUACAGUUAACCUUGUAUAAUAGCCCCUGGAAAUUGUAUUCAGCUUUCAUACAAUAUAUACUCCAAACUUUUAACCAUGAUCUCAUUCUAUUAAGAAGCUGCUGUUUAUCCGCUCCUUUCAUUGCAUCAAGUAAUAUUAAAACCACGGCGAGGCUUAUCGGCUUAGAGUAGAAUUAGAUUUGUUGUGAUGUACUGUUAGAACUGAAGAGACUGAACAAUUAGUUAGGGAUAGUUAUAUAUAGUAGUUAGCAAGUUAGCAGGGGGAAUAAGAUCCAUAAUAAUAAAUAGAGGGAUACAAGGGUAGAGGGAUCAUCGAGAUAUGUUAGCAUUGAGUUCACACAUCUGUGGCUCAGUUGUAAGGAACCAUUGGAGGAGAAAUCUUUUGCCAAGUUCUAAGUGUCAAACAGUAAAAUCAAUUUUUUUUCUUUUUUCUAUCUUCCACUGUGGGUUCCUAACACAUUGUUGAAGAUUUGUAAUGUUUAAACAUGCUUUGAAGCAAUAAGCAUCGUGAGGAGGGAACCUGUAUAAAAAAUAAGAAGGCAGCCUCAACCUUGUAGGCAAUUUGCAAAGUAGUCCUAAGCAAGAUAGCAUAGUAGAAAGGACUUCUCCACUGAUCUAUGAUAUCCAGAUGAAACAUGGAUCCUCAAAAGGAACCUGAUUAACCACAUCAAUAUUUCAACCAAUAAAUGCAUUUUUCAUUGGUCCAAUCAAGAAAUCACUCUACAAGUGGAAGAUAACAUGCCAGAUCAAUGGUUCCGAUUUUUUUUCCUUCAUAAUAUAAAAUUUUAAGGGGAGAAUACAAAUUUUUGGAUCCAUACCUUUACGAUUUUUCUAAGUUAGAAAAUAUUGAUUUUACUUUAUUCAGUCAGAUAUGCUCCAUUCAAUACUUCCAACAUUUGAUUGAUCAAGCUAGUUAGUUAAUUUAAUGAUGUGUGUGGAAAGGAUCCUAAUUUCUCCAAAUUCAGGGGACAAGUCUGGAAAUAAUUUUAAGGUUUUCAAAUAUUCAGUUUUCACGAUUAAAUAUGUAACUUAUCAAUUUUUCAGUAAAUAUUUAAUUUUGGAGUGGACGAUUUAAUGAUUGAGCUGAAAACUCUAGGAAGACCUAUUAAAACUUAAGAAUAGUGGAAUCUUCCAGUUGCAGAGGUUGGUGGUUCUCCAUACUUUCCACAUGAAGUUUGCCUCCCGGAAUCUAAAUUUUCUAAUAAAAAAAGCUUUAGAAUAUACCAUUAUAAAAUACCUUGCUCAAUGCUCAAAUUGGUAUCUGAUAUAGCCCAAUGACAUUGAUCGAUUCAUGCUACUGAUCCCACUUGGUAAGAUAUAACCUAUUGCUGUGUUUUUUUUUUGAAGGCAUAACUUGACUGUUGUUGUUAAUGCAUAUCUUAGGCAAUGUGAUCAUCCACGACUUUUGUACUAUAAUAUUGCAUAUGAUUCAAACCAGUUUUAUCUAGUGCUGUUUUCUGUGUCUCAUCAAGUCAACUGAAUUUGUAAUUGUCAUGUAUGCUAUUUUAUUUUAAAGUGCUUAACCUUCUUGCAGCUCCAAGAAGAUUUCUGUUUCGCAACACAUUGGGUCGAUUCCAGAGUGAGGAGGUAAUAUUCAGUUGACCAAUCAAGAUGGAUCCCUAACUUAUGUCCUUACUUCUCCUCUCUAUUUGUGAUGCAUAAAUCAUAAUAUGCUUUUUCCUUAUAUUGUAGCUUAAUAUUUAGGACAUUCUAUCUUGAGAUCUUAGACAGUUGUGUCUUUUUUUGACAAAUAGACAGUUGUGUCUUAAAUGUUGUAAUAUUUCAUAUUCUGUUUGUUUCACCUUUUUUCAUGAAUACCCAUGAAGACACGGUAUGCAAGUGCUGAGAAGAAUGUGAAGAACUUGAACCUUUCAGUAGAUUUGCUAAAAAAGGAGAGCAUAAAAUUGCUUCAAAGGACAUCUCUUGCGGAGAAGGAAAUGAAAUAUGGGCAUAAUGAACUAAUGUAUGUAUUAUUAAUCAAGGAAAGGAUGUUUGGGUUAUUUGAUUACAGCUAAAGUAUGCCUGAAUGUUUUACUCCAAUGAUGAAUAGGAACACUGGAGCCCAAUUACAACGACUGGCAAAAUCAUCAUACAAGGUUGAAGCCAGAGCUACAGGUACGCUGUAUAAAAAAAAAAUUAACAAUUAAGUUCAUGUCUUCUUUUGUGUUACUCCCUCCGGACACAAUUAUAAGCAAAAUUCAAUUUUUAGGUUCAUUGAAAAAGUAAUGUAUUUAGUCAAUAAUAUAAGACCAGAUUAAUUACUUUUUCAAUGAAUCUAAAAAGUGUUUUUUGCUUAUAAUUGUGUCCGGAGGGAGUACGUUUUUUGUUUCGGAAAAAAAGAAGUUUUUAUGAAUAUUUUGACCCUUUCAUAUUUACUUUGAGGAUGUGUGAUGAUAUCCACUGCCGCUUUAAAAUUUACCCUCUAUUAUCAUGCUGUAGAUUUAAUAGACAGGCUGCGCGAUAUACCUAGCCGUGAAGCUCUGGCACUUCGAGCUGAGGCAAGUCUAUGACUUUCUAUUCUUUGUUUUCCAUAAGCGCAGUUGUUUUGCAUUACUUACUGUUUUCUGUCCACCACGAAUACAUGACUAGGUUGCCUCUUUGGCUUCAAACUUGAAGCGACAGAGAUCUGUGCUGGACAAACGGAUAAUGAAGAUCUCUGAGUUGGGGAUUUCUGUGUGAAUCAGUGGACAAGUUUUGAUCCUUCCCUUAAUGCACACCUGCGUCAAUCAUCUCAUUUUAUUUGGAUAAAUUGUCCCGAGGUGGAUAGCUUUACUUAUGAUGCAGAUCCAUCCAUUGGGGCAUCUAUUUUUUGGUUUGGUCAAUUGAAUGAAUAGGUAGAUGGGGCCUUAAUAAAAAGGUGUGAUUGAAAAUUUAUCUUUAGAUAUUACAGCUUUAAAGAAGUUCAUAUUGAAAGUGACCUAUGUUUGUUCAAUUUAUAAGCAACAACAAUUGUGUGUGGAAACAUCAUUAUAGGUGGUCUAUGAGAGAUCACAUUUUAAUUUUGUUUGGUCUGUUAAGUGUUGCAAGUAUAUCAGAUUUUAUAAUGCAUUGUGUGUGUAAAAUUUUCCCCAUUUUCUUUCAACUUUCUCUUCUCCUUCAUUCUCUAUACUACAGAUGCCACAAGUGAAGUUAGUGAGGAGCACACAUCUUCAACAGUGGUCAUCACCGAUGCCGGCUACCCAAAACUAGCAAAAUAAUAUACUCAUAAAAGAUUUCCCCAACUCAAAACCAAUGCCCUAAUUUUCUAAAGACCCAACAACAGUUACAUAUACCCUAGAUAGUUUGUUUCCAGCUAUGUUUGUGAAAUGUUGUUCCUUCCCAUGAUUAAGAUUGAUUUAACUUGUUAAAUGUUGUUCCUUCUCUAAUUCUAUGUUAGUUGGUUGCUUUGUCUUCUCUCUGCUCUUUAGUGGCAACAAUGGUGGUGGUGGUGGUUGUGAUCUUUGCUUAUGUCGUACACUGCUGAGCUGAGAGGUAUUGUUGAACUGAUGGCAUUAGGGUCUUUGUUUCUACAAGGAAAAUUACAUAUUUUUGGAGCUUGGUAAUGGGUGAAUGAAGUCAUUCACAUAUUCCUCUUCUAAUAGUGGUGGGUGGUGAGGCUUCUUGGAUUGAAUUUGAUUUGGUGAGACUUAUAAUUUUUCUUAAUAUCUUUUAGAGCAAUAGCUAAAGUAGCUCCUAAUACUACGGUUAUUAUACCAAUCAAAGCUAUUCCACCCAUUAUGGAGGGUAUAACUAUGAAAAGAGGNNNNNNNNNNNNNNNNNNNNNNNNNNNNNNNNNNNNNNNNNNNNNNNNNNNNNNNNNNNNNNNNNNNNNNNNNNNNNNNNNNNNNNNNNNNNNNNNNNNNNNNNNNNNNNNNNNNNNNNNNNNNNNNNNNNNNNNNNNNNNNNNNNNNNNNNNNNNNNNNNNNNNNNNNNNCAAAGCUAUUCCACCCAUUAUGGAGGGUAUAACUAUGAAAAGAGGAAGAAGUCGGGCUACAAGAAAAAUUCUCGCUGCUACCAUAGUAGCAACAUGUAUAAGAGCAAAAAUAGGAGUAGGACCUUCCAUAGCAUCAGGUAACCAUACAUGAAGAGGGAAUUGGGCAGAUUUCGCAACUGAUCCGCAAAAUAACAAGAGGGCAGUGGUGAGGGAUUUAGAUAGAAUGCAUGAUGCGAUAGGUUUGAUCAUCACGGGCUCCACUAUAAAAAAAGAAUAUAAUUGUUGUAAAUUGUAAUCCUACUUUCUGUCGAUGAUACUACUUUCUAGAAUAGGUUUCGUAGUUUUUUUUUGGUUUAACUACAUAUUUGGUCCCUUACGUUUAUUUUAGGUUUCAAUUUGGUCCCUUACGUUUAAAAAGUAUCAAUUUGGUCCCUUACGUUUAUUUUAGGUUUCAAGUUAGUCCUUUCCGUUAGUUUUGUCANNNNNNNNNNNNGACAAAAUUGACGGAAAGGACUAACUUGAAACCUAAAAUAAACGUAAGGGACCAAAUUGAUACUUUUUAAACGUAAGAGACCAAAUUGAAACCUAAAAUAAACGUAAGGGACCAAAUGUGUAGUUAAGCCUUUUUUUCUUCUUCUUUAGAUUGACAAAUUUUUCCACGUAAAAACUAUUGGUAUGAUUCUUCUUCGCUAUAGUUAUAAAACUAAUAUAGUUUGUAUUAUUCUCUUUCAGGUAUGUUUUCUAUUACGAUGCGAGUCUUAUUUAUAGGAAAAUACAAUGGACCAAUACUAAUGGACAUCAACUAAAAUAUUCAUAACACUUCUCUUUGUUCUAGUAAUCUUUCUCUUCAUGAGUGUUACUCUUACAAAUUUUGCACCAUUCAUUUGAUGCUCCUUCAUGCCAUCUUCCGCCAUUCAUGCCUCUUUUCUUCGUGAGUUUCUUCCUCUACCAUCACCUCUUCCAAAUCUGCCACCUCUUGAAGACNNNNNNNNNAUGUUGAGUUUAGAUUGAAAGACACUCUCAACUGAUAUUUUAGAGCGCCAUAACAACCUUUGCUCGUAGGAUCUCAAAGACCCCAUCAAAACCCUUGAACAUACAUAAUUGAUAGGUCCUUAGUUUUCUCUAUAACAGCCACCAUAUGAUCAAAUUUUUCUGCCAAACUGAUCAGAAUUUUAUCAAUAAUUUUGUGAUCAUCUAUUGUUUCUCCAUGUGACUUCAUUUGAUUCACCAAUUUAAAGAGUUUAUUAAAGUAUUCAUUCAAACUCUCGUUCUCCUCCAUUCUUUCAUUUUCAUAGUCCCUCAUAAGAGAUUGAAAUUUCAAAGUGACAGUUUACUCAUGUAACUCUUCACUUUCAUUACCUUAUCAUAUUCCACUAACGUGAAAUCAACACAAUGAUCAACACUUAUAAAUAAUACAUAUAAGCUUAUUUUACAUAAGCUAGAUUAUUUUGCGACCUUAUUUAAAUAAGGUAAUAAUGCCGACGAGGAUGUGACUCAUCCUCUUGCAUAGGCUUGUUACAGAUGAUGAUAAUCAAAGCUUGACCAAAGGUUUUGUGAUCGAUGAAUUUAGAGAAGCAUUGUUUAAUACUCAUUUAGACAAAGCACCAGGACCAAAUGAGUUGAAUCUAGCGUUCUAUAAAAGAUUUUGGGAAUUACGUGGAAAAGAAGAUUAUCAGACAAGAAUGUAGUGGCUUCAAAGAGGAAGUUUUUGACUUUAGACCGAAAUCUUUGUGUAACGUGCUCUACAAAAUCAUAUCCAGUGUGUUGGCGAAUAGGCACAAACCUCUCCUUAACCGGUAUAUUUCUGUUGAAUAAUAUGCUUUUCUGGUUGAUAGGUCUAUUUUUGAUAAUCUUAUGGAGACCAUUCAUCAUAUGAAAUAUAAAGUGAGAGGGAAACUAGGCAAAGCAGUUAAGCUUUGAAAAUAGAUAUUAGCAAGUCAUAUGAUAUAGUUUAUUUUUUAAGGAAGUCAUAUGAUAGAGUUGAACGAAGUCAUAAGGAUAAAUUGUUUAAUAUUUUCCUUUUUAUUAUUAUUCACCUUGUAUUGAAAGUACUAUUAUGAAUAAAAUGCACUAAAUUUGUUUGAAAAAAAAAAAAAACUUGCAAAACAGAUUAUUCCUAGUCAAGGAAUGAAGCCGAGCUAACACAUAAAAUAUACUGAAUUAAAUAUGUAGUAGAUAUAUUCAUAAAAGAAUUUAAUUUAUACAUACCGUCGGUUACACAUGCGAUUAAUAAUAUACCAAUAGUCCAACACAUCAUGUAUUGUUUUUAAAAAGAAUUUAAUUUAUAUGCACCGUCGGUGUAAAGUUAUUUUGCACAUGCGUCCAAUAAAAAAUCGACACAUCAUGUAUGGUCAUUAAAAACACAUGAUUUGUCACAUUCAUUAAAUGACGUGGCAACGCGUCAUUGAAUGUAUGUGUAAAAAUAAUUUACACCGACGGUGCACAACAAUUAAACUCUUUUAAAAACAUAUGAUAUGUCACAUUCAUUAAAUGAUGCGGCAACACAUCAUUGGAUGCAUGUGAAAAAAAUCUUUACACUGACGGUGCACAACAAUUAAACUCUUCAUAAAAUAUAUUGAAUUAAAUAAAUUAUAUUCCUGUACCAAAAAAAAUAUUAUAUUCCUAUAUAAGUUGUUGCAACCGGGAAAUCUAAGAAAUCAAUUGAAAUAUAAUUUUCAUAAUAAUAAGUUUCAAACAUAAUUUUUUAUUUACCAACACUUAUAAUCAAAUAUAAAUUUUAUUAUUGGAAAUGCAAAUCUUAUAUUUUGACAACUAUUUAGCUGGUUUCAAGAAGUUCUUGAACCAUUGAACAGAUUGUUUUGGGUAUCUCUUCAAGUUGUCUCUGUAGUCAACAAAAUACAGACCAAAUCUAGAAGAGUAUCCAGCUGCCCACUCCCAAUUAUCCAGCAAUGACCAAGCAAAGUAUCCUUUCACAUUGCAACCAUCUCUGCAAUUAGCCAAAUCAAUAAUAAUAAUUCAUUAACUUAAAAUCUAUUGGUCAUGGACUUUAAUGCACUAAUUAAUACUAGGUAAUAACAAUAUUACAUACUUGAUAGCUGCCUGUAGAUUGGAUAAAUAGCCACUGUAAUAUCUAAUCCGUUUCUCAUCUUUCAAAGCAUCUUUCUUUGAGAUAAAUAUACUAUUUGGAUCAUCCAUCCCUGUCAAAACCACCACCAAGAACAUUUAGCUUGCAAUUUUUAUUAUUUACAGCCGUAUUUUUUUUUACCACCAGUAUCCGUCCCUUUGACCUAAUAUGUUAUACUUUAUCAUGAACACGGAGUAAUAUCAACUAUGUAAUUUAUGGAAGACUUCAAUUUAUAAAUGCAAGCUGGAAUUUUGCGAUAUAUUAUAAGAAUUUGAAGAUUACCGUUUUCGGUGAUAAAGACAGGAGGGUUCCCAUACUUUUGUUUGACAUAGUUCAUUAAGGUUCUCAUACUUUGUGGCACAAUAUACAACCAUAUAGAAUUUGCCUGCAAAAAGUCAGAAUUAUAGAUUUAGUGAAAUUAGUAUUUCCAUUAGCUAUAUAUUGAGGUAUAUAUAAGACUUAGUAGUUCUGUUUAUGUGAUUAAUGAAAGGAGAAAUGAUUGUGAUUGGACAUGAUAUUUAAGGACAAGAAAUAAUGCUUCAAUUAUAUCGAACUUACCCUUUCUGCAAUAGCUUUAGUACCAUUGAAUGCUGAGAAAGAAAGGAAAGGAAGAAAUCACUUGGUGGCAAUGCAAAACAGAAAAUUAUAAAGCACUAUGAUAAAGUAAAUGUUAGCUUGAUAAUGUUUGGUUUGGUCUGAAACUUACGAAGGGUAAUGGCACCGGAAUCUGCAAUAGAGUCAUGGAGCAAAGUUCCAAUCACAUUAGUAGAAUUGUUUCUUGCAUAAAAUGUGGUGUAAUGAUUAAUUCCAACAAAAUCUAAUGAACCCUUAACAAGAGCAGCCUCAGAUGGAGUAAAUUUUGGCAGCCUGUUUCCUACUCUGCUUCUCAUUGAACUUGGAUAAUCUCCAAACAUCAAAGGAUCAAGAAACCUAUCAUUAAGACAUUUAGCAAUUAAUAUUGAGUUAUUAUCACUUUCUUAAUCCUUAAUUUCAAAUGUAAUCAAAAUGUAAGUAGUGUUUUUGUUAAUGAUCUAUGAGGUACCAUAUGUGAAUGACUUACCAACCGAGCUGAAAAUCUUGAGCUCUCUGAGCAGCUUCAAUAUCAUCUUGAGUGUUUGUGCGGGGCUCAUACCAAAUGACAUCAAAAGCUAUCCCAAGUGAUCCACCUUGUGUAUUCUGUCGAAUAACCGAGUUAUUACUAUUAGUAGCAUUUUCGCAAACAAUUUUCUACAAAUAUCAAGUUGAAUUUUCACAAUGUUCUGCCUAGUUAUGAAUAUUCUUCAUUCCAUUGCAUUCAUAAUAGAAUUCAAAAAAUCCAAAACUUUACCUUAUAUUUUUUCCUAUAAAUAUCUGCUACUGCUGCAUGAGUAAGUAGGACAUUGUGAGCAACAAUGUAAGGUUCGGUAGCAGAGUUCCCUGCCCUACAAAACAGGUGAAGGAGAAUAGAGCACCGUCCGGGUGCCUGUAAUCCGACAUCAUAUCCUUGUGUAGUAAAUGUAUGUGGCUCGUUAAAUGUGAUCCAGUGCUUCACCCUGUCCCCAAAUUUCUGAAAGCAAGUCUCGGCAUAAGUUGCAAAGUCCUUUCUGUAGCACACAUGAAUCGUAUAUAAGUAUUUUUUUUUUCUUUCUGCAUAUCAAGAAUCAUAAGAAUACUGAAAAUCACGUCUAAAAUUAUUUGCAACGUUUCUCAUACAUGAUAUCAGUGCUGAGCCAUCCCUUGUACUUGUCUUCCAAGGCUUGAGGUAGGUCCCAAUGGUAGAGUGUUACAUAAGGUUCAAUUCCUGGAAAUUUAAGGAUCAAGCAAUCAGAAACAUGCAUAACAAUACAUAGAUUGAGCUUUUUUAAGUUCAAAGCUAAAAUACAGAAUUGAUCAAAUGAAAUAAUUAAACCAGGGUUAACGAGAGUUACCAUUCGCCAAUAAUGCAUUUAUGAAUUUAUUAUAGUGAUCAAUUCCUGCCUGAUUGAUUGCGCCGGAUCCAUCUAACACAUUAAAUAUUUAUGGUUUCAGAUAAUCUAAGAAAUUAUGAACAAAAAUAUUGAAACUUUAUGUUUAUGGUUUCACAGAAUUGUACAGUGUGUUAAACCGAGUACUAAUUUUGAAGUUAAUGAUGAGUAUGAAUGUUGCUUACUGGGAAAAAUUCGAGACCAAGAAAUGGAAAAUCUAUAGGCAUCCAUCCCCAAGUCCUUCAUGAGUUGUAUGUCUUCCUGCUUAAUAAAAAAUUUCAAUGUUCAAAUACAAACAUCCUUUCACCAAUCGUUAAUGCAAUAGUUAAAUUGUAUGUAUUGCAGCUUAGUUUAUUUCAGUAAAACCUAACUUGUGUUUAUUUCAGUGUGGAUAAUGUGGCAUUAUCAUAUAUAUAUAUAUAUACACGAGAUUCGGUGAUGAUUCCAUAAAACCUGACUUGUGUUUGUGUCUGCAUAAUCUCUAAAUUGCUUUAUUUGAACUUAUCUACUGCCCUAGUACUUUUAAUAUUGUUUGAAAGAACUUAUGAAAACAACUUAUAAAUAACAUAUCCAUAAGUUAGCUUCAGCGCAUUUCCAUAAGCUUUUCAGGUUAGUUUAUGAAAACAGUUUUUAGUUUAUCUGAAAACGGUUUGGACUUUAUUUUAUAUUUUAUUAUAGAAAUUGUUUAUUCAUAAGCAUUUAUAUAAUAUUAAUUAGGUUGUUUAUCCAAACAGAACCGAUGAUGCAGACUCGCAUGGCAUAGACUGAAUUGUAUUAGUUACUUACUUCAUAUCGGUGGUACUGAUCUACUGCAACAUCAGCAUUGCUGAAAUCUGUUACCUUGCCUGUAACAAAAUGUGAGGUGAUGAUCAGCCAGAAUUUUAGCAUAUUAUAAGAAUCAUGCAUAUGUAGCAUUUGAGAUACAUGUAGGAAUAAUACUUAUUGUCUCCGUGAGCUUAACUCAGUUGACAAAGAAAUCACAUUGUAUGAGCAGGAGUCGGGGUUCGAACCCCAGACACUCCAAUUAUUCACUUUAAGAUAAAUUUUAUAACCACUAGGUUACUUACAAAAAAAUAAUACUUAUUAAACUCAUCCUUAAAAAAAAAUUAUUAAACACCUAUAUGAACAAAAUAGUACUACUAUGCAAUAAAUACCCAAUGGAAUGCGCCUUACCAAAAGUAUGAGAAAAGGUAUCCCAUACAGAUGGUCCCCUUCCAUCUUCUUUCACUGCUCCUUCAUACUAGACAAAAGUUACAUCAUAUAAUAUAUGAAUAAAUAUUAAAUAUACAUUUACCAAAACAAAUAUAUUAAAUAUACAUCACUUGUUCAAAAAGAUAGAUCGAAACAUAGAAGUCAAACAACAUUUACCUUUUUAAAAAAGCCAAAUUCAUUAGUUAAAAAUAGUAAUAGUGAUAGGUACAAGUAAUGCCAAAAAGGAAACUGCAGAAAUAAUUAGUUAAAAAACACUACCACUUUUGGUUUCAACGUUCAACUCCACCGCUUCUUAACACACCCCACAAUUUCCUAAGAAUUUAAUGCUAUUCAAUGUUGGUCCAAAUCUACUACUCCUACUCUACUAGUUUUUAAUGUUAUUUUUUUUUUGGUAACAAGUUUUUAAUGUUAUUACUUGCUCAUUAUAAGAAGAAAAAAAAUAUUAUAUUUAUUAAAAAAAUUAAAUAUAAUAAUUUGAAGUAUAAUUUUUUGUGUUUUUUUUAAAUAAGUUACAUGGAAAUUUAUAAAAAUAAUUUUUAUCAAUUCUUGAAAAUGAUGAAAGUUGUCGUUUUGCUUAUAAUUUAGGAUAAAAAAGAUAAUUUAUUUUUGCUUAUAAAUUUUAUAUCUUAAGCACAAAUAUUCUCAAUAAAAAAUUAUUGAAUAAUACGUCUCAAAAUAAAAAAUUAAGAUAUGAACACAAGACAAUUGUUUUAAUUAGCAUUUAAUUAAUAUAAUGAGAAAAUCAUAAAAAGUGACAAUAGUAAAUGACAAAUUUAUUUAGCCACUAGGUUUGGUCUAAUGGUGAGGGAUUUUGGUAGUAUGCUCUAAGUCAUAGGUUCCAUUCCCAGCUCGUUAUAAACAAAAAAAAAUGACAAAUUUAUUUGGUUGGUAGAACGGUAGCGGAGCACAAUUAAUUACUCCAACGUGAAAUUUUGUUCUUCAUCAUUUCUUUCUCUUAAUAAUUAAGGAGUAAUUUUAAAAAGAAAAUGUACAUUAUUGACAAAUGUAAUGCAAGCGCUUUUGAGUCUUAUAUUUUAGAAUAGACACUACAAAUUAUCAUGCAUCAUAAUGACACUUGUUAAGAAGAUAAAUAUAGUUUGAUUCCUUCGUCUGUGUGUUACUUUGCCGCUCCGCCUUCCACCGCUUCUCUCCCUCCUCAGGGUGGCGCAACUGCCCCCUAGCCACUUCGUUUCCACUCUCUCUCCCCCUCUCAUCUCUCCCUCUUAAUAGAGUUUCUGAACCUAAAUCAAACCUUCCCACAUAAAAAUAUCAUUAUAAAUGAUUUUCUUUUUUUGUAAUAUUUUCUUCUCGUGAAUUUAUUAUUUAUAUCUUAAUUUCAUAAGCUAAUUCAACUAGUUUUAAAAUUUAUAUAUUUUUCUCUCAAAUUUACUAUCGUCAUCAUACUUACAAAAUUUAAAUAUAAAUUAAACAUAUAUUUCUUAUGUCAUUUCUAAUUUAUAAAUUAGUUUAAUCGAUAAUUUUACGUUCAAUCAAUUGAAACCUACCGUAUAAGUUAUUCGCGCUAUAAACUCAUUCAUUCGUUGCUAUCAACUAUAUUCUCUUUUGCCAAACUAACUCUUAGCUUUUACCAAAUCAAAGAAUAACCGUUGGAAAUAUCAUAAUUAAUAGCAAACUAUAUCAUAAUUAGAAAAAAAAAUCAAUUAUUUCCUUCACAUACUCAGUCAAUUGUAAUGGAUAAUCAUUGUCAUGGUUUAAAAAAAAAUACAAUCUUAAUGAAGCCACUCUGUGUUUGAUCUAUCGUUUUCAGGAACUCACAAACUAGGUAUACAAGUUUUCUAAAUAAAAAUUGAGAGUGGAUUAUUUUGUGACCUGAAACAGAGAGUAAAACAGUAUUGUAACUAACUAACUAACUAACCUGAAAUGCAGAAGAAGCAGUCCCAAAUAUAAAUCCAUGUGGAAAAUCAGCCCUGCUAAACUCCGCCGAUAGACAUAUCUGAAUCUCUACUGAUAAUAUUAUUAGAACAACAAUGCUUCUUCUCAACGCCAUUUAAUUUAAUUAUAGGUGUGUUGUGAAAUAGGACCUAUAAUUGAGGAGUGAGGAGUAUAUAUAUAUAUAGGAAUACGAAUGAAAUGGGAAACAACCGAAUAAGGGAGUGGGGAAUGGAAUAGAGUGUGAAUUGGGAGAGAGGAAUUAAUUGACGACAACGAAUUGAUGAAUGAAUAUAAUAAUUAAUUAAUUAAUGUAUGUAUGUAGCACUAAAAAUCAAAUCAAAACAAAAGAAACACGUUUGGGAAAGUGGCUUAGGUUGGUAGUAAACAUUUGCCUUCACAUUCACUCUUUUUUUAGAUAGAGAUAGAGAUAAUAUUGCACCGAUAAAUUAAAUACUGUGUUUGUCACCAAUCUUAGCGAGUUGCCUUCACAUUUGCCUUCCGAUUUCUUUUUUAUGUCUAUCUAUAAUCAACAUUCUAACUCAAGAAAUAUUGUAAGUACUUAUGUAAAUUGGUUAUAUAAAAGAAAAGAUUUUGAAAGAUAAUUCAAAUUAUAUUGUGAUAUAAGUCACUUGGCCCUCCGCACCACCCUCUAUCCAAAUCGACACAAUCCAGAUUGACGCAAAUAGUUUCAAAUUGUGCUGGUUUCGUUUAUGUUGGUAACAAUGUGUUGUUUUUAUGUCAGUGGUUGUGGUGGUGUUAGAUCUGUCCGGAUCCGCUUCACGGUGGCUCGUGGUGUGUGUUUCUACGAUAUGUUCUUCUUUCACCAAUUGCUGAUAAAACCUCAUUACCUAUCACUCAUGAAGCCGAUUUACAAUAAUUACGUAGCUUUGAUUCACGUUUGGGAAUACGUAGGACCAGUGAUCCUCCCUGUUGAGCUAAUCGCCGAUUAGGUCUCAGAACAUUAGUAAGAACAAAUAAUAUAAAAUAUUUAGGUUUAAAUGCAGUUUUGACCCCCAAGUUCUACAAUUGUGAAAUUUUGACCCUCAAGUUUCAAUUGCGCGAUUUUAACCCCUAUGUUUUACAAAAAUAUUCCUUUUCAAAAAAAAAAAAAUUUAAUCUUAAAGUUAAUGUAUUCAAUACUUUAAUUUUUUUUUAAUUUUUUUUUUCUAUUUUCUAUUUAUAAUUUUGAUAUUGUUUUGGGACAAUACAUUAAUUUUGAUUUCUAUUUUCUAUUUAAUAACUUCACAUUUGUUAAACAUAUCAAAAAUAGAAAUAAAAAAUAAAAUUAAUGUAUUUUUUUUACAAACAAAUAAAAUUAAUGUUUGUGAAGUAACUUUUUAUACUUUUAAGUUGUUAGAUGCACAAGUUAUAAAAUAAAAUUUCAUUGUUAGCUGGAACAUCAACCCGUGCGGUGCGCGGAUCUAAUUAGCCUAAUAUUAACAAAAUAAAAUAAGAUAUAAUAAAUGUAACAUUAACAAUUAGUUCAACAAUAAAUUUAGAAAAAUAUUCAUAUAGCAAAAAUUAUGGUAUAUUACGAAAUACUUCUUUUAUAGGCUACAUUGAAAGUCUUAUUUGUAUCUUCACCAUCUUCGUCGAUAAUCAAUAUUUUUAAUCCUUCUCUAGAAGUAACUCUUGAAAUCGCAACAUACAACUGACCAUGUAAAAACACUGGCGACGGAAGAUAUAUCCAUGCUUACUGUCCUUAACUCUUAUUAAUAGUCUUCGCAAAAGAAACGAUUAAAAGAAAUUGACUCCGUUGAAAUUUAAAAGGAAUUCAUACAUCAGAUGGUGUUAGAGACAAUCGACGUAUGAAAAUCUGAUCACAAACAUUACUUUUUGAAAUAAUUUUUCCUUCAAGAACACGUUUUUCCAGUCUUGUUCCGUUACAAAAUCCUAAUUUUUUUAUUCAAAUUUCUUAAUAGCAUAACUGAAACUCAAACUUUAAGUCUCAAACUUGUGAUUUGGAAGGCCAGACGAAUCCAACAACAUCAUAUAUGUUAAUCGACUGUGUGUCACUCAAUUUGAGACGGCCGGAGAAAGAGAUUAGUAGGUCCGGAUGACUACAAAAGAUACUCAUGCAACAAUGAUAGCAAUUGAGAGCAGUGAUUUGAACGGCGCUAAAUGAGUAAAUUACCGAUUCCCACAAGAAAUUGACUUGGAGAGAGGUGAAAUGAAAAAAAAUCCACUUACUCACUCACUUAACACUGAGCUGAUAUGGAUCUGCAAAUAGCCUCGUAGACAUCACAUCGGGAAUUACGUCCUUGUAGUUGUUGUUGUUGUAGCUCCACUUCACACUCCACUCUAACAUGCUCUCUACUAAUUUCCAACUCCAACUCUCACUAUUCUAAGUAGUUGGUGGAGUUUCUCAACCCUAACAUAACCACAAUUCCAACUCAGAUCUGAUCCUAAUUUAUCAAUUAGAUAGAUGGAGGGGAACUCCGGAGGGGGUGGUGGUAGUAGUGGUGGCGGUGGUGCUGACGUGGAGCUUCUUUGCAAGACGUUACAAGUUGAACACAAGCUAUUUUACUUCGAUCUGAAAGAAAAUCCUCGUGGUCGUUACCUUAAGAUUUCUGAGAAAACCUCUGCUACUAGGUCCACCAUAAUCGUUCCCUUUUCCGGCAUUUCUUGGUUCCUCGAUCUCUUCAAUUAUUACGUCAAUUCCGAUGAACAAGAACUUUUCAGCAAGGAAUUGCAGCUCGAUACAAAGGUUCUAGUAAUAAUCCACUAAUUCAAUUCACCUAAUUUUUCUUUCCCUGUUUCUCUAAUUCCUCUUUUUCUCAGGUUUUCUACUUCGACAUUGGAGAAAAUAGAAGAGGCCGUUUCUUAAAGGUACCUACCUACCUACCUACACAUUUAGGCUUUGUGGAGUUUUCAAUUGCCAAUUUUAGCAAUGUGUGUUUACUGUUUUCUUUCCCAUGAGGGAUAAGGAAAUUGAGUUAUUUAUUCUUGGGAAGGAGUCUGGUAAGGUAAAUAACAGGUAGAAAUUAAUGACCUUAAGAUUUUCAAAUAGGAUUACAUGUCAAAAUUAGAAAUGGUUCAAAAUGGAAAAUUGGAAAUUUUAAUUUGGAUUUUGCAGUAAAUGUUGAGCAUGACAUUUCUAUUGCGGUUGCUUGAAAUGCAUAAUACUACUGUAAGUAAGAUUUAGGAAUUCAAAUUUCACAGUUUCCUGCUCAUAAUGGUGGGUAGAUAGAGAGUACGUUGUGUUUUGCAGUGUUUAAGUAGAAUUAUUUUGGUACCAGUGAAGACCAAACACCUGCAUAGCAACAUGUCGGAUUUGUAUCACUAGAAGCCUUGAACUCUGCAAUAGUAAGUAAAACCCCUUUCUACGAUGAGAAAACUAGAACAUAAUAUUGGUAUGUUUAUGUUGAAGUUAUGUGGAGGCAGAGUUUCUGAUGUUUCUUAGGCAUUGACUUCUGAAGCUUAGUUUAGAUGUCUGUUUGAUGAUUGUUUUUAGGGUCCUUUGCUUAUGGAAUUUUAUAAUACUAAAAUGCCAAAAUCCUUGUUGUCAACUUCGGUUUCUUUUGAAGACUCUCACUUAACCGUCAAGUUGUAUAAAUUGCACUACAAUACAUAUCAUCCCCAUACCUACACAAUUGUUUAGUCUUCAACUUGUAUGUUCAAUACAUCAAUCUUUUAUUCCCUUCUCCUUCAAACCCUGUUUUUCUCUUAAUUAGUUACUUUCUCUUCUAACUCCAUCUGGAAAUAAUCAAUGAUUUUCCCAUUUAUCACACAGUUCAUAAUAUGUGGAAAUGGAUGGACCUCUUAUUUUGUCUGCGUAAAAUCUUAUGUGUCUAAUAUUUUAGGGGUAUCUUCAUUCUCCCCUUUUAUAUUCAUGUUGCCAGAUUGUUGUUCCUAUCCAAUGCUUGCCCUUCAAUUUGGGUUUGAGGGUAGGGAAGGGGUAAAAAAGGCGUUGAAGACCAAGUCAUAAUUUUGUAUUGAAAGUUUAGGGUUGCUGCCAUUAUUGGUUCCUCUCUGUUUUUGCAUGUGCUGUUACACAAUGGAAAAACUCUUCUUAUUUUUGGUGCGACAUCAUUUAUUAUUCGAGAAAAUUGAACAAAAAAAAACUAGUUUUAAAGCAUGCAUCACAGUGGAAUAUAAGAACACUAAAACCGGCCUGCACUACAAGGAAGUAGCUAUGCAGUCAACUGCUAUAUUCUGCAAUUCCUACAUCUUCUAUAUAAGUCGCUGUCAAUAAAUUUGCAUUUGAAUCUGGUGACAGGUUAUGCUAAGUAACAUCUGCAAAAACAUUCUUUGCAAACAACUCUGGUAAUUGGUGUUUCCAAUUAACCCAAAUUGUUUAAAAGAGGCUACAUGUAGUCCUUCAUAAAAAAAUUGCUAUCUUGUUUUGCAUCCUUUUGGGCUUACCCUUAUAUGUGUAUUUUGGAAUUUCUAUCUACGGGAUUACAUUACAUGUAUGCUUAUUUUUUUUUCUUUUCAAUAUCCUGACUAAUUUAUUUUGCGAAGGUGUCUGAAGCUUCUGUCAGCAGAAACCGUAGCACUAUAAUUGUUCCUGCAGGAAGUGGCAGGGAUGAAGGGUGGGCAGCAUUCAGGAACAUUUUGGCAGAGAUUAAUGAAGCCUCGAGGCUUUUCCUUCUGCCCAAUCAGGUUUCUUUCUUUUGCAAAUAGAUAGUUAUUUUCCUGCUUAGCCACCAAUAUUUUCCUAGUUGUCUUUUUUGUGUUAAAACUCAUGUUGUUUGUAUUUCACAACAGCAAAAUUCUGAAUCCUCAGAGCGACUGGUUGGACUUUCGGAUGAUGUUGGUGCUGGUUUCAUAUCGGGUCAUAGUACUCAACCUGCCCCCUCUUCUGAACUGAAUGUCGACAGGUCCGUUGAUUUGCCAGCUCAGGAUGAAAUUGGGAACUCGGGGGUCUCAAAAGUGAUCAGGGCUGAUCAAAAAAGAUUUUUCUUUGAUCUUGGAAACAACAAUAGGGGUCAUUAUCUAAGAAUAUCUGAGGUGUGUUGCUAUUGUGUUUUUGUUGUCUUUCUGCCUUAUAGCUUAUUGGACUAGCUUAUAAGCUUGUUUGAUAAAAAUGUGAAGUGUUUGGUAACGAGCUUCUCUAACUAGCUUAUAGCGUUUUUUGAGAUACUAUUUCAAGUAACGUAUGAGCUUAUAGCUUUUUACAUUUUCCCCAUUUUUACCCUUAUGAUUUUUAUUUAUUAUUUCUUUAUUUUUUUUAAAUAUAAUAACUACCCACUAAUCAUACUCACUAACCAUGUACUUUUAUGUCAUUUUGUACUUACAACAGCUAAAUUUACCAAACACUUUAAUUUUAUUCUACUAGCUUUUCAGCUAUAAGCUACCAGCCAUCACCUAUAAACUAGCUUUUCAGCUAUAAGCUAGCUAGCUUAUAGCUUAUUUUUACCAUAGUUUGGGUGGAAGAUUUUCUGCUGUAAAUUCUUGUUAUCUCAUUGCAGGUUGCAGGUUCUGAUAGAUCCUCCAUCAUUCUUCCAUUGUCAGGGCUCAAGCAGUUUCAUGAGAUUGUUGGUCACUUUGUGGAAAUCACCAAGGACCGUAUUGAGGGUAUGUCAGUUGCUAAUGUCCGUACAAUUGAUCCCCCUCAAAGAUGAAUGCUAACAUGGGGAUUAUGGUGACAAUAAGUAGUCCCCCUUUGCCAAGGUUUCAUCAUGGAUAUGAAUGGGUGUUGUCUUUGAAUUUGAUUUGUGCUAUUUUAUUUAUCCGCAGCCUCAUCCUUUUUCUAAUAUAUAUAUUGUUCUACAAUUAAGGCUUUUGAAAUAAAUCAAACACUUGUUUGUCAGCAGAAUAAUGGGAAUAUCUCUACAAGGUUAGUAAUUUGAAUAGGUAAUAAGGGAAGAAAAUGGACCAGAGACUUGUACUUGAUUGGAUAGUUUGGCAACGGGACUAUACUUUGUACUAAUGAUUGUUUAUUUUGCUUUCCUGCACAUAUUUCACAUGGAUUAAAUUUUCAUACAGGCUAAGGUAUCAACACCUAUUCAGAUCAUAUUUUCGGUUUUAUUAUUUGCCUAUUUUGUGGGGUUAUUCUCAUCUUGCAUCAACUGAAACUUGAUCUUUAUAAGUAUCUGUUUCUAUCAGGAAUAGAUUUUCUCCUGUAAAAAUCUCUCGAGUUUUCUCGAGUGUGAGAAUCUACACCAUUACACAUUGUUUUUUGACAAAAAAUAUCCUCCAUGCAUUUAAUUUUCAAUGGCUAGGAUUUCACUGGUCCCUACAAUCACUACAGAGGAUCCAGUCCCAUUUCCAUCGUUAUUCAUAUCUUUCGAGUAAACAUUCACGCCUCGGAAUGAGUGAAAAGUCGGAUUCAUAAAAAAAAUUUAAGUAACCAACAUUCAAUACUCCAACCCAUGGCCAUAGAUGCAAGUCCCCCUUUUCACCCUCAAUAUCCCUUUAUCACAUUUUUAUAAACACUAAUAAAAAGAUUUUUUUUUUUAAAAUGAAAAAUAAAUAAAUACAUAAAGUUAUUUUCUCAUCUAUCCAUAUAGGCAAAACCAAACAUGGUGCUACUUUAUUUGAUUUUCAAUAUGAAUAAUGCUAGCAACACACUUUUUAACAAACACACUCAAAUACACUCUCUUUUAUUGGUUGAAAUUCACAUGGGUCCCAUAAAAAAAUGUGGACCUAUAUAACUUUUAUAGGAUCCAUAUAAAUUUUAACCAAUAGAAGAGUGUGUUAGAGUGUGUUUGUUAAAGAGUGUGUUGCUAGCACUCCUCAAUGUCCUUUAAGACUUAAGGGUUCAUUUGAUGGUCAGAAUAUAUGAUACUCCCUCCGGACAUAAAUAUAAGAAAAAAAGACUUCAAAUUUUGGUCACUAUAAUAAGCAAAAGUUAACUACUUUUAAACUAAUUAAUACUACUAUUAAUAAUAUACCCUUAUUUAAUUCUACUUUAUUUUAAGCAUUUAUUUCAAUUUUACACUUUUCAAAAUGGAUAAUAUAGUAAACUUAACUAAAGUUUUGCAUUAAAUCAAGAAAAUUAACUACACUUAACUAAAUUUUUUAAACGCCAUGAAAACAUUUUUUUUUCCUUAUAUUUGUGUCCGGAGGGAGUAUGAUAAUUGUAUCAUAUCAACAAGAUAUCAUAUUCUCCAACUUUUUGGAGUUGUGGAGUCUUUUGCUGCUGGUGGUACAUAUUCUCCAACUUCAACUACUGAACACAUGUUGUCUUGUAAUCUAAGGAACAACACCAUUUUAUCCUUCCAGUAGUAGUAAUCAUCUCCUUCAAAUAAAGGCAGUCUAUUUGAUGAACCUCCUUCUGAAAUGAAUUUUGCGUUUUUUGUCAUUACUUCCUUCCUAAAUUUUUCCCUCUAGCACUUGUUAGAUGCUCAAUCGAAGAGGCAGAGCUCUGAUGCCAAUUGAAUUAGCAAAGUUUUUCACAAGGAAGAGGGGUUGAAUUGUGAACCUUUUAAAAUUUUCUUAUAAAAUUAAUCUCAAACCAAAAUGUUAGAAUGAUCUUAGAUCGAUCUGGUUAGUGAUAAAUAUAAAUCAAAAGUAAAUUGUGUGUGUAGUGCUUGCACAAAUUAAAAGAUAGGGAAGAAGAGAAUCAGCACACAAACAAUUAUACUGGUUCACCCCUAAGUAUGAGUUAUGUCCAGUCCUCACGCUCCGUGAGUGUAUCCACUAAAUUCUUGAGAUACUACCGAUCACAAAUUUCAAACCUCCUUGAUAUAAACCAAGAUCAAUAACCUUAUGCACUACAAGCUUAAAUCUACCUCAGUCCAACAUACUUUAAGAGGUGUCACUCAAUCAAUAGUUACGCAUUGACUUGAACCAAUCUUUCUUUUACAAAGAAUUGUUGGAUCAAAAGCUUACAAAUAAACUACAUCUAGUUGAGAAGCUUAAACACAAAAGCACUCGGUUCACUCAAUAGUAUACUAGUCCAAGUAUUUAAUUCAAAGAGAUGGGGAGUGAGUGUGAUUAAAUACUUAUUUGGAUAAUUGGAUAAAAGAAGAGCUUUCUAGUGAGUGUGAUUAAAGAAGAGCUUGAAAACUUGUAUAAUUGGAUAAAUACUUAUUUUUUUGGACAAAUUUGAAGAAUAAUUCUAAAUUUAACUGGGAUAUAUUGAAAGUUAAAAGAAAAAGUCGAAUCCUCCUAGAGAGUUUCAAAAGCUCAUUUUUGAUGAUGUUUCUGGGGCUUGCAUGCCCAGGAAUGUCCGGUUAACUUAGUUUUUUUUCUGUUAUUUUUUGGGCGUUUGCCCUCUCAUGUACCAAAAAAAAAAAGUCGAAUAUAAGUUUGUAAUAUUUCAAAUUUAUCCAAUUAUCAGCUAGUAUUCCUCAAAUAGACACCAAAUUCUUCUCGUGACUCCGUGAGCACGGUUCAAUGAUAAGAAUUUAACUUUAAAAUUUUAGGGGACAUAAUUUAAAUUCUCUUAAUGAUUGCUGUAAAACUCUUAAAGAUUGCUGUAAAAUAAUCAAUAAUUAAUUUUAUAUAGAUAUUCAAUAAAACCCUAUUAUUUUGCAUGCCUUCCAUUUUAUAAAUGCAUUUGAAAAUUAAUUUUUAGUUUUAUGAUAUAAUAACUAGAUACUAAUAUAAUUAUUUUACGGUGGCAGUGGCACCCAUGAAAAAAUAGAGGGCUCGAGUAAAAAAGACAAGAAAAAAAGAAGAAAUCUCUAGUUAGAUGUUAGUGACACAUGAUAAACAUGUCAUUCUAUUUAUAUUAUUAUAGCAAAUGUAGAAAAUUAAAAUAAAAAACAAUAACUCUUUUAACAUAAGAGAGGAGACGAGUAGAUUGUAAUUCAAUCUAUGUGAAGUGUAAUUCUCUCAAAUAUGUUUUGCAUAAGAAGAGAGUAGAAUAUACAUUUUGACAUAUGAGGAGACAAUUAAGAUAAUAAUGCAAUUUAAGCAUCAGAGAAAAGAGAGUUUAAUUUUAUAAAAUGAAUUUACGAGAUAUAUAUAUAUAUAUAUACAUAUACACUUAACUAUUAUUUUUUCGUCUCCAUGAGCAUAAUCAGUUAGUAAUAGGGACAAUAUUAUAUAUAUGAAUUGAGGUUCGAACCAUAUAUAGUAUCACAUUAGCCACUAGACUACUCUAGAUAAAAACUAAAAAAAUAAAAUCUGACAAAAAAAAAAAAAUCUACAGGAGUGGUGUGUUCAAUUUAUGCAAAACUUAGAGGAAUUAAUGAUAUUCUAAUGGUAAAAACAUUUUUGGCUUUUAUUUCACUAUUGUUCUAUAUUUGGAAUAAUUAUUACUAUAUCCUCUUCAAAGCAUAUAUUUAUUUAUUUAUAAUAUAUAUUUUUUAUUCUCUUUAUUUAUGGUAGUAGACCUAUUAAAUAGGCUAUAGAAAGGGAUUGAUCUAUAAACGUAGAGAACUAAAUAAAGCAUGUGAAUAUUUUCAUUGGGUUUUCCUAAUUCUCAAUGAAAGAUUAAAUUCUAAAAAAAGAAAGUAAACAGAAAGUAAGAGAGAAAAAACAGACAUGAGUGGUGGAGAGACACACAUAAGGGGUGUGGGUGAGAGACAUAUUCGUUGAAAACAAACUCUAAAAAAAGGUUUGCAAAGACAUAUAUAAACAUAUUCAUGUUGAACAAGAGAAACACAACACAAUAAACAACUAUCUUUUCCAAUAAACAAAGAAAAGAAAGAGUUGAGAGAAUAAAAACACACAAAACAAUAAUGACUCGUGGGGCUAUUAUAGCUUUGUUGGUUUGCCUUAUGGCAACUGCUGUUAGGUCUGAAGACCCUUAUGUUUACUACACAUGGAAUGUUACAUAUGGUACCAUUUCUCCUUUGGGUACUCCCCAACAGGGUAUUCUUAUCAAUGAUAAAUUUCCUGGACCUGAAAUUAAUGGUUCCAGUAACAACAACAUUGUAGUUAAUGUGUUCAACAACCUUGAUGAGCCACUCCUUUUCACAUGGCACGGUAUUCAACAAAGGAAAAACUCAUGGCAAGAUGGUACACCGGGAACACAAUGUCCCAUUGCCCCAGGAACCAACUACACCUACAAGUUCCAGGUUAAGGAUCAAAUUGGUAGUUACUUUUACUACCCUACCACUGGUCUCAUGAGAGCUGCCGGUGGUAUUGGUGGAAUCAGAGUCUUCAGCAGAUUGUUGAUUCCUGUCCCAUAUGCUGAUCCUGCUGAGGAAUAUUGGCUCCUCAUGGGUGACUGGUACGGAAAGAGCCACACCACAUUGAAGCAAUUCCUUGACAGUGGUCGAUCCAUUGGAAGACCUAGCGGAGUCCACAUCAUGGGAAAAUCCAACAGUGCCGAACCACUCUACACCAUGGAGCCUGGAAAGACCUACAAGUACAGAAUCUGCAAUGUUGGUCUUAAGGACUCUCUUAACGUCAGAAUCCAAGGUCACCCAUUGUUGCUUGUUGAAACGGAAGGUUCCCACACCGUCCAAAAUGAUUAUGAUUCCCUUGAUGUUCACGUCGGCCAGUGCUACACUGUCCUUGUGACCGCUAACAAGGAACCCAAGGAUUACCUCGUGGUUGCUUCCACCCGUUUCACCAAGGAGGUGCAAACCGCAACUGCUGUUCUCCGUUACUCUAACGGUAAUGGCCCUGCUUCCCAUGUUCUCCCACCUGCACCAGUUGGUUGGGCAUGGUCUUUGAACCAAUUUCGUUCUUACCGUUGGAACUUGACCGCUAGUGCUGCUAGGCCCAAUCCUCAGGGAUCUUACCAUUACGGUCAGAUCAAUAUCACUCGUACCAUCAAGCUUGUUAACACUGCUUCUAAGGUUAACGGAAAGCUUCGUUAUGCUCUUAACGGAGUUUCCCACGUUGACACUGAAACCCCACUCAAGCUUGCUGAAUACUACGGUGUUGCUGACAAAGUUUUCAAAUAUGACACCAUCGUUGAUAAUCCCCCUUCUGUCAUCAAUGAAGUCACCGUAGCUCCAAAUGUCAUCAACGCCACCUUCCGUACCUUCAUUGAGAUCAUCUUCGAGAACCCCACCAAGAGCAUUCAAUCUUACAACUUAGAUGGAUACUCUUUCUUUGCUGUCGCGUAAGUAAUUAAUUAAUUAAUAUGAACAAAUUUUACAUCAUUAUUAUUACUAUUAUUAAUUAAUUAUAUUUUGUGUUUUUGUACAGAGUUGAGCCUGGGAAAUGGACACCUGAGAAGAGAAAGAGCUACAACCUUUUGGAUGCAGUCAGCAGACACACAGUGCAAGUGUUCCCUAAGUCAUGGGCCGCAAUCAUGUUGACAUUCGACAACGCUGGUAUGUGGAACUUGAGGUCAGAACACGCUGAGAACAGGUACCUUGGACAACAAAUGUACAUCAGUGUCUUGUCACCUGAAAAAUCUAACAGGGAUGAGUACAACCUUCCAGACACUCAGCUUGUUUGCGGCAUUGUCAAGGAUAUGCCAAGGCCUCCACCACAAUACAAUUAAUUUCAACAUUCAUGCAUUAGCUUGUUGAUGCAUUAUAUUAAUAUAUAUAAAUAAGUAUAUGUAUGGGUCGGUUUUGCUUUCAUUUCUUGUAUGCUAACUAAUGUAUCAACCAACCCUUUCUUAUAUACAAGGAGUUUGUUUACAUAUAAUAUUAUAUAAUUUUUAAAUUUCAUCUCCUUCUGAUCUUCUUUCUCUUCGAUUUCUCUUUUAUAAUUUAAUUGUAUUUUUAAUAGCUAAUAACUUGUACUUUCACUUGUUUAUAUUAACUAAACGUAUAAAUUUAAAAUUUCAUCUCCUUCUGAUCUUCUUUCUCUUUGAUUUCUCUUUAAUUUAAUCGAUGGAAAUAUUUUUAAUAGCUAAAACUUGUACUUCCCGUUGUUUAUAUUAACUAAACGUUUGACCCGCGAUAUCGUACAUGUCUUGUAAUAUUAGAGAUUUCUCUUAAAUGAAUUAUGUCAAUUAAGUCUAGCAAGUAAAAAUAAUGGCUAAUUUGAAGACAUAAGUUAUAAUAACUACUAUAAAUUUAGCAUGACAUGAUAAAUAAUAAGGCUAUAAUAACUACACAUUGCUUAUUAUUAGUAGUAUUAGACAAAGGGGUUUCAUCACAUGUAGAUAUGUAAUUUUUUGUUGGUGUAUAUCUACAUAACUAGACACAUUUGUGCUUCUUAGAUAACUCAAUCAUAAUUGAAUUUGCUUAUGAAUUUGUGGUUUUAUAAUUUUAGUUUUGAACAAUACUAGUUCUCUUAAAGUGAAUUAUAUAAGACAAAUAUGAACCCUAUGGUCUUAAAACUUGAGUUUGUGAUAGUUAGUACUAAUAUAUAGUGAAAGUAUACGUGCACUAUUUAUAAAGGAAAGUCUAUAUUGCAUUGAUUUAUAUAUUGGGUGAUUCUGAAAUAUUAUGCUUCAUUUUUUGCAUGGCUCAAGGGAUAUAAUUCAUUCCUAUAUAUAAUAUAGUUGCCAAAAAAAUUAAGUUGUGAGCAUGCGUAACUUACAAAGACAAUUCAUACAAUAAACAUCAAUAAUGAUAAAGGUCUACUUUAAUAAGUGAGUUCCAACAAUAUAGUUUAUGAGUUUUGUUUUGCGAGAAAUCUUGAUAAUGAUUGGUGUUCGUUAAUACUAUAAACAAUAUACAUGUUCUCACGUUAAUACCUAACGGUUGAAUUGCUGUAAAUAUGCAGAAAUUAAUAAGUGUUCGUUAAUGCUAUAGCCCUAGCAUCGAGUUCUUGAGUUACUUUUCCCAUUAAUGCUGGCUAGCUUUAUAUCUCAGUUCGGGAUUAGUAGUGUUGUCACGAGAUAACCUAAUUAUCCUAUAGAUUUAUUCAAUAAUACGGCCAGUAUUUUGAAUAAAGCAUUAAAGUAGUAGAUAUAAAAGAUAAUAAACUGUAUAGUAAUUAAUAUAAACUUGUUCAAACCAAAUUACAUAAUAUCAAGCAUUCAUAGUGGAGUUCAUUUACUCGAGCUAACCUAAAGAAAUUUAGCUACUCAUACGCAUAAUUAAAACAAAAGAGUAAAAUUAUGCAUACAUGGGACAGAUCAUAUCGUGGCACGAUGGGACAGAUUUCUUUCAUAAAUUUUGCAGAUUUUCUUCAAAUAAAUUCUUGUCCAUCAUGGCACGAUGGUGGUCAUCGUGUGACGAUAUUUUCAGCUAUUUUCUUCAAUUUUUGCUACUUUUGAUGCAUUUUCUUCCACUCUUGCUUCUUGGUCAAGCAUCUUCACUUCUUUAGGUAUUUAAUUGCAUUUGGUCUUGAAAAGCUACUAAAACUAAUAAAAACUAACCUAAAAAGUACUUAAAACAUCAUAUAAAUUUUUGUCAUCACAACCCCAAACUUAAAUUGUUGCUUGUCCUCAAGUAACAUGUCUGUCAAACAAAAUCGUUAGUGAAUUAACAACUCAAAACCAAUCGUUAGUUGGUUCAGUGGUGAUUGGCGUUUGACUUGGUAGGAAGGACCACAGUUCGAUCCCCCCACAACUGCGAUUGAGAGGGGUUGGAACCACUUGAUAUCGAACUAACCCCCAAAUCAGAUUAAACGGUCCAGUAGGUCGGAUACCGGUGGUAAAAUCAAAACAAAAAACUCAAAAUUUUUCUUUUCCAAACAAAAUUUAAUUACAUUGUUUUUAAGGAUGUGAAUGGAUGGAGCAACAUUUAAUAUUUAUAAUUUUUAUUUUUUUGGAAGCAUUUACCGGUGGAUUUGUAGUAUUUUCUAGCGGAAAAUUCUAUCAAUAACUUUGUGGCAGAAUUUUCUGUCAAUAAAUGAUUUUAAAUUUUAUUGAUAAAUUGAGGUUUUCUUAUAGUGAUACACAUGCACACAUUUUGUUGCGUUAUGGACAAUAUAUAACAAAAAUGAUUUUUUUUGUAGGAUAUAGUAUAUUGAAAGCAGAGAUAGAUCGUCAAUUUGUUUGAUGGCGAAACCGUGGGGAAUGAUUUAUGGGAAUGGAUGGAUCUGAUGGCUAGUUUUGUUGUGCUAUUCAAAUGUCAACAUUCUAACUAUAGACAAAGGGAAUUGGUUUGACACAUAAAUCGGAUAUAUGUAAGAGGAAGCACGCAUACUAAGGAGUAAAUGAGAGAGAUGUUAACGGAGUGUUUGAAUGGGUAAUAAGCAAUAAUAUCACCCCAAUGAGUAUAUAUAAUUCACAAGCCAAAAACCUUGAGCAAUGUGGUAAUCUUCUUACCUAACUUCUUAUAAUAGUUAUUAAAAAGAAAAUAUGGAGAGGCCAACAUUUUUGUUGUUAUUAUGUCUCUUGGUUGGUACAAUUUCAAUUGUGAAGAGUGAAGACCCUUACUUCUUUUUCACAUGGAAUGUUACCUAUGGCACACUCUCCCCUGCUGGUGUUCCCCAACAGGUUAUUCUCAUCAACAAUGAAUUUCCUGGACCCAACAUCAACUCCACCAGUAACAAUAACAUUGUUAUUAACGUCUUCAACAACCUCGACGAGCCAUUGCUUUUCCAUUGGUACGUACUACAUACAUACAUACAUAUGUACAAUAAAUGAUUUAAAAUUUGUUUAUUUGUUUUUUAUUUGAUCAAUUAAUUAAUAAAUGAAAUCUAAGCAAUAUUGUAUAAUCAUAUUUGCAGGCAUGGAAUUCAGCAAAGGAAAAACAGUUGGCAAGAUGGUGUAGCAGGAACAAACUGUCCCAUUCAACCAGGAACAAACUUCACAUACCAUUACCAAGUGAAGGAUCAAAUUGGUAGCUUCUUCUACUUUCCUAGCUUGGGAAUGCAAAGAGCAGCCGGUGGUUUCGGUGGCCUCCGCGUGAACAGCAGGUUGCUCAUUCCCGUCCCAUACGCCGAUCCCGAAGACGAUUACACCGUCCUAAUCGGUGACUGGUUUACCAAGAGUCACACUGCCCUUAGCAAAUUACUGGAUAGCAGCCGUUCCCUAGGAAGACCACAAACAGUUCUCAUUAAUGGCCAAAACGCCAAAGGUGACGGAACUGACAAACCACUCUUCACAAUGAAGCCAGGAAAAACCUACAAAUACAGAAUCUGCAAUGUUGGUCUUAAAAGCUCCCUCAACUUUAGAAUCCAAGGUCACCCACUGAAACUUGUUGAAAUGGAAGGUUCCCACACCGUUCAAAACACUUACGAUUCCCUCGAUGUCCACUUAGGAGAAUGCUUUGGUGUUCUCGUAACAGCAAAUAAAGAACCAAAAGAUUAUUACAUGGUUGCUUCAACCCGUUUCACUAAAUCCAUUCAAACAGGUAAAGGUAUUAUCCGUUAUACUAACGGUAAAGGUCCUGCUUCACCUGAACUCCCUGAAGCUCCAGUAGGAUGGGCUUGGUCUUUGAACCAGUUCCGUUCUUUCCGUUGGAAUCUCACCGCUAGUGCUGCUAGGCCCAACCCACAGGGUUCUUACCAUUACGGUCAGAUCAAUAUCACUCGCACCGUUAAACUCAUUAACAGCGUUAGCAGAGACGGUGGAAAACUCCGCUAUGCACUUAACGGCGUCUCCCAUGUGGAUACAGAAACCCCUCUUAAACUCGCUGAAUACUAUGGUAUCGCUGAUAAGGUUUUUAAGUACGACACCAUUCCUGACAUGCCAACAAGUGUUCCAAAAACUGUUACAGUGCAACCCAAUGUUCUUAACUUCAAACAUCGUACUUUCAUUGAGAUCAUUUUUGAGAACCCUGAGAAAAGUGUCCAAUCUUACAAUUUAAAUGGAUAUGCGUUCUUCUAUGUAGCGUGAGUAUACAUAUACAUAUAUUUAUUUACAUACUAUAAAAAUUUAAUUUGCUUAUGCAAUUAAUGUGUUUGUUUAUGUACACAGCGUAGAGCCAGGGACUUGGACACCAGACAAAAGGCAGACCUAUAACUUGCUUGAUGCUGUGAGCAGACACACCGUUCAAGUGUUUCCAAAAUCAUGGGCUGCAAUAAUGUUGUCAUUUGAUAACGUUGGAGUUUGGAAUUUGAGGUCAGAGAAUGCUGAGAAUCGUUACUUGGGACAACAGUUGUAUAUAAGUGUGUUAACUCCAGAACGUUCUCUUAGGGAUGAGUACAAUAUGCCAGAGGGUCACUUAGUCUGUGGACUUGUUAAGGAUCUUCCAAAGCCUGCUUCAUACGUCUAAGUACUAUUAAUGGUGGAAGCAACCAACCUCUUAAUUUCUUUUUAAGUUGUUAUGUAACUAGCAUUCCCCUGUCAGGCUCCUCAGCUAAAGUUUUCAUAUCAUUGUAUUAGCUGAGGUAUUAGGUAUUUUGUAUACAGGGACAGGGUGAAGUGGAGAAAUAACAUAGGGCUUUUCAAGCAUUAUUAGAUGUCAUGUACUAGAUCAUUUUGAAUCAACACUUAUAGAAAUUUCAUUACAUUUUUGUACUUUUACUAUAACUUUUAUACCACAAUUUCUACUAAUUUCUUUUCAGGAUUAAAUAUGUUUUUAUUCUCUAUAUUUAUGCAGCCUUCUAAGAUACUAGUCUCUAUUUAAUUUUUAUUAUAUUUUUAGUCCCCAAAUUAUCAACAUGAAUUAGGUCUAUUAUUCAUAUUUUGUGUGUUUGGGGAAAAUAGAUAAAUGGUUUCUUAUAAUUUUUUAGAGACUUCUUGAAUCAAUAUAAUUGGUAAUCAAUCAAAUGUAAGCACGUGACAGUGAAAGAAUGAAAAGAAAAAAUAAAAAUAAUUACUUAAAUAGCAUCUGUAUUUUUUUAAAAAAAUUAUUAACAUCUUCAUAUACUAAUAGGUCUCAUUCAUGUUGAUAAUUUGGUUGGCCACAUUUACAUUAUUGCAGGACCUGGACAGCAAAAGAAUGGCACGAACUGUCAUGACGUUAUGGAUGAUUUGGUGGAGACGCAAUAAAAAAUGUUGGGAUGACAGGCUACCCUCAACCUUUGAAGUUAAACGACGAGCUAGAGAGUUCGUCUCUAGACGAUUGGCUGUGCGGGCAUUGUUGAUGAGAAUACAGCAGCUUAAAUGCUAGCAGAGUUGUGCAGCAAAAUUGGACAAAACAACAGCAAGGAAGCUUUAAAUGUACGUGGAUGCAGCAUGCUAUGUCACAAAAAAUAGAUACAGCAAUGGAGCAGGUGUACGGGAUGCAGCAGGAAGAUUUGUUAAGGCAAUGACAUCUCACUUUGUCGGCCAGUCAGAGGUGCAAGAAGCAGAAGCUCAUGGACUCUUGAUCACACUUCAAUGGAUACAACAAUUUCAACUCAACAGAGUAGAGAUAGAGAUGGAUUGUUUGAAUGUGGUCCAAAGCAUAGCAGGAAGAAUGGUGAAUCUAACUGAAUUUGGUAGUAUUAUUAGAAAGUGCAAACACAUGCUGAAUUUGAUUCAAAAUUGAGGUCAGUUCUGUUAGGCAGCAGGCAAAUCGGGUAGCUCAUGAGUUAGCUCAAGUGACUCGAUCUUAUGUUAGUCACUAUAUGUCUUUGAUUAUUGUCCAGAGGAUAGUACAGACAAGGCAUUAGAAGCAUGUUGAUUAAAGUAUUCAUGCAUGGGAAUGAAAUUAUAAUCUAUAUUCUUGUUUUUAAUGUUUAUGUACUCUUGUCACAUGGAUUGUUUUUUUACGGAUAUUGAAACUAUUUUAAUUAAUGAAAUGAAUUAAGUUUGCUUGUGUGAAGAAAAAAAAAGUAAGAUGUGAUUUAAUUAAGGAAUAUAAAUUAUAAUUACAAGGUUUAUUAUAUUUUUCUAAUAAUUACAAGGUUUAUUGUAUUUUUCUAAUAAUUACAAGGUUUAUUGUUGAAAAAUCAUAAUCUCGUUUCACUAACAAUUAAUCACAAUUGUUAUGGCAACAUUAUGUUGGUCCGAGUGAAUUGAACUAUGAUCGUUUAAGCAAAAUCUCAGAUUUUACACCGGAAAGGAAAAAGUUAGUUGGCGGGGAGACACCAAUAAAGGUGGUUUGGCCAGGUUUUCGGCGGAAUUAGUUCAAAAUCCGGUUGAUAACAUGGUUACCAAAAAAUACAUAGAUCAGUUAAAGUAGUUGACAAACGAGUUUGAGAGGUCAAGACGGCAGAAGUUUAGGGUUAAAGAACAACAAAUCCCUUCGGACAAAAGCAGUAGUAGUACCAGGAAUAACUGGUAGUUCCAAUCCAAUUCAUUUAUCAAAAAUAGAUAUAUAGUCACAUUCAAUUUCAUACUAAAAAGAUGUGCCCCACAUGCCCAGAGAAAAUAAAGAAUCAACCAAAAUUGGAUUUCCUACAAAUCCUUACACUGCCUGCAGACGCCUGAUUUGCUGCUCGAUUACUUCCAAAAUUCUUCCGAUUUGAUUCCCUCGCAAUUCUAGAACCAAACUGCAGCAAUACAUACAUAUAUACAAUGCAAUGACAGAUUAGUCACUAUGCAAAAAGAGUUGUAAAGCAAAAUGCUUAAGUGUGAAGUUUUCGAGUGCACACCUGUAUUGCUCGUUUAGGAAGGACUGCUGCUUCAUAUAAACCAAGCAAUUCUGCAACCUUCAAAAUAUAUAUUAACCGUGAGAUUUAAGUUUGGAAAUCCAUUUUCUAUGUUAGAUCUUCAGACAGAAUAGGGUUCAAUUUUUGGUAUAAUAAAAGGGAAUAUAUAAAUGCAAAUUCUAUGGUGGACCACUUUGACAGAUGGUCCAUGGUGUACCGGCACUUGAAAAUCACUGGAUACUACAACAAAGAAUCAUGGUACAUCAGUACCUGUCGGAAGUAGAAGCUCGUGAUUCUCCUCAUUUCUUAUGAGUGAGACAAUGACCUAACUAGUUUGAAAAACCAAUGGAAAACGAGCAUUAGUGUCUCAAAAUCGACACAUUCAUUUUCCUUUAUUUUUAACGAACCGGCACCGAUCAAGUCACAAUCUCACUAAUGAGAACAAGGAAGAACGUGAGCUUCUACUUCCAAAGGGCGACAUCGGUUUUCAUUGGUAUUUCAAGUGAUUUUCAAGUACCGGUCCACCAUAGAACCCACCAUAAAGUAUAGCUCUUUCCGAUGGAACUUCAAACUCACUUAUGAAUUCAAUUCAGGCAACAACACUAGUUUCAAGUCCUUAUAUUCAUAACUCCUAAGAUAUAUGAUCAUGUUACCAAAAAUUUGGAUCACAAGUUUGAAUCAGCUGAGUUAAGGUGUUAGGUUAUUGAAAACGGUCUUGAUAAAGUGUUGCUGAGUCAGCCAAUAAAUGGUGACAAGUUGAAAAUUCAUUCGUUAAUAACUUCAUACUUCAUAGCGGUAGAAAACAAGUAAAUAAAUCUCAGUCAACAACAAUACCUCUCUUAAUAUCUUUUUAUCACCGAUGCCACUAGGUUGUUCAAGGUUGGCAACCUCCCACAAUGGAAUGUUGAGUAAAAACCUUAUAACAUCCUCAUCCAAGAACGGGAAUCUAGCCUAAAGAAAAAACAAACCAAAAAAAUGAUAAGUAACCAUGAGAUUAACAUUCUUGCAAUAAUUUGAACAUUACCUCCUUUCCGUUAUCAGCAAUACAUCUAUCAUCUCUCCCUAAAUUUCUUUUCCAAAUUCUUUGCAUGUCGAGUUUCAUUUCCUCGUGUAGCCCCAGCCAACUGAUUAAGGCAUAUUAUACCAUCAGAGUCCAUUAAAAGAUAAUGCACGUGUAGUCAUAGUUCAUAAAUCAGUACUAUUAAGUUAGCACCAAGAUAACCUGAUAAUUUUGAGAUGCUCCUUCUCUAAGCAGAUGUAUAUCAAAAUACCACAUAAAAUACAAUGAGUCUUCCAAAUUAAUUAUCAAUUAAAAAUUUAGUUAUAUAAAUAUUUUAGAACAAAACCCCCCUAUUAACUUUGUUGUUUAANNNNNNNNNNNNNNNNNNNNNNNNNNNNNNNNNNNNNNNNNNNNNNNNNNNNNNNNNNAUACAAGUGGUGUCAAUCGGGUCCUUAAAAUACUCUUGCCAUCAAUUUAGUCUCUCAAAUUCAUCAAUUUAAUCCCUCAAUAAUGGAAACUCUCAUCAAAUUAGUCCCUAAAUUAGGAUUCCAUUUCACUCAUUCCUCAAACCCAACAAAGAAAGACUGAAUUUUGAAUAAUUGAGAAACUAAAAUGAUGAUAAAAAAAAAAUUUAGGAUGAAAGUAUCUUUGGAGGAGAAACCAGUGGUUUAAUCAAUAUUUUUAAAAACAGUGAGCUGAAUAUUAUCAUUUAUAAGUUGUAAACGUAAACAUGAUAAUAAAAUAUGAUUCAACAUUACAUAUUAAUAAUACCUUCCUCGUCUAAAACUUGUUCUAUGUCUCCCAUAACCAGCACACUGUUCAUCAGCACCAGAGCCAACAAGGAGAAUCCUUGCAUUGGACUUGUACUUAAUCCGUGCAUGAGUGUCAUCAUUAUCAUCUGCAUCAGACACCCAUCCAUCACCACCAGAAGCGAGCCAUAAAGCUAUUCCAAUAUUAAGGUCCUGAAAUGAUAUGUGCAAACCAAUCAUCAAAUAAUGUAAAGGUGUUUGAAAACUUAGCUGUAGGCUUUUCAGUCUGAAAUUUCAGCAGAUCGAGAAUUUAACUGAAGAUAAUUCUAAUCAAUAAAAACAUCAAACUUAUUCAAUGCUCUAUGCAAUGCUUGGAUAAAGGAAAGACAAGUUUAGAUUCUUAACGAAGACCUACUUUACCUCUAAUUUUACCUUUUCUAUUAUUAUAAACAUGUAUUACCUUAAGAGACCACAAGGUAAUCUAAAAUUAACAACUGAAAAUUAAAUGAUGUUGAAAAAAGUACAAACAUAGAAUACAGAACGAUAUGCCUUUUUGACAGUCUGAAAUUUGCAAUGGGUUCAUUAUUCAAAUCAAAUCAGAUAUGUUCACGGAUAUGACAGAACUAGAACAGUAAAUUAAUGAUCCAGAGGAUUAAUUUGUACCAUGUAGGUGUUGGCAGGAUUUAUGAGUGACAUAACAUGACUAGUUUCGAACAUCAAGUCUGACAAGUCAGCAUCAAUCUCGACGAGUCUCCACCUGCACUUUCAACAGACGCUGUAAAACAACUGAACAUGACAGAUGCAAUAAAAGAUAUUUACAUAAAUCAAUUCCAAUAAAUCAGUGUUGUCAAGAUCUUGACUAAGAUCGGAAGGGGGUAGCAAGAUCGCAAGUUGCAAAUAGGAUCGUAAGUUCCUACCCAAGUAAUUACGAAAGAUCGAGAGGGGGUAGCAAGACUGCAAAGUGUAAGAUCCUGCCAAAACGAAAAACAAUUCGCGCGCGCGAGUGUGUGUGUGUGUGUAAGCUUACAAGUCUUAACUAACAAAAAUCACAUGCAAAACAUGAGACUUUCACAAGUUUAAAAAUAGAACAACAAACUCCUCGAAAGAAACUACUCAAAGCUUAAACAUAAAACAAUUAAGUCCACAAAAGAAAAUACUUAAAGCCUAGAUUGAAUCACAAAUGCGCCAAUUACUCGUAACCUCCAUAAUAUCAACAUUUUCAUCUUCAUUAAUACCAUCCUCCUUCAUUGUCACUUUCUAUAACAUCAGGGACAUCCAAUUCAUCUACAGGUGCAAUACUAAUACCAAUGUUUUCAGUGUGAAUAAAAUCAUCAUCGGGAACAACCAUGGCCACACCAGUGACUUAACCAGGUCGAUCACCGGUCUGGGUUUUAAAACUAUGAGUGGAGGUAGUGGAGGAGAUCCACUCUCCCACCAUUCCUCCUCCUCCCAUUAUUUAGGCCAUGCCUUUUAAAAAAUAUAUAUCUACUUAGUCAGCUGAUGUCUAGCGUGGCUCAUGCUUAUCUGAGCAUAUCCGAGUGGGUCUCCCCAGAGUGAGAAAAUUCCUCAGUUGUUGGGCCGAAUUCAGAUUUAUGCUUCGGUAUGACAUGGGUCGAACAAUGACUGUCGUACAUUAAGCCCAAAAUAUCUAUGACGAUACAAAAAAACAAAUUAACUUCACUAUUAUUAAGUAUUUAAUUUUCUUGUGUCAAGAUCUCAAUCUUGCCAACAUUGUUCACAAUGAUUUGUUAUUUUAGAAAAUAAAACUUGAUGUCAUCAAUUUCAUUUUGAUGCCAAUGUAUUCUUUCAUGAACAUAUACAAACAGCAAAAUAUGUUGUUAUAUGCAUCACAAGAAGUUUGCAAAGCAAUGAAUGAAGGAAUGAAGUAUGCCAAGACAUUUUAAAACAAUAGGUCAAUUAUUAUACAUAUUUCCUCCCAACUCACAAAUUUAUUCACUUUUUAACAUUCAGUGUAGAUUCAUUCACAUCUGCGAGAUUUAGUUAAAUAUUUUCUAUUUGAAAUUAGAUUGCAGUAUUUCCUACAACGAUGGAACAAACAUUACCAGUCAAACCACAUCAUUAAUCAUACAAGAAAUAUAUGUUCCAGACCACUUGCAAAGUUGCAAUGCCUCUAACUAAGGAAAAGAUAUAUAGUUUACCGCAGAUAUCCAAUCUGAUAAUAGGUACAACAUUUCCUCUAUUUUUCAAUCUUUUCGACCAAAAUAAAAUAGAUAAAAUUCAAUAUCAUAUUACAUAAAUUUAUAAUUAUUCAAUAUGCACACUUUCUUAACAAACUUCAUUUUUGUAUAUAACAAUUUAAUAUUGAAAAAAAAAUAAAAUUCAAAUUCGGUAUUUAAGAAAAGGUAUUUUUACCAAGCAACAAGAAAUAUAUAAAAUAAACAAGGAUUGCAUACCUUCUGGAUGGUGCAACUCUUUUUAGUUCUUUCAACCCUGCCUUGGCAGAUUUUCUAUCAGGAGCCAACUCACCAUCAAAGCUUACAGUAAGUAGAUCAAUUUCAUCUGUCAAUUAAAACAAACGUUAGACAUUCGGCUCAUCAGAAGGUUCCUAGAAUUAAAACAUGUAAACUAUACGAACUCAACCAAUUCAACUUUAGGCGAUUCAACACCAAACAAGGAACUUGUUACAUAUAAUACAUUCAUAUGAUUUAAUCCAAUGGCUUGAAACUUUGGGAUGGGAUAGUUGAUUUGUGACAUGUUACCAAAGCCUCUAUGAUCAAUUGACCAUGCAAUCUAGAAGUUGAUCCUUCUUACUCCCAUUCUUCUAAAUUAAUAUUUAAGGUUCAACAUGUGCAUUGUUUAUGCUUCGAAAGGGCUCUUGCAGUAAAAGGCAUAUUAGAUAUAAAUCAUUCAUGUUCAAGAAGGUGCAGUAUAAUCACCAUAGAAGAAGGUAAUUUAAGCUUAUUUGGGAGCACUCACAACUGGGAUCCAGACAUUGAUCCAAUAAUGCAGAAAGUAUCAUAGAAUCCAGCCCACCAGAGAAAAGAACUGCAACAGGAACAAAUUUCUCUUGUCUGAUACCACAUAUCGCUGCCUAUGCAAUCAAAUUCAAAGAGUUCAAUCACGAGUUAUGACAAAUAUAAAUGACAUUGACUGAAGGAAAACAAGAUCAAGUCUACAAUAAAUACAAAUGUCAUUAAAGCCUCUAAGGUAAUGCCAUCCAAGAAUAAAAAUGUUGACUAGAAAAGAAUUGAUGAAGAUUUAGAAAACAUAUAAUGGAAAUCCAAAUUCAAUUAUUAGAAUUUCUAAAUAUGCCAAACACAAAAAAUUGGUGGAGAGAUGAAGUAGUUGCAAUUUGCAUAAGGGAAAUACAGGUUAUAAUAAUUUGUGUCAGAACUUAGCAUCGUGGCAGACUAGAAAUAUUUAGUUCAGCGUGAAUGCGCAUGAUUCUAGUAACAAAAAUUCUGGAAGUUUUCCAAUAUUCACUUUUUUGUUUUUAAAAAUUUCAAGAAAUACGUUCGUUAAAAUAUUUGCUACAUUGCUUAAAAAAAAAAUGCUAGAUAAAUAAAAAAUAAGCUGAGUUAAAACAUGCGAAUUGUUAGAGAAUACAAAUAUCAUUCACCUUUAUCACUUUAUCUUAAGAUUUUAUUUUUUUAGUUUUUAUAGAAAUACAAACAACGAUAGCCAUGACACAACAAUUGAAGUUGCUGUCGAUUGACUAAAAGGUCACAGAUUCACAAGUUUGAGUUGUGAAAUCACGAAGCUGAUAAAGAUUUUAAUGUAAGACACGAAUCUCGAAUUAUUCAUCACAACUAUUUGACAUCCCCAAAGUUGAAAAAUCCUAUCAACAUCAUACAAACUGAUGACAACACAUAAAGGAAUGUCAAAAGGGUGGGGAUAAAAAAUUAAGAGAGUAUUGUGAGUUGUAACAAUAAUAAACAUCACAUAAAAAUAAAUUUAUGCACACAUUAUGUGAAAAAAUAAAUAAAUAUAACAUAUACAGAACUUAAAUAUACACAUAUAAAAGUUAUUUUAAAUAAAUUGUUCGGGGAUGGAGUCUCCACGGGGUGGGGGAUAAAAUUCUAUCCACAUCCCCAAACACCAUUUACAGAUCAAAUUGACAUCGUAUUGUUAGCCAAACAUCAUAAGAGGUAUAAAUAGCUUUAUCAUCUGGUUUCAAUUAAGUUGCAUACCCGAUAAAUAGUAUACAAUGACGUACGCCGUAUCACAGAUUCCUUUAAAAGAUUUAGCAACAUAUGAGCUUGCAUUGGAAUUUCAGGUUGAAUGGAGCCUGCUAAAUCAAGACAGAGAUUGUCAUAGCCUCUAAAAACUUAAUAGUUACAACAGAAUUGCCAAAUAGUGGUAAACACACUAGAAUGUAUGGGAAUGGAAAUUAAGUAUUUUAAUAAAUAAAUAAAUAAAUGGAGAAUUAUGGCACUAUCAUGGUAAUCACCUGCUUCGUGUGGAACUAAAUCUAAAGAAAUUGAAUGUAGAUCUUGUUCCAUCCUAGAAAGCUUAUGCUGAGAUGUCUGCUGGUUUUCAGAGCUUGGUUCAAUUGAAUUUCUCUCCCACUUGAUAAGUUCAUUUAAUAUUGAGUUUGUAUAUUCAUGUAUCUGGACUUCUCCAACCAGAGAUCCGUUUGAAUUUGAAGUAUCCUCUUGCAUACUAUAUAUUCCACAUGGUAACUCUUCCCAGUAACUAAGAGGUUCUACGCCAAUAUGAGAUUCUUUUUCUGCAGCAAAUUAAUAUUAGUGAGUCCAGUGAUAAGUAGAAGGUAAGAGAGGUAGGCUAUACUAUAAAUAAGUGAGUGAGUUAGAUUUGAAUUAUUUGUGAUUAAGAUGGUAAGAGAGGUAGGCUAUACUAUAAAUAAGUAGAAGGGAUUGAGGAAGAGUGUCAAGUGAUUUGAGAAAGUGUUGAGGCCUUAGGAACGGAAUGAGCCACAUUGUUGUUCUGUAAUCAGGGAACUUCCUUAUUUUUUUUAUUUUUUUUAUCUAAGGGAACUUCCUUAUUAUUAUUAUUUUAAUAAGAUACGAUACCAAGUUCCAAUCAACUAGUAGCAGAGCUAUGACAAUACUGCAUUUUGUCCAAAAUUUGACAGAGAGAAAGCUUAUUAGUGGCUAUUCAAUGCAAAAUUUUGAGGCCAAUAAAAUUGUUGAGAUAAGCAGCAGCAAAUAAGGAGGCAUGAAAUCUCCUACAAACAGUCAUACACUUUGUUGUUGUUUCAUAAUGACAUAUCCACCAAUGUUAAAUGAUACUGAGUGCAUACUGCAUAGUUUACCGUACAUUCUGACUAUCACUAAAUGAGAAUAACUAUAGGUUAUUUUUACGAAGUGCCAAUAGGUUCUAUUUAGGUCACUCUAUUUCACAUAAAUUGAACCAUAAGAGCAAGACAACAGCAGUUUUUCUGUUCCAAUCCCAUGUAUUACAUACCAGAGGCUUGUCGAUCUGGAGAAACUGGCGAUACAGAAGAAAGAAGAAAAGUUGAAUCGUCUUUUGUAGGCCAGUGAACAAGAAGGCUCCUCCUUCCAAAUGCAUCUCGGCCAAACCAAAGGGUCCUUGAACUAUCCUGCAAUAAAAGAAUGUGCACUGCCACCUAUGACCCCACAACCACAAGAAUAUACACUGCUUUAAAAUUUGUACAGACAGAAACUUACCACUUUUAGUUACCUGCCAAUAAACGAUAGCCCAUGGUCCCUUAAUUGUAGAAAGAACAUCUGUGACGGAACCUUUCCCACAUUUAACACAGAAACCAGUCAAAAAAGAGCCACAGGAGCAACAAUUUCCGAGCGUCUGCAUGAGAAAUUCGGCAUCAUUGCAAUCAGUAGCAAGUUGAAGUCCUCCAAAAAUCUCACCUAAAGAGCAUGACAAAAAAUUAAAAUUUAAAACAUCUUAUUGCAAACCAUUCACUAAGAGAUAGACAUUCCACGAAUUAAGUUGAAGUCCUCUCUGAACCCUGUUUUUCAUUCAUUCUGACCCUGUUUUUUUUUGUUCACCUCUCUUACUUCACUUUCCUUCACUCUGUUUUUUCACCACACUCUGUUUUUCAUUCUUUUUUCAACUGUGACUGUAAUGGCCUUUUUUUUGAGUUAUUUUAUGAACUUAGUAUUUGGUUGUUAUGAGCUUAUGAAAUAUUAAUUAAUGUUGUGAUUUGUAAGUUAUUUUGUUCAUGUAUUAUAAUUUUUGUAUUCGUGUGUAUAUAUCUAUAUGUGAAGUUACAAUUUUUGCCCUUGAGUAGGAUCUUACAAAUCGUGCCAUGACCCUCGUGCUUAGAUCCUUCACCAGCCUACCGAUCCUGUUUAGAAACUCGAUUAUGAAUACAUUGCUCACGACGAACAUGAUAUCAUGGCAAAAACAAGAGAGGCCCAAUUUAGAUAAACAGCUUAUAGCAUAAUCGCUUAUCAUGAUUAGCGCUUAUCUAGAAAAUUCCGAUACUCUAAAAUUGCAAGUAUCGCGUCAGAUACUGUAUACUACAAUGAUAUGUGUCAGAUACUUCCCGAUACGUAUCAGAGAAGUAUCCAGUGAUUAAAUUUUAUUUUUUUACUAGAAAAAUAUCAGACACAUUUGCGAUACUUCCUAAUAAGUAUCGGAGAAGUAUCUAGUGAUUAAAUUUUAUUUUUUUAAUACAAAAAUAUCAGUCACAUUUCCGAUACGUUGUUUCUUGAUGAUGGGAAUGGAGGAGAGGAGACUAAAACAAUUGAUGUUAACCCUUAAGUAGUGAAUAUUAGAUUAUGAUAUUCUUUUUAUAUAGUAUUGAUGAUGUCUUUUAAGAUAUGUAAUUCACUUGAUUAGAUAAUUUUAGUAAUGUGAAUGUUUAUUUUAUCAUCAAUUUUAGUUUUUUUUUUUAAUGCAUAUUAUCAAUUUUAGUUAAGUUUAUAUAUUUUGCAUUAUAUAUUUAAUUUUAAAUUAAUUUUUUUUUAUUAAAGUAUCUUUGCCUCAUCGUAUCUUAAAUUUUAAAAAUUUCCCAUCGCCGUAUCGUAUCUGUAUCAAGUAUCUGGGCUGCUUGGCCGCUUAUCUAUAAGCUAUUUCUAUAACAAAAGAUAAAUCAAAUUGUUUUCAUAUAAGUUAUAAGCUACUUUCAUAUUCAUAAGCUAUCUUAGAGAAUUUUAUGAAAAUAACCUAAAAACAGCUUUUGAACAAGUGACAAGUUGUUUUCAUAAUUUCUCCCAAACAGUUUCACAAAUGUUUAUGCCAAUACAUAAACUUAAAUAAGUCAAUCCAAAUAAGCCAAAAUAUUCUACAAUCAGACAAAGUAGCAGAAAGUACCGUUAUAAAGAAGAAUGUUUCGAGAAGCAUCCACUAAAGGUUGAACAAGAGGAAGAGUUCCUCUAAGCUGCAAAGUUGCACCAAUGAAACAAAGUUCACCGUUACCAUCAUUGUGUGGAAAAUUAAUUUUCUUUACACCCAAACUAUCAGGACCUCUUCUCCGCAGAGCUUCUUUCAGGUCAUCUAAAGAAAUCACCAACUGCACAAAAUCAUACGAUAAAAAAAGAAUGGUGUUAAUUGUUUUUCGUAACAAGUUGUAAUAAGGUUAGUGAUUUUGAAUUAGAAUUUGGUGGUUACAUUUUCGGAUUGGCGAUUUGGGGAAGCUGAAUCGAAUGGAAGAGAUGAGAUGUUGAUUCGAAUGCCUGAGACUGUCAACGCAAUUCCACACAUUUUUCUUUCUGCUUCUGUUCUGGGGAAUGUGGUUUUUUUUUGUAGGGUUUUUGAUGGUUAACUCAGUUUGGUUCUGCUUGUAUUCAUAUUUUAAUUUUAAUUUAAUUUACAAUUUUAUUGUCUUCCGAACAAGGUUGCUUCCGUAGCAUAGUGGUAGUGCGUUCGCUUCGUAAGCGAAAGGUCGCGAGUUCGAUCCUCGCCGGGAGCUAUAUUGUUUUAGGUUAUGUUUGAAUAUGAAAUGUGUUGUUAAAUUUUAAGCUUAAUUUUUUUUUUUGAAGACAGGCUUAAAUGUUAUGUAGCCCUAUUAUUUUGAUUGAAUUUGGAUUUAACCACCUAUUUUUAAAAAUGUAAUAAUAUAAAUUAAAGUAGCACAAAUAAGUUUAUUUUUAAGACAAAAUAAGUUAUAAAAAUAUAAAAAUUAAAUAAAAACAAAUAUGCCCUCCAUUUCUUGUUAAAUGUCGUUUUUGAAGAAUUUUUUUGUUGUCUCGUGAAUUUAGCUCAGUGGGCAAGGACUCGAACCCCAUCAUUCCACUUAUUCACUUUAAGGGUGAAAUUUCUAGCCUAACUUUCUCGAUAACUCGACUUCACAUUUUUCGUAAAAUUUAAUGGAGAGUGGAAUAGUGUAUAUGCUAAAUUUAUUUUGAAAAAGAAAAUGAGAGUGUAUAUUAAUCUUGUCGUCAUUUGAUUAUCUCUGUGUUUAAUUUUUUUUAGGCUUAAUUGCAGUUUUGAUCCCCUAUUUUCACUAUUUUGCAGAUUUAGUCCCCCUAUUUUAAAAUGUGACAGUUUUGGUCCCCCUAUCAUAAUUUUUAACUAUAAAUUGGCGAUGUGAUAUGUUUUAAACGACGUGACAUAUGAUAUGAUGAUGAGAAAAUAUCAACAUCGAUGAAAUUGCAAGAUAAAUCCUUCAUAAAGUUAAUUUAAAACAUGUUGUAUCACCAUAUUUUAGACCAAAAUUGGUGAAUUUUAAAAUAGGGGAACCAAUUCUGCAAAAUGGUGAAAACACGGGGACAAAAACUGCAAUUAAGCCUAUUUUUUUACGAAUUGGCGAAUUUAUGAAUUGUUUUUGAGUCGAUUGAUUACUAACCAUAACCAUUGAAACUUAAAUAUGAGAUCAUUGUUCAGUCAAUAAGUGUUUUAGACAUAUCGAAUUAUUGUACUGUGAUAAAGAUAAUUAAUGUGCUAUCAAACUUUAUAUGAUUUUGAAUUCGCCUAAGACAUUAGUGUAUUAUUAUGAUAGAAAAAAGUUUUUAUUGGUCUGAACUAUUUUGUUAAUUCAUCGUAACAACAAGAGUAAAAUUAUAAUCUAAGGCUGAUUUUACCAAAUUGUGAAUAGGAAAUGAUUCCAAGAACCUGUUCAUCUAUAAUCUAUUUGAAAAUCACCAAUAUUUACUAANNNNNNNNNNNNNNNNNNNNNNNNNNNUACUUAUAAACCAUCAACUUUUUGAAAAAAAAAAAAAGUAAAAUUGUAAUCUAAGGCUGAUUUUACCAAAUUGUGAAUAGGAAAUGAUUCCAAGAACCUGUUCAUCUAUAAUCUAUUUGAAAAUCACCAAUAUUUACUAAUUUGUUUGAUAACCAAAACUUAUGCCAAGCAUACCUCCUGAUUUACAACCUUGAACACGAUACAAUUGUUUUGUCAAAAUUAAAUAAUUCUUAUGAAUACAAAUUUAUUUAUUAUUUAACGAUAGUAUAGUUUAGUUGACUUACUAAAUUGUCCUUAACCACCCAAUUGAAAAGUUCUAGCUAGUGGGAGACAUGUUUAUAUAUAGGAGAAUGUUAACAUGUACACUAAAAGCACAUGUUAAGGAAGCAAAAAUAGAAAGUAUUAAAUGUUGAAGCAUUAAAUUUUAACUUUUCAAGCAUUAAAUUUUUGUAUCAUUAAAAGUUAAAUUUUUAUAUUAAGGUACCUUAACAUGUGCCCUAUAUGCACAUGUUAACAAUACUCUUAUAUAUAUUGCAAAGAGGAGUGCUAGCAACACACUCUUUAACAAACACACUCUAUUCUAUUGGUUAAAAUUUAUAUGAGUCUCAUAAAAGUUAUAUGGGUCCACAUUUUUUUAUGGAACUCAUGUGAAUUUCAACCAAUAAAAAAAAGUGUGUUGAAGUAUGUUCGUUAAAGAGUGUGUUGCUAACAUUAUUCAUAUUGCAAAAUCACUUUAAUUAAUUAUGCUUUCUAGUGGGAGACAUCUUUCUUUAGAUGGAAAAUAUCACGUUAAUUAAAUUAUCUUUCUUUAAAGUUCAAAUUGAAUUAUACUAGUAGAUUACCAUGGUCCCCUCAUCUUUAAAUCUUGAGAGUUUAAUAAAAAUAUAAUUUAAAUCAUAAAAUAAGAUAUUGAAGGCACUAGUAUCUAAUUGAGAGGGGAAAUCUCAACUUGUGUACUCCACGGAUUUCUCGAUAAAAUUUAGUAAUCACUAGCUGCGGUGAAAAUGUGCGACGAUAGUUAAAGGAACACGUUUGCCGACAGUUAGAAGCAAAUACUGUUUCAAGUUUCAACAGAACACGUAUUCCCCACUCUAUUGUAUUAUUUAUGUCUGAAUCGAUAAGGUAGACCCACAUUAAAAUCUUCAACCACAAUUUUCAUAGAUAUUUUACAUUAUAAAAAUCACCACUAAGAUUAUAAAUAAUUGAAUCGAACAACCCUGUUCAAUCAUCUCAUAACUUAAAAAAAAAACAUCAACAAAAAAACAAUGGCAGCAAGCGGAGAAGAGAAGAAGAUUUCAACAAGUGAGCUUGCAGCAAGUGCAAAGAUUGUAGCAGAAGCAGCACAAUCAGGUUUCGGGAAAGAUGUUGACAAAGACAAGACAGCAGAGGCUGCAGGUGAUCUUCUAGAUGCAGUUGGUCAGUAUGCUAAAUUGGAUGAUCAGAAGGGAUUAGGACAGUAUGUUGAUAAGGCUGCUGAUUAUCUGCAUAAAUAUGAGGGUGAUACUCCACCAGCUUCCAAACCAGAUAAGCCCAAAGUUGAUGCUGCUGCUGCUAAGUCUGAAGAUGGAGGGUCAGGUGGUGGACUAGGUGGAGAUUUUGCCAAGGUUGCUGGAGGUUUCUUUAAAUGAAAAUUAUUAACUGAUUUGGAUUUAGCUUGUUAAUUGUGUCUUGAUUAUUAUCACUUUAUGUAUUGUUUUUAUCUUAUCUUAUAAUGAAUAUAGGAUAGGAUAGGAUAUGUAUGAUGUAGUAUUGUGUUGUGUGAUGAUGGAUAUGUAUUGCACCGUAGCAGAGUUGUGUUGUCCACUUUUGAACCAAGAGAUCUCAUGCCCCUGUUUGUUCAUGUUUUUAUUCCCAAUUCAGAUGCUAUAUACAUGUUGUGAAUUUUAUGUAGAAAUCAUCACAAGAUAGAAUUAUUGUUAAUGAUUGAACAAAGAUUGAGGUAAGAAUUAAGAUCAAAACAAGAAUUUGGGUAUUUCAGCUUUGAGUAAGAAACUCUUGAGCUUUCAUCCACUUUUAUUUCAGCUUUAUGUAAGAAAUUCUUAAGCUUUUAUUUAGUAGGAAUAUCGCACUAUAUGCAGGAAUCUGGGACACUCUACUUAUUCAUCUUUAAGGUGGAUUUUCUAGCCACUAGACUACUUGACAAAAAAAUAGUAAUUGACAUUAUAAUUAACUCUCUCAACUAGAAAAUAGUUAGUUAUAAACUAACUAACUAACUAACUAAAAUUAAGUUAAUAAUUGAAGUUCAAUAUGCCACAAAUAUCCACACUAGUACAAAAACAUAGAGUUACGAUAGAAAUUACACAACUUCCAUCAAAGGACUCCUUGUAACUCCAAGGCAAAGUGGACAACUCGUACCUACCCAUGGCAAGUAGCCACAAAAACUAAUAGAAAUAGUAAACUAAACUAAGAAGAAGAGAAAAUGAACAAAGAAACUUUAUUUAUAAUUGUAAACUAUUUGCAAGAGUGGAACUUAAUACUACAAGAGAGUUGAUAUCCUAUCCUAUUUAUAGUCUAAAGGACUUAAAUUUUAUACUCCUUAUCCUUAAUGGCUAUUGGAGUUUCAUUACAUAUAAUGAGUAUUAAAAAGAAAAAUAAAAGGUCAAAAACUGAUUUUUCACUUUAAAUAUGGAGGGAAGUUAACUAAAGUGGUUAUACAAUCUAUCAAUAUUUCACAAAUAUUUUACAUAAGAAUAUAACAUGAUUAUAUUAACACAAGUGGUUACAAAAUAAUAAUACUACAUCCGGUCCUAUAUAUAAGAAGAUGUUGACUUUUUAAAUACAUUGUAGAAUUGAUGUAUUUAGACUAUAAUAACGUAUCUAGACAAUAUUAUAGUCUAGAUAUAUCAAUUAUACAAUGUAUUUAAAAAGUCAAUAUUUUAUAUAUAAGACCAGAGAGAGUAUGAAACUUAAUAUUCAUCAAUGAUAUAUUUUUAUCAAGAUUUCAGUUUCAUAAUUAACUACGUAUUCUCCAUUUAGAAUUAUGAAAAUUAUUACAUUUUUACUUAAUAGUUUUAUAAAACAAAAUCCCUUUAUCACAAAUAAAACUCCCAAAAUAAUUUUUAUAAUCAAAGUAACCUUCACAAAAAUAUUUGAUGAUUAUAUAAAAUAAAUGAAAUUAUUUGUUUACUUAUUUUCAUUAUUUUCUUUUCCUUUCAGUUUCUUUCUAAUCCAAACAAAAUACUAGUAUUUAGUUAAACCACUAUGAUUGUUCCAGUGGUAAGUGAUUUAUGUAGUAUACAUGAGAUUCUAAGUUCAAUGUCAUGGACAACAUCGUAAAUAAAAAAAAAAGUUUAGUUGUAUUUUUAAUUUUGAGAUAAUCUAUUACCAAAAUGAGAAAAUUAAAAGAGUGGUAGUGAACACUGUUUGCUGCCGACAUAAGAAGCAAAAAGUGUUUCAAAGGAUACGUAUAAGAUACGUAUUCCCUAGGACUGUAUAUUAUUCGUGUCUGAAACGAUAGGGUAGAGGUAGACCCACAUUAACCUUCAACCACAAUUUCCAUAGAUAUUUUUCCUUUGCCUAAAAUCAAACCUCACCUUCAGAUUAUUAUAUAUAAGUCUAACACUUGCAGAACCUAUUGUUAUUCAUUACUUAAAAAAACACAGCAAAGAAAUUACAAUGGCAGGUAGCGGAGAAAAGUUUAGGGCAAAGGUGGCAACAGAGUCAGCACAGAAAAGUUUAGGGCAACAAGGUGAGAAGGUGACAACUGCUGCAGGGGAAGUUAAGNNNNNCUGCUGAUCAUGUUCAUUCCAAACCAGAGGAGCCCCCCAAAGCAAAAGAAGAAGAAGGUGUGAUUGGUAGUAUCAAAAAGACUGUUGGAGACUUAUUUAAAUAAACAACAUUUAUCACUCAUCAUCAUUUAAUUAGGAUAUCUUAAGGUGAUUAAUUAAUAAUUAAGGACACUAAAUUUGCCACCAUCCCUUUUAAGAUUGUUGUGUAUGUUGUUAACUCAUCCCUUAAAGCAGUACUAAGUUACCACUGUCUGAUAAUGGAUCGAAUAUGUAAGGUAAGGUUCCACUUUUCAGUUUGAACCAACAUCCAGCCCUGUUUGUUUCUGGUUUUAUUCCUAAUUCUAUUGCAUAUAUUUUAUUGGAAAAUGUUUCUUUGACACUAUAUCCAUUCAAAAUUUAAGAGAUAAAAAACCAAUAGAGAUACUAAUAUGGUGUUGAUGUCAUCAAGGUUUUUUAAAUUGCAGUCUGCAUCCGCAAUUGCAGAUGUAGUAUUGCUAAUACAGUAGCCUCGUAAUUUUAAUUCACGUUUACGGCCGUAACGUAACUGAAUCAAACGAUUUCGUUCAUGUUUGUUCGAAUUUUCUCACCGAAAAACAAAAUUUAUGAACCUCAAAUACUAAUCUGCAACAAAUCUAAUAAAAAAUUUACUUUUAACAAUCUCUUAACCGUAUAUUUUAAGUAUAUUCGAAUCAAUGUUAUGGAAUAAACUAAGACUCUAUAAUUGUGGAUAAAUAGUAUAGUGACAUAGUGGUCUUAUUUUAUAUAAUACGUGAAAUUUCAAAAUUAUUACACGCCGGAACAAUCGCAUCGUGUGUUGCAGCAACCACAAUGAAAAACCAUGGAUGUGAUAGGAAGAGAUAUUGAGAAAAUUANNNNNAAAUCAUGUCCUUGGCCAAGGAAUUUGAAGACUGAUUCUUAACAUCCUUGAGGAAAAUCUUUCACUGCCAUAUUGAUCUUGCAAGUAGAAAGAAAGAAGACUGCUAGCAAAAGAAUAAAAGUGGAACAAAGAAGCAAAUUAAAGUUAUUGUUAAGAAGAUGUAAGUGAUUGUUAGGCGUUAGGACCCAAUAGGAGGUGCUCAAGAAAUUAUAGGGUGUCUAAGUAAUAGAUAUUAUAUUAGUAAUAUAUGAUAAAUAUUAUUCAAUAAUUUUUUUGUCAAGUAAUUUAGUAAUUAAAAAUUCAGCUUUAAGGUAGAUAAGUAGGGUGUCUAAGAUAACUCAGCAUAGACAUAUAUAAUGUAAAUUCCUAUUAAUUCAAUAGUAUCUCUUUAAUUAUUGGAAUAUUUUAUUAGUAGGAUAUAAUAAAGAUAUUAUCUUAUUCUAUUUGUUUGGUAGUGUAUUAGAAUAAUAUCUUCUUAGCAAAGAUAUUAUUUAAUUUUAUUUUCUUAGUAGUCAUUAAAAAUAUGGUUUAGGGUCUGAGAGGUAGGAAUGAGAAUAGUUUUUAUUUUAGGGAUAUAGUAAGAUUCCUCUCUGAGUUGUGUUAGAGUUUUGCUUUGGAGUAGUUAUAGAAAGUAUAACUAGUAACUACUAUUACAAUUAUAUUAUGAAUAAAAUACUGUUCUAUAGGCUUGAACUUCAUUUAUGUAAUCAACUUACUUACAAGCAAUUUGUAACACAAAACUUUGUAAUUCAAAGUAUCAAACGGUGUUCGAAUACUUAAGGGACUAAGGUUAUUCAGCUGUCUUGAGAAGUUGAUUAGUGACCGCUGUUAUUGAGUUGUAAUCAAGAUUAUUAAUUAGUGGAUUAAGCCCUUGGUGAUAAGGGAAACUCACUCUCAUGAGUGGAUUGGAGUAGUUUCGGGAAACCAAUAUUAAAAUCCCUCUUUCUUUUGUUGUUCUUGUUUAUUCUGGUCUUUAUAGUCGUAAAAAGUCUUUUAAACUAGAAACUCAAUUCAAACUGCCUCUUUUUUUAUUUGGCGUUCCUUGUACUUUUUUCUUCUUCUUACUAUUAAUAUUAUUACGAGCAACCCACUUGGGAUUGGUCGAGUGGUGUUGGCUUGAGCCAUUGAAGUGUGACAUUAAUUUUUCGCCAUUUAUCAUUUUCAAUCUAAUACUGUAAUUUACAUCUGUAAAUCCUUCAUUCGCAUAAGUCUCAUAUAACACUUCAUUUUUCUUUAAAAAAUUGAAACACCUCCAACAAUAAAUUGAUAAAAUUAACAAAUAUGUUAUAUUCUUUAAACUUAUGAUUAUAUAAGAAACAAAUUAUAAAGGGUACAAUAGGCCUCACCUUAUAAGUUUACUUUUUGAUUUCUUGAUUGAAUUGAAAGAGGAGAAUCUAUUUGUAUAUCCAACAGAUUUACAGUGGUAAAAACUUUAUUGUUAUAUCAUAGUAACUAAAAAAAAAAAAAAUAAUAAAAACAGUUGUUUUUUAAAGGAAUAGUGGUUUGCCGACAUCAAAAAUUAAACAGUGAUUCAAAGGACACGUAUUCCCUAUUGUAUUAUUUAUUUAUUUAUAAUAUGAGGUCGAUAAGUAGAUCCACAUUAAAAUCUUGAACCACAAUUUCCAUAGAUAUUUUAUCUUGCAACUCCCUCGUAUUAUAUAAAUAACAGAACAACCCUAUUGAAGUCUUACAAAAAAAAGAAGCUAUCAUCAUUCAUUGGUUAAAAACAAUUAACAAAGAAACAAUGGCAUCAACUGGACCUAAUGAUUUUUUAGCCAGUGCAAAGGGGGCAGCAGCAUCAGCACAGACAACUUUGGGGCAACAAGGUGAAAAGGUAGGAGCUGCUGCAGCUGGUGUUCAGAAGACUGUUGGAGAGUAUGUUACCAAGGCUACUGAUUAUGUUCAGGGCAAACCAGAGGAGCCUCCUAAAUCCGAAGAAGGUGUCAUUGGUGGUGCUAAAAAGACUGUUGGAGGCUUAUUCAAAUGAAAUAAAUACUCUCACUCAUUUAGCAUCUUGUGAUUAAUUAAUUCAUUAAUAAGGACAUUAAACUUGCCAUAUCCCUUUAAGUAUUCAUUGUUCUGUUGUGUAUCUUAUCAUAUAGUAUAGUAAUUUCCUAUAGGAUAGGAUAUAUGCAAUCUGUUAGCACUGUGUUGUAAUGGAUCGACUAUGUUAUGUAAGUAAGGUAACAGAGUUCUGCUCUCCACUUUACUGAUCCUUCCCCUGUUUGUUUCUGUUUUGCUUAAUUCUGUUUCAUAUAUUAUUAUUCAAUUUUGUUUCCUUUUGUUCUCUUCUGGUUAGUGUGCUCUUUCAACAUGUUUUAAUUAAAUUUACAAAUUACUGGAGAGAAAUAUAACAAGUCCUCAAAUCCUAAGUGGAUGGAUGGAGUUAUGGACAAAAAUUUCAAAAUUAUUAGGUCGGAUAUCAUUAUUCUCCACUUUUUACAUGUGAGUUUUUAUUGAUUUGUCAUUUUGUUUAUCAAUAGUAAGAAAGAAAAAAAUAACAUAUAAUAAAAAAAAUGGAUUAAAUAUAUUUUUAGUGUUUACAAAUAGGGGUGUGCAAAUAAAUUGGUUCCUGUGAACCAAAUUAGUAACCAAAUAAUACCAGUUUUUAAAAGCCCAGUUUAAAGAUGGAAAAAAAAAACCAAUAACCAAAUUUGUAACUAAAAAAAAUGGAAACCAAACUUAAUUAUAUGGAUCAGGGGUAUCCACAAUUUCCACACCUCCCUAAAUCAAUUUUCACCAACUUUAAUAAUUUGAAUAAUAAAUAAAUUUAUUUAAUAAAUAUAUAAAAUAGGUGGUGGUGCUGGCCCGUCAACGGUCUGGUGAACGCCGGAGCUCCGGCGCCGACANNNNNNNNNNNNNNNNNNNNNNNNNNNNNNNNNNNNNNNNNNNNNNNNCGGUGGUGGCCGGCGGAGCUCCGACAGUCGGCCACCCCCUCCCACCCCUAUUUUUAUUUAAUUUAAUAAUAAAUAUAAUAUAUAUAUAUAUAUAUAUAUAUUUAAACUAUUAUUUACGUACCAAAAAAAAACUAGUAUUAUUUAAUUAUUUUAAUAAAAUCUGUUUUUUUUCCUACCCAGAAAAAUAAAUAAAAUCUGUUUUUUUUUUUUGAAAAAUAUGUAUUUUAAUUUUGUUUUAUAAAAAAUCUGAUUUUUUUAUAUAAAUAAAAUCAGUAUUUUAUUUCAAUUUUUUUUUAAAAAAUUACUCAUAUUUUAAAUAAUAAAAAAUGGUUUUAAAAUAAUUUAAAAGAAAAUUAUUUACAAAAAUAAUAGUAAUAAGUAGUAACUUUAUGUAAAGAAAAUAAAUUUUAUUAUCAUAAAAAAAUUCAUUUAUAUGGUUUAAAAUAAUUAUAAUCAUAUUUUAUUUAUUAUAUAUCAUUGUAUCCAUUUUAGAAUAAAUUUAAUUCAUUAAAAUUUACAAAAAUAAAUAUGUGACCCUUUGAAUUUUAUAAAAUAGUCCUUAGUUGAUUAGAUUGGAUUCAUCCAUUAUUAUCUAUUUUAUAAAAAAUUUGGAUAGAUUUUAUAAUUGGUUUUAGAACCAGUUUUAAUAAUAACCGAUUUUUAUUAUAAACUAAUUUCUGAACCAGUUUGAACUGAACCAGUUUUUUUGGUUUUAGAUGAAAGUGGUUUGGUUCAGUUCAUAAACCACAAAUUUUGUUCUAAUCUGGUUCGGUUCAUAACCAUCCCCUACUUACAAAAUCACAUUUGCAUUUUAUAGAGUCUAGUUUGAAGACUAAAAAAAUUCAUUUUCUUUUUUUUUUAAAAAAAAAAUAGCGACUAUUCUUACAAACUACAAUAUUAUGAAGGAUUAAAAUUUAAUAGGGACUUCCUUGAGUAAUAGGUCCAGAAUAAAUUUUAGAUUUAGCAGUGUUAAUAACUUGGCCAGAUUGAAAGACAUAGUUGGUGAAUAAUUCUUUGAGAGAUGUGAUCCUAGCUAACUUGCCUUUGCAGAAAAUCAUUAAGUCAUCAACAUAAAAGGUAUGGGAAGGAACAUUGAUGUUUCUUGUGCCCUUGAUAAGAUCCAACUUACGCUCAGUUACAAGUUUUGCAAUACUUCUACUCAAUGCAUCUUCAGCUAAGCAGAAAAGAAUUAAAAUAGCCCUCAGAUUUUCCAUUAAUAGAGAUAGACAAAAAUGCAAAUUUAAGAAUAACAUGGAUCCAAUUGCAAAAAACUUCAUUGAAACCAAAGCUGCUAAGAACCUUUAGCAAGAAAGACCAUUCUAAAGUGUCAAAAAGGCUUUAGAAAUGUGAAUUUUUAAAGCCAAGUUACCACCAAAGGGCUAAUUGUGUAGUAAAUUGACAGCUUAUGAGGCAAUACAUAAACAAUCCUUAAUAUUUCUGUGAUGAAUAGAUCCCAUUUAUUCCUCAAAAAUGAUGGAGGGCAUAAUCUUAGCUAACCAAUCAACAAUGAUUUUAGAUAACACUUUGAAUUUAAAGUUUGCCAUAGUUAUUGCUCUACAUAGAUCAAUUGAUGUAGCAUUUGAAAUCUUUGGAAGGAAAGCAAUGAUAUUUGAGUUAAAACCUAGCAAGAUCAAACUAGUGCUGAAGAAUUCCAAAACAGCAUUGACAACAUCUUGCCUGACAAUGUCCCAAUAGUGUUGAAAAAAGAAGGCUCCAAAACCUUCUGGCCUGGUGCAGUAUCUUUGUUAAGGGCAAAAACUGCAGCUUUGAUUUUUUGGUGAGAGGGCAACAAUGUAAUCAGAGCAUUGAUGUAAUCAGUGAUGAGCUUUGGGGUAACUUCAUCCGCAAGCAAUGGUUCCUGCAAAACAAUGUUAGUGCAAAAAAAAAAUUUGUAAAAGUUUACCACAUGAUGAGAUAUUUGGCUUUGGUUAAUGAGAACUUGUUCACCAUCUUGUAAGGAUGUAAUCAUUUUGGUUGAGGAUUUGAUUUUGGCUAUUAUGUGAAAAUAUUUGGUGUUCCUAUCUCGUUCUAAAUGCUAGUUCAAGUUAGCCUUUUUCUUUCCAAAAUAGUUCUUGUCUGUUCAGGGCAUUCUCAUAAUCAACAUGUGCAAGCUUCUCCUCUUCUAAUAAAGUCGCAGUUUGACCAUUAAUUUGGAUUUGGUGUUGGAUUAGUUGAUGUUUUUCUCAGCAGAAUUCACAUAAUCAUGUACAUUACCAAAUCAUUGUUUGUCCCAGCUCUUUAAAGACUCUUUCACAAGCUUCAACUUUUUGCUCAAAAUUGAUUGCAUACAACUCUAUCUAGUCUUAUCUCAGUGUGUUACCAUUGUCCCAAGUGAAUUCAGCUCCUGAGGUGGGUAAAUGAAUAAGGUUGAAAGCAUCAGUCCAGUUUUGGAAUCUACCAAAGGUAAUCUAGCAGGAGAGGUGCUACCUCUAUGUUCAUGCUACAUCCUGAUGGUGUUAAAGUCACCUAUAACAUCCCGAAUUUUGAUCCAGAAUAUUAUCUAAACUUUUGCUAUUGUUAUUUUUUUAUAUAAGAGGCUAGAAAUUCUAUUUAUCUUUUUAAUUCUAAUAAAAACUUGCGCAAGUGUAUAAAAGUAAAAUUGAAAGAUAAGGCUCAGUUUUUUGACAAUUUAUUGAGAUGCCAAAGAAAAGUUACAACACUGACUAUAGGAAUCCUGCAAAAUCUGUCGAACAUAUUAUAGAGUCUAUCAUUUGGGACCAACCUUUUGAAACCCAUCUAAACGGAACCCAUACGAUAUCGUCUAGGACGCACCAUAUUAAUCUGCAUCAGAUGGAAACACCAGCUUAGGAGACUUCUUGUCGCGGAGGCUUCUCAUGUAAGUUUUUGAUUCCGAACAUCAUAGUUCCCAUAUUCCUACUACAGAUAAUACCCUCCUUGCAACUCCAUUGGGACCGCUAGAUUCAUCUUAACUUAACGGCUCCCCUAUCUCUUUGCCGGUUGUUGCCAGUUGUCCCUGACGGUUAUAACCGUCUCUCUCCAUAUAAGAAUAAGACUUUAGUGCUAAGGUACACAAUUCAAUCACUUUUCACUUCACUUCUCCUUGAUCAUAUACUGACUUGAGCGUGGAGUGCUAACUUGUUUUGUAGGUACCUUUCCCCAUCGCAAAUCACCGUUCCUAAGGCCUAACGCCAUCGUAACCGCCUCGAGCUUCACCAUCGGAAUUAUCUACUUGUCUUCCAUUCAGAGCAUAGUAAAUCCCCAAGUUUAAUACGCAAAAGCAAAAAUAUAGAAUCAAAGAAAAUCAAAAUUAAGAAAAAUUAACAGAAUUAACUUUGUCAUAUGAUUAUUUUAUAAUUUCCACAUUUUGAGACUGAUGGAGUCUUAGAAAAUAAGAUAACCAACUGCAUUUUGUAUACUUGAACUAUACAUGUUCAUACUCAAACCAAAUAGUAUUAUGUACAUAUGUAUAUACAUUGGUGUUGUUCUAUCUUAGAAGCAGGAACAUGCCCCUGGAAGCUUGCCUGUUGUUCUAAUUGUGUUUGCCUUCUCUUUUGCUUUCAGCGUUUCAUUCUUUCUUCUAUCAUCUGAUUGUGCUCUUGCUCCAGCUGCAAUCUCAUCUAUAUAUUUUAUCUUAUCUUGAUAUUUCCUCCUAGCUUUCUCUCUUUUCCGCUCAUUUUCACUAUGCUGCAUUUUUCACAAAGUUACCACACUUUAUUAGAGGACUAAUAAGAAUAUGUUUCGAUUAGUUUAUUUGAAAUCAGGUUAACUUUAUUUUAUAUUUGUUAUAGGAAUAACUUAUGAAUAAAUAGUUAUUUGAUAAGCACAUAAUUAAGCUGAUUAUGCUAACUAACAUAGGCUAAUAUUUUAUUUUUAUCAAGUAGUCUAGAGGUCAGACUCGCACAUUUGAAAUGUGAAGAUAUAGAAAAUUCCGGGUUCCAACCCAGAUAGCCAACAACUGAGCUAUGGCCUAAAUAUGAAACACUACACAUCUUCGAUCUAAACAUUAAAACAUUCAAUAUGGUUCUAUUGAAUAGAAAAUGAAAGUCUUACCUCAUGCUUAUUAAGCUUGCGUCUUGCUUUCAUCUUCUUCCUCUUUUCCCAUGAAUCUAUUGUCUCUAACAACUUCUCAUACCUGAAAAAAUAAUUAUAUUUUCAUUGCAUUCAAUGCAUGAAACCAGAGAUUCACAACAUUCAUAUAUACUGUUAAUGAAAUAUAUAAUUAGUUGCCAUGCAUAUGUACCAACCUUUCUUUGAUCUUUAUGAGCUCUUCCCUUUCCCAAGAAUCUGCUUUUGUUUCUGUUGUACUUGGUCUAGUUGGUGGUCUGCUGUGGAUGAUUGAUAGUUGUGGUGCCGGUGGAGGUGGUGGAGGCGGCGGCGGCCUUAAUGACACGUUUGGAUCAUCAACUAGUGGAAGCAUUUUUGGUUUUGGAGUCUCAGGUUGUGUAUCAUCAUCAGCGUCGAAAAAAUGUUCAUCGGCAAAAGUUGGAGUCUUUUUAUGUUUUGGAAUAUCAGGUUUUUUAUCAUCAGUUCUCUUUGAUUUUUCACUAAAAGUUGGAGUCUUUUUCAUUGAUGGUGCUGGUGUGAAUGAGAUGGUGUUUUUAGGAAUCUUUUCUUCUCUAAUAGGUGAUGUUGUUGGAAAAUUGUUACCUUGUUCAUCUGUGAUUUUAAAUGAGCCUACACAUGAUGCAGAUUCAGUUCAUCAUAAUUUAAUUUUGUUAUUUUUCUCAUCAUGGUAUGAAUAAAUGAUAAAUAAUGACCACGAGCGGAGAUGAUUCAGGUCUCUUUGGGUUCAAAUUCAUCAGAGAGAGCUUUGUCACACAUUGUGGUUUAUCAGGUUCGAUGGAUUAGUCUUUACAGUUACGCAUAAUGGAUAUCUUUUUUUAAAUAAAGAAGAAAGAAAAAGAGAAAUAAUGUAUUUGCCUGGUAAUCUCUUGGAUGCAGCACCUAGCUGGGAAAAUGAAGAAUUUUUAUCAUAGACUUUUUUGCUUCUGCUCUUGGUCAAUGAGGUCUCAGGAAACUCACUCAUUUUCUUCUCAUGUGAAGUUUCUGAGACAUGUGAACUUAUUGCAAAUGCUGCAGCAGCUACAACUGUGGCAUGUUCCAUUUCUAUGUAAUCAUAAUCAUGACUCAUUUUCCUUGAAAUUUGUCUCUGAAACCAAUUAUGUGCCUUUUUCUUCUCUGUAAAAAUUUGGUCACAUGAAGGUGUUUGUCAGCUAAAUUAUUGCUUUAUUCAGUUUUCAGACAAAAACAAAACUAGAAAGACUAUUAAUGAUCUCAUCUUUGAGAAUCCAUUCAUUUUUAUAUUUAGUAUUUCAAUCUUAUUUUUCAAAUGUGUUUGGUCAAACAGAACAUUUUUUUAUCUUGUUUUGUCAAGUUUUGGGGGAAGUAACAUGUAAAAAAGUCAUUCAGUUUUUUCUUGCUUUUGACCCUAGACUUUGUUAAAGACAAUAACAUAUCAUAAAUACUCACCUUUGAAGGAUGAAGUUUUCUGUAUUGGUAUUUUCUGAUGAUCUCUGCUACCACCAAAAUCAGCUUUAUUCUCUUCUUCUGCACCAAUUAAUUUCUCUCUAACAAAAAUUUGUUUAGCAAUAAAAAAACAUAUUUGCAUAAAUAAAAAAAAAUAUUAUGAAGCUAUAAUUAUUAUUAUUUUUUUUUUGUUUUAUUUUCACCACCGGUAUCCGGCCUACUAGACCGCCUAAUCCGGUUCGGGGGUCAGUUAAGACAAUAAGUGGUUUUAGCCCCCUCCCGAUCGUAUUUGCAGGGGAUUGAACCAUGAUUCUCCCUACGAUGUCCAGCGUCAACUGGACCGACUAACGACGAGUAUUUAUGAAGCUAUUAUUGUUGUAUGGAUAUGAAUACCAAAUUAAAUGAGUGGUAAUUAUUUAUAAUAAAUGAUACAUAUACAUGACCAUCUUAAAUCUCUCCAGGGGUGAAAAGUAAAAAUGACUAACCUUAUUUGCUUAAUCCAAUUAUCCAUUCUAUACAGGAAGAAUUUUGUGCUUUAAUUAUUUAUGAGCAAUGUCUUGAUAUCCCUUGAUAAGUGGUAUGUGUUUAUAUUUGAAAGAGAAGAAACCAAGGAAAUAAGAUCCUUUUUGUAGAGUAUAGUCAUAGGCUGUUAUUGGGGACAAGCAAGGUUACAUAUACUUUGCAUGUGUUGUCUGGUUUGGAACUCAAGUGCCUUGUGGGGGAAGAUAAGUAUUCUUUUCUUCUUCAGAGAUAAUUACCAUCAGGCAUCAAGCAUAUUUUGAAUAUAUUUUCUAAUCCAGUUUUUUCUGAUGAGAAUUUUAAAACAUCAAAUUAAAUCUGCUAGGUAAAAAGGAUGUCAGAUUUUCUCUUAAAUUAGUGCAUCACUUUUAAAACAUUGAUUUACAUUAGCACGUGGAAAUUUCAUAUGGACUAAAUAGGCUGGACACUUUAUAAUUAUAAGCGAGAGGAAUGAUAAAUUUAAUAUACUGUAAUGUGUUUGGAUGUUUGGAUGGAGGAAUGUUUUGAGGUAAAAUAAUGUUUUGAGGGAAUUUAAAUUCUUUUGUCUAAAUACCAUUGUUUGGGUGAUUAAUUUGGAAAUUUGUUUAAAAUAAUGAGAUUCUAUUUUAUGAAUUAUUGUCCAAGGUAAAUUUAAGGAAUUUCAAAUGGCACCGAAAAGUUAGGAAUUUGAAAUUUCAAACUGACCCCUAUAAUAUUUUUAAAAUUACAAAUUGACACCUAAUUUUUUCAAAAACUGCAAAUUGAUCCCUAAAAAUUUGCAAAUUGGUCCUUUAAGAUUUUGAAAACUGGUCCUUAUUUUUCAAAUUUAUAACAGUGACCCAAGAUAUUCAAAAUGAAAAUUUCUAUUAUUCUAUCCAAACACACAUUUGAAAAUGAAAGUAAUUCAACUACAAAAAUUUAAAUAGCUUAGAAUUUCAAAUCCUCUAAAAUUUUUAAUUACUUCAUCCAAACACACUCUAAGAUUUUGGUUGAAUGUAUGAUGUCCAAGGUAACCGGCGGGGAGGGGGGGNNNNNNNNNNNNNNNNNNNNNNNNNNNNNNNNNNNNNNNNNNNNNNNNNNNNNNNNNNNNNNNNNNNNNNNNNNNNNNNNNNNNNNNNNNNNNNNNNNNNNNNNNNNNNNNNNNNNNNNNNNNNNNNNNNNNNNNNNNNAUAAAGUGUUUAACCUCAACUCCUCCAACCAAUGUGAGACUUAACUCACACUUGAUAGAUCUCAACAUCUCCCCUCAAGUGUGAGUCUCUCCGCAUCUGCGGUCCUUCACCACUUACUUGUUGCUCCCCGAAACCGGGCUCUAAUACCACUAUUGAGUCACAAGGGGGCAGUUGGGGGAUUAUUCACAUUGGGCUAAAAGCAAUUAUACAAGUGAGUUGAACACCACACUUUUACUCAAAACCUUAAGACAUUAGGUUUAUGGGUCUUCUCACCUAUAAAGUGUUCAACCUAAACUUUUCUAAGCAAUGUGGAAUUUAACUCACCUCACACUCACCACAACACUUUAUCACCACGAGAGAGCGAGAAACCUUCGUGACUUUUUUUAAUAUAAAAUUAUGUGCAAAAAGAAGGAUUGCAAACAUUUUAGGCUCUGUUCUCGAUUAUUAAGGUUUAAUCAAAGUUGAAUCAUUCUAGCAGUAUAUGAGUUUCAUUUUUGGUUGGGUGGAUGAAUGUUUUGGGAUAAAGUAGUUUAUCAUUCUUAUAGAGAAAUUAAUUAUUGUGCAGAUGCGUUAACUACUAUGACUUGAGAUGUAGGUUCUACUUUGAUUUUAUACGAGCAGUGCCCUGCUAAAAUUAGUUGUUUUUAUUUAGCAAACCUUGUUGGUCUUUCGAUUCCGUGACUUGUUAUGCGGUAGUUACUUUUUCUUUUGGGUUUCAACUUCUUCUAUUUACAUUUCCUUGUUUAUAUGAUUAAUUUAAAGAACUUUCAAAUUAAUAGGAAUUUAUUAUUUUUUCCAAAUUAAAUUUAAGCAAUUUUAAAUGACACUUAAAAGUUAGGAAUCUUUCUCUCAUAUGUUUCAAAAUUUUCAAAUUGACACCUAUAAACUUUUUAAAUUGUAAAUUGACCUUAAAAUUUUCAAAAUUGCAAAUUACCCCCUAAUGUUGUUCAAAUCGGUCUUUUAAAUUUUUGAAAAUUAGUCCCUAUUUUUCAAAUUUAAAAUUUGACAAAAAAAUUCAAAUUUUUAAAAAUGGCCCAAAAAAAUCACAAUGAAAUGUUUACUUUAUCGAAAAACACACGCACACACAUUUAAAGGUAAUUUAAUUAAAUUGUUCCGAAUUCUAAAUCCUUUAAAAAAAAUUAUUAAAAAAUAUAUGUAUCAUGAUAACUAGUGUGUCCUCCGGACACUAAUUAAUGAACUAAAAAUAUUUAUAUUUAAGAACAUUACUUUUUACAUUUUUAAGUGUUUGACUUCACAGAUCUUAAAAUAUUUUUAUUAUUUUUGCAUCUUUAACUAGCGUUCCAAGUCCGGGAGCAUUAGUUAGCAUUUUCAAUUUCUUAUUCGAGCAUCCAAACAAGCUCUAAAGAAAAGUAAAAAGUAUUUCGUGAAAAAAAAAAGUAAAAAAAGUAUUUCAUAAAAGUUUGUUAUGUGAUGUUCUACCAUGUGUUGUGCUGUUUUGUCGAGUACUUACUUUUAACCGAUCAAAUGGCCCAAAUAGUUAACCAUCGUGGACAUGAACUUAGCAAAUUGGUAAAAAUUAAGAGGCUAAUAUUUAAAUAGUUAAGAGGCACAAACACAAGUAUACAAAGAUCAUGUUGGUAAAUAGUAAAUAUUGUACUUGACAAAAAUUUGCUUCACAUUGAUAACACCCUUCAAAAAUGUUUACUCAAUAUUCUUGUGACUGAGUAACAACCAUAAAUAGAUAUGUCCUAUGACUUUCAGUGGUUCCACAUUAAUUAAACUCAUGGGAUCCUCCUCCUCAUCCUCAACAACCAUGUUCCUCUUUCACCAUUUCCAUGCUUGUUUUCAGAUUCUGCUAUUCUUUUCUACAAAAUUCUGUAUUCUCACAGUCUGUAGUCCUAAUUUCAAGACAGAGGAAUACCAAAUACAAGCAUGGAAAUGGAAAUUCUAAUUGCCCAUAUUAUUAUACUAAAGGGCAAAAGAAACAUUAUAAUAUUACAUUACAUGAACUCUGAGUUAUUAUACUAAUACUAAUACAAGUUUGGUCAUUACAAAAAAUAAAAAUAUUAAAGAAAGGUAAAAAGAUUGAACAAUAAUAAGCAGCAAAUUAAUCCCUGCAAAAAGAUUGUGUCUUUCUCCAUGCCAAAUUGAAGUGGGUUUGGGGAUUGAUGAUCAGUUGUGAAGUGGGUUUGGACCAGAGGGAACUAGUCUCUUGUCAACACCAUACCUUGGAUCAACUUCAACCCGAUUAUUUUCUUGAGGUGGAAUCGGAACUGAAUGGAUGUUGUUGUGAUAUAUUCUUUGAAGUUUAAAACAUAAAGAACGCACGGUUGUGUUGGAAAAAGAAUUACUACAAUGGUGGAGGUUUGUUGGAGAUGGAAGAAAUCUUGAGUUUGUUGAUGUGGAGAGGAAAAGGAGAAGCAAUAGUACUGUAGUGAUGAGUGAAGAAGGAGAAGUCUUCAUUGGAAUGGAAAAUGGGAAGGUAGAGAGAGAUGUGGGUUGUGAAUAAUAUNNNNNNNNNNNNNNNNAUGAAGGGGACCUCACCUUUACUCUUCACUCAACUCAAUUUUUUUAUAUUUUUUUUACAAACAUAAACUCACUUAAAAAGGGAGGGAGUUUCCGUCUCAAAAUAAUUGUCACAUUUUACCACUGCACAUUUGUCAAUGCACAAUUUUGAUCAUGAAUAUCUUUUGUUGUGUAUUAUUAAAAUAGUGUUAUACCCCCUGCAAAUUUUUUUUUUUUAGAUUCCCCCUGCAAUGUCAAGAUUCCUUGCGUUACCCCCUGGCUCAACAAGUGGGCAUAUGACAUGGACGAAUCUUGAUGUGGCAUGACACGUGAAAAUUAAUUUAUUUUUUAUUUAUUUUUAAUUGCCAACUCAGUAAUUAUUUAUUUUUUAAUUAAAGAAAUUUUUUUUUACGAACCUAGGUAAAAGAAAGUUGUCAUUUUUUUUUGCAGGGGGUAAUGCAAAACUCGCGUAUUUUGCAUGAGGUAACGCAAAACUCGCAAAAAAAAAUUACAACUUUCUUUUACCGUAAAAAAAAGUUUCUUUAAAAAAAAAGUUUUUUUUUUCAAUUUUUUUAAUUAAAAAUUAANNNNNUAAAAAUAAAUAAAAAAAUAAAUAAAUUUCCACGUGUCAUGUCACGUCAAGGUUCGUCCAUGUCAUAUGCCCACUUGUUGAGCCAGGGGGUAACGCAAGGAAUCUUGAUAUUGCAGGGGGUAAUCUCAAAAAAAUAAUUUGCAGGGGUAACGCAAAACUCGUUUAUUUUGCAAGGGGUAAAACACUAUUUUACCCUUUAUUUAUUUAUAUUAUAUGUGAUGUGUGUGUGUGUUGAGCCCACAUGAUCGAACAGAAGAAAGAAAGAAUAAUACCGGUCUGUGGUCCUCUUAUACCCUUCAACCCGGAAAAGAUUUGAAUGAAUAAGCAACACCAACCAUAUAUAGUAGUAAUUGGCAUGAAGGUGAAAAGAAUACAAACUCAUCCACUAUUAGAACUACGUGUUUUUGGUUUGAUCAGAACUACGUGUUAGACACGUACACAUGGUGUUAAUUUGUAUAUGUUUUUGGUACCUUAAAAACAUACAUUUUGACAUGUUUUUCACCCACAUAAAAAUAUACAUUUUGGUCUUAGGUGUCGCACACAUCAUGGGAAAUGCAUUGACCAAAAAAAAAGAAUUUGAUGUUAGAGGGGAUCCUUACUAUGUGCUGUAGCAAAGUUAGUUUGAACCAAAAACCAAAAAUAGCUUAUUUGUAGCUUCAAAAGAAAACCACUUACAUUCAAUCUUUUAAUUACCUCUUUCACCACUAUUAUAGGGAACAAUUAUGGAGUGAUUAGAGUUAAUAUAUCCAUACAAACAUUGAAAGUUGAAUCUUGUGCUCAUAAUCACACGCAUUGUGAAGAGGAACAUAACAAUGAUCAUCAAUUUGAAAUACUAAAAUAUAGUUUAGCAAAUAAAAAUCAACCAUAUGUUCCAUUAUUAACAUAACAUGAAAGUAAAAACAGCUACCUCCUAAUUAGAAAUUAAAGAUAUACUAAAUCCUUCAAGAACAAAAAAGAAAUCAUUUACCCACAUGGCAUUCUGUACAUUGUAAUUUGCUUUCAUCAUAUGGGAUAAUGACAACAAUUAAAAAGUAAUAAUUCUUAAACUUAAAGAUAAUAUUCAUUAAGGUACCUCAAUUGAAGAAGAACUUUCAAAAAAUGAAGUAAAAGUAAAAACCAAGAUAUAACCCAUUUGGCCAUUUCCUUAUUCAUCAACAGGAGCAGGUUGAUUAAGAUCAAUCAAACAAGGAGCAACACUUUGUUUGAUCACAAAAGUGUUGUCUUCAGAUCCUCCAACAAAAUGUGAUCUUUUAUGUCCUCCCAAUGCUUGUCCAGACUUGAAAAUUUUGUAGCAAAUUGGACAUUCAUAUUCUUUGCUUUUCUUUGACUUCAACUUCUUCUUCUUUUUACCCUUGUUGCUUGAUUUCUUUUUAUUCACCAAUUUACUGUUAUGAGAUUUUGCAGCAGAAAAAGAAUCACUUUCUGAACUUUUUUGUUCAUCACUCUCAUCAUCUGUUAUUGAAUCAUAAGAACAAUGUUUGUCCUUUUCACUCCUAAAGAACUCAUAUUUCAAACUUUUUCUAUCACUCUCAUAGAUUUCUUCAUAUUUUGCUUUCUUUCUCGAAUCAAACUUCCUAUCAUGAUCCAAUUCUUCAUAUUUUGCUUUCUUUUUGCAAUUCUCAAAUCUAGACUUAUCUUCUUCUUCUUCCAUCUUUGGCCUCUUGAAUUCGUAUUUUGAAACAUUUGAAUCUACAAUUUUGAUCUUCUUUGAACCAUAUUUGAAAGCUGUCGAAUCCGAAUUAAUUGAAAUACCAAUCCCACCAACAGACUUCAGCUUCUUCUUCUCCUCAACAAAUCCAUGAGCAUUACUAGAAACAAGUUUGUUACCAUUUCUGAUAACAAUCUCGGAUUUGGUCUCUAGAAGAACCGAGUUGUUAUUGGAAGAUUCAGAAACAAAACGACCCUUAUGACUAAAAAAAUCUCUAGACAAUAACAUCAAACACCUAGCAACCUCUUGUUGUUCCUGUUCCAUCUCUGAAACAGAUGAAGAACCAUUAACAGACGAAGAAGAAGGUUGGUUUGAAAGAGUAAGAGACUUGAACCUAAUUCUUCUCUUAUUUUUCCUUAGAUUCAUUGUUGAAGCAGCAACAACACAAGUAUCAUCAUCAUCAUCAUCAGAUUGAGUAUCCUCCUUGAUCUUUUUCUCUUUCUCAGAAUGAGAAGCCAUGUGACCACAAAGAGCUUUCAAUGAUGGAAAACCUUUCCCACAUUCUUUGCAAAAUUUGAUCAUUUCAUGUUCCAAUGCAGUGGUUGCAGCGGCGGCAGAGGCAACAUGAUUAUGAGAAUGCACAAACUUGAUUGUUUUCUUGGGAUUCUCUCUAAGACCAUAAAUGGGGUUUCCAUUUCCACCAUCACUAAGANNNNNNNNNNNNNNNNNNNNNNNNNNNNNNNNNNAACAGGUUCAAAAUCUCUCUUGAUAUCAGCAACAGCAGCAGCAGCAAUAGCAGCAGCAGCAGCAUGAGUUCUUUCUUCAGUCAUGUGGGUUCUGAUGUGACCACCAAGAGAUUUUCCACAUGGAAAUCUCUUUAAGCAAUACUUGCAAACAAACUUCCUCUUCCUCUCCUCCAUGGAUAAUUGAUAAUUCUGAAAUUUGAAUUUGAUCUAGUGUUAUAUAUUUAUAUAAGAAUCAACAACAAACUAUAGAUCACAUACCUGACUGAAAUCUGUAUGAUGAUCAAGUGUAAUAUAUAAUAGGGAAAUUAGAAUGAAGUGGUGGUGGUGGUGGUGGUGAUGAUCAGAAUUGUUGUUGUUGAUGAGAAGAUGUGACAGUUGUAUAAGUACAAGAUCCGACCCAAAAAAAGGGGAGAGACCCCUUCAUUUUCGUUUCCCAAUAGAAUGAUCAAAUAUCAUUAUAAUUUAAUUAAUUUUAUUAAAUGUGCUUUGUGAAAUAAUUAAAAUUAAUAAUGGGUUUGCUUGCCACAACACAAUGGGUCAAGUACUGUAACAUUAAAGAGCUACUACAAAUACAAUACAAGCUUAUGACUCUUUCUUUGUUGGAGGAGAGAAUUCCAUGCAUGAAAUCAACAACUAGUAGAUUAAUUAUAGGAAUUAAUUUUUUUCAAAAAAAAAAAAAAUUAUAGGAAUUAAUUAAUUUUAAUUAAUUAAAAAAAAUGUGAAGUGAGAACCAUUAGAAGAUCAUUUGAACGGCCAAGAUUUGUGUUAGUUUUUAAGAUAUAUAUAUAUAUUAAGCUUUUUUGGAGAGUACUACCAUAUAUGGCACACACAAAAUGAAGCAUCCUAAACAAAAACCAUGAAUAUGACUGUUAUUUUGAGUCGUUAUUUUAGUAUGUUUAUUUGAUGAUUUGAUGGUAUAAAAUGACGAUAUCUUGUUUCCUUAUUCUUAUCGUGUUAUUACACCGCUUUAUUGUGUAAACUAUUUUUACCCUUUUUGUGUUGCGUCUAGACUCUUGUGAGUUUAGAUUUUUAGGUAGAAGAUUAGUUCGCGCGGAUUGGGUAUUGAAGAUGGCAUUAGGCAACUGCCUUCGUUUUAUUUUCAGUCAUCAUUAUAGAGUCGCUCUGAUAGCGUAACACGUUCUUUUCUUUAAAGUUGUUAAGCUAUUUGAAGUUCUUGGAUAAUUUCCGCUGCAUGUUUUUAAAUAAUUUGAUGAUUGGUUUGAGAUGUAGACGUGUGACAUUGACACCGUAAAAUUGACGCCGAAAACGGAGGCGGCACCGAACUUUGUUGAACCGAACCUAACAUUAUGAAAGAAAUGAGAAUAGAAUGUUGCAUAACCCUAUAAGAUUUAGAAGUUUGGUGGUGCGGAGGACCGUUGAAAACACAGUUGCCACUCAUCACCCCAUUUGAAACAAAAAUUACAUGAUGAUGAAGAAAGUGUUUGGAUGUGAAAGGAAGGAAGAAGACACCUACGACGGUCAAUAUACAAAAAUAUACAUUUUGUAGCAAUAACUCGUCUAGUUCAGUUGGUAGAGCGCAAGAUUAUUAACCUUGGGGGUUGAAUAUAUAUGAAGUAAUAUUUUAUUUUUUUGCCAACAAAAUCCUUUAUAGUAAUGUUUAAUUUAUUACAUAAAAUUGAAUGUCAACAAAUUGGGAUUUUAGGUAGCUUAAGAAACAAAAUUUAGAACUAAUAUUCCAAAGAUCUGACAAAACAGAACUAAUGAAAAGAAUUAAUUAUAAGAAUAAGAAAGAAUAGGGGAGGCAUUGUCUCAGCUCAAUAUGAUGUUAUUCCAUUUAUGCCACUGCAGGCAUAUCCUUGAGCCAUGGAUCUAGUGGCUUACCAAUUGAAUAAACUAUAAAUCCAAUUUUCCUGAGCACGCCAACAUCCACAACAUUCCUACCAUCAAAUACAAAUGCUGGCUUCUGCAUACUGUCAUAAACUUUUUGGUAAUCAAGUUUCUUAAAUUCAUCCCACUCAGUCAUAAUGCAAACACCAUGUGCAUCUUUCACCGCCUCAUAAGCAUCCCAAACCACAGACACUUGCUUUAUGGAAGUAGGGCUCGGCGGUUGAAGAUGAGCAGGGUGGUCCUUAUCAAACUUCCUCAUCGACAGAUCCUUUGUGAUCUGAUCUUCGGUAACUUGUGGAUCAUAUAUGCUCAACCUUGCCUUAUCUCCCAAUAAACCCUUGCACACAUCGAUAGCCGGUGUUUCCCUUGUAUCGCCUGUGUCCUUCUUGAAAGCAAAACCAAGAAUAGCAAUCUUCUUAGUUGAAACUGUGUUGAACAUUGACGAAACAACUCGGUUCACAAACCGACUUUUCUGAUAGUCGUUCACCUUAAUCACCUGCUUCCAAUAAUUUGCUACCUCAGGAAGUCCAUUACACUCACAAAUAUAGACCAAGUUUAAUAUAUCCUUCUGAAAGCAAGAGCCACCAAAACCAACACUAGCAUUCAAGAACUUAGGACCAAUCCUCGAGUCUGUUCCGAUUGAGUGUGAUACCUCUGAGACAUCAGCACCUGUUGCUUCACAUAGUGCUGACAUUGCAUUCACAGAAGAGAUUCUCUGUGCCAAAAAGGCAUUAGCAGCAAGCUUAGAGAGUUCAGCAGACCACAAAUUGGUGCAAAUGAUUUUCUCCAUAGGGACCCAAUUAGCAUAAACAUCUCUCAAUGUUUUUAUGGCCUUUUGUCCUGCUGGUGUCUCCCUACCUCCGAUAAGGACUCGAUCUGGGUUGAAAAGGUCUUUAAUUGCCGUACCUAUUAGAGAUAAAGUUUGUUAAGAAGAUAACAAGGAUAACAAACCUAACUAACUCUUAACUAACUAUUUCAGUAUUAGUACCCUCAGCAAGAAAUUCAGGGUUUGACAAAAUAGUGAAAUUGGUGCCUUUCCUAUUAUGAGUCAAAAUCCUCUCAAUUGCUUCAGCAGUUUUAACAGGUACAGUUGAUUUUUCAACCACAAUUUUGUCCGAUUUAGAAACAUCGGCGAUCAUCCGAGCUGCACUCUCCCAGUAAGUUAAAUCAGCUGCUUUGCCAGCUCCAAGACCAUGUGUUUUUGUCGGUGUGUUGACAGAAACAAAGACUAUAUCAGCCUCUGCUACAUGUUUCUCCACUUCAAUGCUGAAGAAAAGGUUUUUUCCCCUGCAUUUCUUCACCACUUCGUCAAGACCUGGCUCGUAGAUUGGUAGGUGGUCGCUGUUCCAACCGUUGAUUCGCUGCGAUGAAAUAUCGACCACGGUUACUUGAAUAUCAGGACACUUUAAGGCAAUCACAGCCAUUGUGGGACCACCAACAUAUCCAGCUCCAAUGCAACAAAUCUUCACCAUUUUUCCUUUUUCUUAACUUCCUUCACUGUGUGACAUGAAGAUCAAAAUAAAUAAAAAAACUCAUACAUAACAACAAGGUAUAUUACUACUUUCAAAUGCUUAUUAUUGGUUAAUUAAGGCCAUAAUUGAAUAACUUAUAGACAUGAAAACACGAAAAAUUCUAAUAUAGACUACUUUAAAAAGUGGUCCGUCGUGGAUUAGUACUUAAGAAAUAUUUAAAAUUCCAACGAUGAUGUACAUCAUUGUUUGAACAUAUAAGUUAAUACUUAAUGGUCAUCCCCAUUUUUACAAUUGAGAUAACAACUUCAUUAAUAUCAGUUCGAUUAAAACAACUGAAAAAAAAUAUGUAACUUGUAUUGAGCUGACGUUAAUCACAUCAUUAUUUUAGUCGUAAAAACGAAGAGUCAUGAAUGUUUACUUUUAAAUAAUAUUGUCAAUCGUCGUCGCUAGAAUAUCUAAUAAUCUUAAGCACCGAUCCACCGUAGCGUUCACCCAUGAAAACAAUAUACAUAAUAAUUUAUCAAGUAACAAUACUUAUGCAGAAUAAAAUGAUUUUUUAAUAGCAGGAUCUGUGUGUAGUUUUCAAUUGGGAAAGCCAUAAAAGAAUAUUAAAUCCAAAGAACAUUCCAANNNNNNNNNNNNNNNNNNNNNNNNNNNNNNNNNNNNNNNNNNNNNNNNNNNNNNNNNNNAUAUAUAUAUAUAUAUAUAUAUAUAUAUAUAUAUAUAUAUAUGAAUUGAGGCAUCGACAGAUAUAAUACUAAUAAAAUAAGGUACAGAAAUGUUACCUAAACACAAUUUUUGAACAUAAGUUGGACAAAUAUACUGAUUUUCAUUUUUUAAUAAUAUAUUAUGCUUACUGAUUUGCGUGCAUAACCUUUUUUAUAUUAUGAUGUCGUAUUUUUAUCAGCAAGAAUGUGUUUAGAUAACAUGCCUCAAUAAGGUAGCAGAUCUAGGACAAAUCAUUUCAUUCACAGAAAUAAUAAAUUAAUACCAACCUAAGUGAAGAUCUUGUGAAGGUAACAAAGAAAAGUGAAGGUAACAAAGAAAAGAGAAAGAUAAAUUACGUUGUGUAAGUAACGGUGGUGAAGAUGAAUGAAGAAGAAGAAGAAUAGAAAGGUCGUUGUACUUUUGUUUCGGUUUCUGGAAUGCAAAGAAAUAGGAAUGAGUCACGAAGUAACAUGCGGAUCUAUUUACUAUAAUAAAAGCCAUAUUUAUACUAANNNNNNNNNNNNNNNNNNNNNNNNNNNNNNNNNNNNNNNNNNNNNNNNNNNNNNNNNUAUUAAAAAUAGUCCUAACAUCUAGCACUAAAAAAAAAGUACUAACACCACAAAAACAUGUAGUAAUUAUAAAGGUUUCUUUGUUGUCUCCAUAAGUUUAGAUCAAUUGGUACAUAAGAAUAUCGUAUUUUAUAUGCAGAGAUUUGAUGAUCGAAUUUUAUAUACUCCAUUUCUUCAUGUCAAAAGAAAGAAAUUUUGCCACCAGACUGCAAUUAUUCAUGUUAAAAUUAUAGGAGAUUCAGUUUUGAUAAAACAUUUAAAAGAAAUUAUAAUUACAAUUAUAAAAAUGCAGUAAAAUAAGAUAUUUUAUGCAAAAUAUAAUAUCUAAUAUAGUAAAUAUAAACACAGCAGCAAAAUAAUAAUAAUAAUAAUAAUAAUAAUAAUAAGGCUUAAUUAGUUUAUUGGUCCCUUAAAGAUAUUUUAGGUUUCACAAUGGUCCCUUAAAGAAAAAAAGAUCCAGAUUGGCCCCUUAAAGAAAAAAAGACCCGGAUUGGUCCCUUAAAGACAUAUAUGUUUGUCAUAUUGGUCCUUUCCGUUAAGUUUUAACUCCAAAUAUAACAAAAAAUUCCAAUGGUUAAAAUUUUAAAAAUUAAUAAGGUUUUUGGUGGACCACUUACGCUUAAUGACAUAUUGACAUCCACAAUUCAGUCAACUAAAACUAACGUUUUUUGUAAAAAAAUUGACGGAAAUGACAUAUUGACAUCCACAAUACAGACCUUUUUUUCUUUAAGGGACCAUUGUGAAACCUAAAAUAUCUUUAAGGGACCAAAAGACUAAUUAAGCCUAAUAAUAAUAAUAAUAAUAAUAAUAAUACCAAUACAAAUUAUGUUUAAAACAUAAAUAUAAAAUAAGGGUAUUCUAACUAGUGUUUUUAAGGAAACAAAAAUGAUAAGUUUUGCGGGGGGGAUGUGUUACUAAACCUACAAAUAAAAACCUUGCCUUAAAAAUUGUACAUUUAAUUUCUUAGAAGUAUAAAAAUUGCUUGUUUCAACAUAAAAAAUUUACUGUAAAUUUCUUAACAUACUCUCUUAAGUUCGGUCAUGAUGUGUUGAAAUAGUCUUGGACAACAAUGAUGUUUUACUAGAAAAUAGCUACCAGUUAGCUACAAUGGAUGUCGUAGCUAAUCCAAAAUUUUCUUGUAAUGUAUAGGGGGCAAAAUCCAAAGAAUUAUAAAAUAGGAGUAAAAUUCCGGAUUUUAAAAUAGGGGGUAAAAUUCCGAUUUAUUCAAAACAUGGGGGGUAAAACUGCAUUUAAGCCAAUAAUUUAUAAGUAUUUGAUUUUGUUAUGUAAUUUUUUAAGAAUAAACUUUUACUAAAAUUACUGUUCUCUAAGUCAAAUAAUAAAUUACAAUACAUUUUAUUUAAUAAAUAAAUGCAUUUUAUUGUGAUAGUGCAUAUAAGACUGUCCCAAAAUAAGCAAUGGGAACAGUUUUUUUGUGGCUACGGCUCAUAACCAUUGUUGUUGUGAAAUUCGAGAACCCUUUAUAAAGGAUACUUAGGAUACAGUCUUACGAAUAUCGUCGCUGUUUUGACAAAAAACGUUGCAAAAGGAAAAGACAAUGUCUCGGUUUGAUAGGCCCAAAAACCGUCCUCUUACCCUAUAGCAGCGGUUUUUUGGAUUAACCAACGGUUUUUCUCGUUGCCAUAGGACAAAAAUGUUGCAGUGAAAAUGCUUGGUAGCCAUAACAAAUAUAAUAUUGUUGUUGAAACUAAUACUACUAACAUUGUUUUUUAUAAAAGAAAAAAGGCAUUAAUGUUCUUGAAACUCAAGAGUUUAUAGCCAAACUCUCAAAACAACCAUAACUAAUAUAUGUGUAACAAUUAGUAGGAGGCAGAGGUGGAUCCGAACGUGGAGGUAGCUGACUUUGAACAAAUUUUUUCCAUAAAUUGAAAUAAUUGCUCCCUAAGCAAACGAGAAUCCUCCUGCAAUUAACGAAUCAACUCCUCGUGAGUCUUAUUUUUUCUUUUAAGAGUUGUGUUUUUAGUUGCAAAAUUAAAAAUUAUAGUCUUCAUGUGUUGAUCUAGACGGCUUGUACUUCUGUGCUUCUAGAGGUGAGAAACAUGGCCUUGAUCCUUUGCAUGACUUCAUACACAUCAAGUAAAAGGGAGGAUAACCGAAAGAAGAGUAAUGAUGCAACAAGUUAGAAAUUUAAAGAACCAAUUUAUUAGUUAAAAAGCUUAAAGAUUUGUAAUUUAAAUAACAUAACUGUUACAAACGUGAAACUUUUUUUUUUUGAACCAUUACAAACAUGAAACUUAAAGAUCCCUAAAUACACUUUUUAUAAGGAUAAAAAAAACAAAAAAAAUUAGACAUAUUCAACCUUCUGAAAAAAAUAUGAGAGAAAAAAUAAAUAAAUUAAAACUAUCAACAUCGAAGACAAAGUCAUUUCUCUAUACGUGGAAGAGUAUUAAACGCAAACUACACUCUAUAGUCUCAGAGAAAAGUGCAAAUUUAGAACUCAGUGUCCCAAAAAAACCGUAUCUUAAAAGAUAACAGAAUUCUCAUCAUGGUUUUGACACAUAUCAAACACUGUCCCACAAUAAGAACAUAUCUUGUAUUAGUAUGGCCUCACAUUUAAUAGCAAAAGCUGGAGGCGGCACUAAAAAAUAAAAAUUGAUGUAAACCUCAAAGAUUAAGACCCUUAACUCAAUUUAAGCCUAGCUCAUUAUUUCUAGCCACCCCUUAUAAAUUAAACCGUGUCCUUGUGCUUCAUACACAUCCUCAAUCAAAACAACAUAAGCUCAAUUUUCAUUCCUAUAGCUACCCUUUUCCCAUAAACACCUGAAAUUAAAUCACAUUAAUUAACAAUGGCAAAUUCUCGCAUUGCAAGGUUUUUCAUGGAGGUGGCGCCGCCACAAUAUGUUAAUGUGAUGAGGCAUAGAACAAAAAAAAUGAUGGAAACAAUAAGUGAAGAGGACAGGGAAAUUAUCUCAAAUGAUAGUGUAAUUUCCCCACCUAAAAGUUCAUCAACAACUUCACUUGCUGCAUGUACCUCUUCUACCAAUGCAACCGUUAAUACUGGGUACUUCCUGAAGGAAGUUCAUAGAACACUCUCAAGUUUGAAUCACUGAAGCCAAUGAAAAAAAAAAACAACCUCUGGUGGCUGUUUCCAUGGGUUGUUCUUUUUGUUAGUGUUUUUAUUCUUAUCUUUUAUUUUAUGUAAUGAUAUCCUAUUAGUUUGUUUUGGAGGAACAAGGAUAGUUGAGACUUGAGAGAGUAUAAUGUAACCUUAGGGAUUCCUGCUGCAUCUGUGUUUUUCUAUGAUGUUACAGGCUCAUAAUUUUCUAUCAAUAAAACUCAAAGUUUUGUGCCUUAAGUUAAGCAUCCACAAAUUUAAUGUCAUGGUCAAUUUCAAGUCAUUUNNNNNNNNNNNNNNNNNNNNNNNNNNNNNNNNNNNNNNNNNNNNNNNNNNNNNNNNNNNNNNNNNNNNNNNNNNNNCCAAAUCCCAUUUUCUUUGUGAAAUCAUACUUUUGAUCUUAAUAUAAAUGUAUUUUCAGCUACUUCAAUCUGUAUCUGAACACUAGCUACUUCUGAAUUUUAUACCUAAAAACACUUGGUACAACUUGGGAAGGGUGGUAGGAGUAUGGAUAAUAAAACACCAAGCAUAUAUAAAUGAGAAAAUGUAAGCGACUUCAGAACCUGAUACAAUAUGCUAAAAUUUCUAAAAUUUCCACUGUGUCAAAAAGACCAACCUGUAUCUAAAACAUAGGUAUCUUUCUUUUCAUUGUUUACUGUAGAAGAUAGCAACGAGAUAUCCAAGCUCCCACUGGUAGAGUUUAGAUAUCUGCUUUUGUCUUUUGAGUUUCCCCUCUAGAAACUUCUUCAACGAGGAAGUUUCUGAGUAGCCUUUGGUCCAAAAUCAUAUUUGGAAUCUGCAGAAAGCAAACCCAGAAGAUCAAACCUAUGCACCACAAAAAAACAAGAGAAUAACGAAAUAGCUAUAGCUAAGAUGAGAGGUACCUUGUCUCCAAAGAAAAUCUUCGUAUUAUUAGCAAUGGAUUCGAUAAAUUUUAGCUCAAGAAAUUCAGGGGUAAGUUUCAACCUGUUUGCUUCAGCUUCCCUUAUUACACUGGAAAUAGUAAGCAGAACAAGUUGACCAUUUCUUAUUUCAAAGACAGAUGAUUAAAAUAUCAUAGUCAUAAACUUACAUUAACCAAUGAAAUUAACAAAAGGAAAAUCUCACCGGUAGAAAUCUGCAUCCGCCAGACUCUUCUCACGUGCUAGGUACAUUGCAUUCUCAAUUUCUUCCUGUUUUCUUGCACUAUCUUUUUCCAACAACUUUUGUUCCAUAAGGAUCUUGCUAACAUUGGCAUUUUUCUCAGCCUCGCUAAUAGCCAUCUUCUUCAUAGUCUCUGCCUCCUUCUCGGAUACUUUUUGUUUCUCAAUAGCAAUUAAGCCCUAUCCAAUAGCAUACAAGGCACAGUGUUUAUCAAUAUCUAGAAUAGAGGAAAUUCAAACUGAAUAAGAAUCGCGAAGAGAAAUAUAAAAAAAAACCUACUACAAGCGAUUACAAUUUACAAGACAUGUAUCUCAGAUUAUGACAGUAUGAAUCAAUCAUAAGGUUAAAUACAGAGUUAGCACAUGUUUAACUCAUUUAAUGAGAUUAUCAACUAAAUAUUGCAUCUGUCUAGCUUCGGGCAUAUUUACAGGAAAAUGACAGGUGCUUAUACCUUAGUACGCUCCUCUUCCAUCUGUUCAUAGUUGUGGCUUAUGUUUUCUGGAAUAUUUGGCUUUGUGACACGGACACCAAUGAUCUCAAUGCCUGGAGCAUAACGGGUACAGUCAACUUGAAGAGCAUCCUUCAUCUUUUCGUCAAUCUGAAAGUGCCCCGAUGCUUGCUUGUUAAUAUAUUAAGAUGAGAUAACUAGAAAGGAGAAAAGCCAGAAGACAGUCAAACAAUACAUUUUGGGUUAACUCGGCUAACACAACAGAGCAAAAGAAUCACAAGUGUUGGGUGAGGGGGACUUAUGACUUGCAUCAACUACGUUUUUAGUGGAUGAGAAUGAAAGUUACAGCUUAAAAUAAUACAUCAAAGAUCAAACUAUUUCAUAUUAUGUCAAUGGAAACCCUUCAAUUUUGCUAGUUUGAUUAACCAUACAAUAUAAAUGAAAGUUAUCAGUAUAAAAUAAAACAUGGAUGUAAAAUUACACUUUCAAAUCAUUAAAUUACCUGAUCAAACACAUCAAUAUAUACUUGUUGAAGACUAUGAGAGCUGCAGAACUGAUUAAUCUCAUGAUGAAUCUUGUCAUAUAUCCAUGUCUUGUCAUAUUGUACACCAUAGUUGAGCAAUGUCUCAUAGACAGAUUCUUUAUGCAAUCGGUUAACAACCUAAAAGAAGAACAUUACUGCAUUUACAAUUAACAGUGUAAAAAAGUAGAAACUUGUAAACCAGAUAUUGCGUAUGACAAUUAUACUUGCUAUUACCUCAAUCUUCCCAAAAGUAAUCAUAACACCACCUUUAGUACCGCACGGUAUAUCUGUCACCUGCAAUUGCAACCAGUACUCAAAAUCCAAAUUAUAGAUCCAACAGAAACCCUAAUUCCCAACACUGUUCUAUAGAAUUUACCUCGUCUGUUUGAAGUGUCACUUGAACUGGCUCAAACUGAGUUAAGAAAGGCAUCUUCAUAUGGAAACCUGGAAGAAUUAAUAUCACGAACAUCAACAAAAAUUGUGCACACAUACAUCGAAGAAAAGCAUCGAAAAAACAAAUAAGCGUUUAGCACCUGGCUCUGUAAUUGUUUUCAGAAGCGCACCUCCUCUCCAAUAUACCCCCACAUGGCCUUCAGGGACUUGGUGAAUAACUGACAUUGUAUUUUUUAAGGAUGGUGAUGCUGAAGGAACCAAAACCUAUAGAUAAUAAGACAUCGUUUUAAGCUUUAGAUGUCGACUAGAAUCGAUUUCCAAAUAAUGUAAAUAAGUGGUAGUACAAAAACAACAGUAACCAAAUUAGCUAGGUGGGUUCAACUACAUACACAGAUUAAAUAAACCAUUAUGCAUCAUCAUCAAAAUCAAAGCACACAAGAAAUAAUAUCAAAACAACAAAUUAAGACAAAUAUUCCAUUUCCUAUUCAUUGUCAUAAUAUAAUGUUAGUAAUUUAAAAUUAUAGUCAUUCCUCUGUUUAAAAGAAGUGCAAAGGUGAGCAAAACAUUAAGUUGGAUGUCCUACCGUAAGUGCCCUAUGUAUAUAUGAUUACCAUAUCAUUUUUAUUGUGUUAACCCUCCGGUACCCAGGAAAAGUGGCCUGAUUAUUCGAAGUCCGGCCGCGAGGUAUGUAAAGUCUGGCCAAAAAUUGUUCCUCUUAGAAGUCGAACAUGGGUUCACCUAAACGAUGCGUUCAGUGGGAGCUCAUUAACUACUUGACCUCAAUCACUUGGUUACCAUAUCAUAUUUGAUGCAAAACAAAUGGUUUUAAAUUGUGGUCGCAAUUUUGACAAUAUCAAGCACAUUUUCCUGGAAUAUAAAAUUUCACAACAACCGUAACCACAAUCGCUAUUUAGAAGAAUUAUUAUUAUCUUAUAGAUGCUGGUGAGGAAUGCCCUAAAAAGUGAAUUACAUUUACAUUAACAUGAUUAUUGGUACUAAACUACUACUUUUUCUAUGUGUGAUUGUUUUUCCAAUGUAGGUAAUAUAUUUUUUCGUUGUGCAAAUGCAAAACAGGGAAAUUUUCAUGACGAAUGAUUAUAGACAUGAGAAAGAUAAAAAAAACAGAAUUGGAAAGGUUUUAAUUUCACUAUUACAUUUGCGGAAAGAGAGGAAGAGAAAGAGUUACCAAAGCGGCAAUGAGUAUGAAUGAGAGAAAGGGUAGCAUAAUGGAAGUUGAUGAAGGAUCACGAGUUUGCGAUAUUCGAGUUUGGUGCUGCGAAUCCAUGGCGGUGGAACUUUUUCUGUUUGUGUUUUUGAUUCUUUGAGUUUGGGUUUGGUAUAAAACACCUCUUGCUUCCUUAUUUGUUUGAUCGUGAGAUACACCAAAAAUUGAUUUUGAACAUAUCUUAUUUGUGGCCAAUUUUAUUUUGUCAGCCUACGGCUAUGUUUGGAUAGAUGGAAAGUGAUCGAAUUGAAUGGAAUGGAGUGAAAUAUAUUUAUAUUUCAUUGUUUGAUUUUGUAAAUAAUGGAUGGAAUGGAAUGGAGUAUGAUGGAACUCAUUCCAUCUAAUAGCACUCAUUCAUCUAAUUUUUCAUUCCUCCCAAUUUGGGGUGUAUGCAAUGGAAUGGAAUAAACUAAUAACAAAAAUACAAUUUUGUUCCUUUUUUUUUUCUUCUCUUUUAUUAAACUUUCUUUCUUCCCUCUCACUUGUCUUCUAUUGACUGUUCUUCUUCUGCAAUUUUAUUCCAUCGAUCCAAUUUUUCUAUUGACCGUUCUUCUUCUGCAAUUUUCAUUCCUCCUUAUUCUUUUUUCCAUUAUUUUCCGCCGUGUGUUCGUCACAAUGAAAUAAAGGGAUGACUGAGGUAAACAAAUAUAUAUAUAUUCAACUACGUACUAGUAUAUUUUUCGUCAAAAAAAAACUACUAGUAUACUACUAUUUAUUUAUUACAGUGUAUUACUAAUUAGGUAAGGUAAAUUCUUUAAAUACAUUAUAUUUUUUUGUUUGGUCUGACAUUAUAUAAUAAUAUUAUUUUAAUAUAAGAUAUAAUAUUAAAUAAUUUUUUGUUUUGUUUUUUGGUCAAUAUAAGAUAGUGUAUUUUAUUUCUAUGUAAUUGUGUUUUUUAAUUAAGGGUAUAAAUGUAAUAAAAUAUUUCUUAUCUGUUCCGUUCCGUCCACUUUCAAAACAAUGGAAUAGAAAUAUCCAAACAAUGGAAUGAAAUAUUCAUUUCACUCCUCUCCAUUCCACUCCAUUUCAUUAUGUUCCACUCCGUUCCGUUCCAUUCUAUUCCAUCAAUCCAAACAUAGCCUAUGUGUUUUUCGCACGUCGAGGUCGGCCAAGUUGUCAAUUUUAAUUGGCCACACCGUGGUUAUAAAUAGACCCCUUCAGACUUUUUAGAUCUCACACCUCUUUUUCUCUUCUUAUGUUUCUUUUUAUAUUUUUUUAGUAAUGUUAGUUCGUUUAAUUUUUGUCAUUUCAUGUUAUAUCUCCGUUUCAGGGACAAAAUUUCACAAGAGGAGAUUGUUUAGUUUAUUUAAUUGGCAGUUGAAAUUUUGGAUGUAAUAUCUAAAUUGAUGUAAUUUUUGUGUUUAAUGUUUUAAUAAAAAAAAAUUAUGUCUUAACUUCAUUUUGUCUUUCCUGAUUUUCUUUUUUUUAUGUAACAUAGUCAUUCGCUACUUAAGUAACAGAAGCCCCAUCACCCUACGACCAAUCCGCUACUUAAGUAGUGAAGUGACUGCAAUAAGAACCAGAAGCAAGAACCUAUAACCAGAACCAGAUUUUUGGACUUGUUAUCUCGUUGAGCAAUUUAUCGAUGUCGAUACACGUAAUAACAUUAUUCAUUUGCAAACAUAUAAUUAUCAAAACAAAAUAAUAACAUAAAAUACUUAUCCAAAAGAUGCCAUUACAAAAUAUAUGUAAUUAUCCGAACAAACAUAUAACAUAAUUAUCACAAAAGGAGACUAUGCAUAGCCCCUCCACCACCCGACCUCCCGUAUUACGGUGCAAAAUUUGAGACAUCCCAAAUUUGUACAUCACCCCUGGCACGUGACCCCUCCGUUAACUCCCCACUCAACAACAAAUCAUUUACGAUCUGUCAAAUUCUAUUUAUUUUAACGGCCAAGCUUGUUGCAAGGGGCCCUUUCUUCUCAGCUUCCCGCUCUAUAAGGGCCUUCUGUUCACACUGCUUCAGUGGAUCCCUUGGCGGCAUAGGCCUCUUGUUCACACUCCGUGCUUACCAUACGGGGCUCAUGUGAUGUGGAAUCCCAAAUUUUCUUUGUAUAAAUAUUUAUCCAAAAUUAUUGUUAAACUAUCGUUUAAUGUUACUCAAUUUUUUUCAUAUACAUUAUAUUAUUGGAAUUAUCAUAUCUUAUUUAAUCAUUAUAUAUGUUACGGCUAAUCAAACUCAUGCAUCGCACGGGUCGAUGUUCUAGUAAUAAUAAAGUAACGUUGCAAGGCGGAGUGGAAACAAACAAGACAACGUCGACGAGGGAAAGUAACGUAAGUAUAUACAUCUGAGAGAUGUUUAGUAUUGCAACCUUUUAAUUAUUGGGUCAUGCUAACCGGUGCCCCCGGGCACUGGUUAAGGAAACUAAAAAAGGAAAUUUUAAAAUUGAAAAUAACACUUUUUAGACUUUCGAGGCGUUGACUGCACAAACUUCAAUAUGAUAUUACUAUAUUUGGUUCCUUAAACAGUGCCCCGGGACACUGUUUAGCAUUUUCCUUAAUUAUUUUAUUUGAAAUUAAAAUAAAUUAUAAAGGGUUAUAGUUAAAAUAAUAAGAGUAAAAGUCGAAGAAAUAACAAAAAGUUAUAAGCUCAAAUGUUAAUUGAAAUAACAUCUGAAAAAUAAGCUAUAAACUAGUAAAAUAAGUUAUAAGCUCGUAGUAAAAAAACGUUAUUAAACAAAUCUUUUACUCUCUCCAAUCCAAAAUGUAAGUCACUUUGAUAAAAAUAAUUAUACCAAAUUAUAAGUCACUUUACAUUACCGGUGAAGCAUUUAAUGCUUUUUUUUUUCCUAUUAUACCUUUAACUAUUUAUUUUACUUUCUUUUUUCAAUUCUUCUAUUUAUUUUUCUCAUACCAUUAAUGAAGGACAAUUUUGUAAACUAACUCAUAAUUUCUCUUUUUCAUACAAUAUUAAUCAUAUUUCUUAAUUUAUGUAAUAUGAUCAAAACUUGAAACGGAGAGAUAUAAGCUAAAUUAUUGUGAUCACCAAUCAGAACCUUAAUUUGAACAGAAAAAUACAGCUGCCAGGUCACAAUUAAGCCAAGGCACAAAGUUGAAGGAAAAAUUAUCCAUGGAUUAUGGUAGCAUGCAUGCGUCAUGCCAAGUCCUACACUACACGACACACAUGCCACUGGUACCAAUGGAGUUUACGUCUGAUCACACGUGUAAAGAACCAUCAGAAAAUAUGACAAAGACAUGGAAAAAAGUACAUUACAACUCCCCGGAACACAACCUCCCUUUGUUAUUCCUUUUAGUCUUACAUUAAGAUUAGGAGAGGUAGUAUUCUAUUUUUAUUGUCCUUUCCUUGAUGUUUAGAAAAAAUAUUAAUGUCUUUAAAAUUUAAAAGAGGUCUAAAGAUAAAAUGAAUCUCAAAAGGGUCUAUAUUUCGGGUAUUAUUUAUUUAAUGGUUUUGUUAACCAGUGUCUUGCACUUUUUAAGGUUUUUAAUUAAAGAAAUUAUUUAUUUAUUUACUGACAAAAAAAUAUUAAUUUAAAUUAAUAGAAUACAUCAAAUACAAUCUCAUAUUCAAUAUCGUUAAAAAUGUAAAAGGAUCAAUCUGUGACAAACUCACAACAUACAAGUUAAUAGCAUACAACGACCAGUUGCCUACUACAAAUAAUAUGAUAAAAUUAAAGUGACCAGAAUAUUCAUGCUUCCGGAUCUGCAUCGUUGAUGCCAAAAUCGUUGAUAUAUGAAUCUGCAAAUAUGCAACUGAUCUUUCAACAAGAAUAAGCGAACACCACAACUAUACGAGAGGGAAACUAUUUAUUUAAAAAGUUAAACAUUUCAAUUUUUAAUGCAUUGAUUUUACACAUAAAAUUUAUUACUUCGUCAUGUUACUAUUAUAAGCAAAAAUUUAUUUUUUAGAUUCAUUAAAAAAUUAAUAUAUUUAGUCUACAAUAUAUGUCAAUUAAUACAUUUGUUUUUCAAUGAAACUAAUGUCCUAAGGACUCCGGGGACUUUCUUUAGUAUUUUCUUUAUUUAAUUAAUUUUUUGUUUUUUGGUGCACCCUUAUUUAAUUACCAAGAAGACUACUAGAGAGAAAAAUGUGAAAAGCCUUGAGCNNNNNNNNNNNNNNNNNNNNNNNNNNNNNNNNNNNNNNNGCUUAUUUCUCUUGAUCUCUUUUUCUUUUCUUUCUUUCUGCCUUAGACAUACUCACAUCAAAAUCACCUUCUCUUGUCAUGGCUUUUCUGGCCUAUGCUCUGCUUUUCCUCUCCCUCACUGCUCAUUCAAGUAAGCACCAAGAACUACUCCUAUAUGUUUGUCUAUCUUUCAAGUUUCAACAUUUUUAAUUAUUUAUUUUUAUUUAAGAAAACUAUGAAAAUUUUCAACAUUUAUAUAUUUUUCCUAAUUCCUGAUUUGGGUUCCUUUGAUUAUUUACAAAAACUAUUUCCUUUAAUUCUGGGUUUUCUGUAUGAAUAAUUUUAGAAAAAUAUCAAUUCAAUCCACUGGUUGGUUCUGUUUUUUUUUUCUUUUCUAUAUGAACUAGUUCUGUUAACACAACUAUUUUUUGCCCCUUUUUUAUUGAAACGGAAAAAAAUGGUUAUGCACUUAUUAGUCCCUCCUGGCAAUAUUAUAAGCAAAAAUAUAGCACAAUUGACAGAAAUGUCAAAAUUGUUAGUGUCGGACGCCAUGACGGNNNNNNNNNNNNNNNNNNNNNNNNNNNNNNNNNNNNNNNNNNNNNNNNNNNNNNNNNNNNNNNNNNNNNNNNNNNNNNNNNNNNNNNNNNNNUGUUUUUUUUUUUUUUUGCUGACCAGAGGGAGUAUUGUUCUAUGAAAAAGGUGGAAUUUUGGUGUGUAAUUAACCAUGUUUUAUUUUCACAGGUGCUUUUUACUGUGUUUGCAAAGAUGGUGUGGCUAUUAAACUUCUUCAGGAGGCAAUUGAUUAUGCUUGUGGAACUGGAGCUGAUUGUACCCCUAUUCUUCAAAAUGGACCUUGUUUCCAACCCAACACUGUAAAAGAUCACUGUAACUAUGCUGUUAACAGUUAUUACCAAAGAAAGGGUAAUGUUCAAGGUAGUUGUGAUUUUGCUGGUGCUGCAACAACUUCUCAAACACCACCUAGUAAGUAUUUCCGUAUAACCACUACAUAUUUUUCGUACAUUUUUGUGGGAUUUUAUUUUUAUUGAUUCUCUUAUCUUCCUUGUGUUUCUUUUUCUACAGCUGCAGUUUCUGGAUGUGUUUACCCUUCAAGUCCUGGGUAUGUUUCAUUAUACGUAUGAUUCUUGUUCUGUUUUUUAUUUUAUUUUAAUGUUGUUUUGUUUAUUUAUAAAUCAAAAUAAUUGAGUAAGUUUUUUGCAAUUAAGUUUGAGUUUUGUGAGUGUGACGUGAGAAUUUUGUGGAAAAGUCCCAUUUCUUAUAAGCAUUUUAUGGUUAGCACUUACCUAUUGGAUGUUUUCAUUUUCCAAAGCAGUUUUUCUUGAAGUAGUGUUUUUCUUUUUGUUUGCCAAGUAAAGAAGAAGAGACACACAAAAUGAGUGGGGUCCACAUCCUUUUCAUUUCUCCCUUAUUAUUAAUUAUUAUUAUUAUUCCCUACCGUGCUUACUUUUUAAAUUCAUAGAAUGUUGAAUGUAUCUGGUCUAUAUUAUUGAUUAGAUACAUCCAAUAUUCUAUGAAUCUAAAAAGUAAACUUCGUCUUAUAAUAAGGACCGGAGGGAGUAUUAUGAGAAGAAAGGUAAAUAAUCUGUUUUUUUUUUAAUUUUGAAUUGUCCAUAAUGCCCUCAUUAAUUAUGUAAAAUGUGAAACAUUUGUGUUUCACUGCCCUUCCAUUUUACUUGCACAUUAGUCAAAAGCCCCUUUUCUAUUGAAAUACUCCGUCGGAUCUUUACUCCUAUAACAAAAAAAAAAAUGUUUUUUAGAUUCAUUGGACGGUUAAUAUGCUCCCUCCCGUCACUGCAAAUUUAAUAUUUUUGAUAAAUUGAGAAAGUGAUGUAUCUUAUGGAUAAUAUGGACUAUAUACAUCACUUUUCUAAUGAAUCAAAAUAGUAAAAUUUGGUUAUAAUAGUAACCAAAAAGUAUCUUGUGUCGAGCGAGUAAGACUUGACAUGAUUUCGAUAUUUCCAAGUCACAGAUUUUGAUAUUUCCAAUAUCUUUGUUGUGAUUUGGAUUGCUGUCUCACACACUUUGACGUUUGACACAGUUGGCAUAUUGGUAACUGCAAGUUUGAGAUUUGUCCGCAUUUCAAGUUUGGUAUUUCAUUUUUUUAAAAAAAUAAAUUAAAACCUACAUUGAAAUCUUAGCGGUAUGAUUUUGAUUCGACAACCACCUAUGUGCUUAUGUGAGAUUACUAACUCAAAUUUGUAUAACAAUGAAAUAUGUUAAUUUUGCAUCUUAUAUCACUUCAAGUUCAAUGUUGAUAUUUUUUUAUCCUGGCUCUCUUUUGCAGCAAUGCAGGAACACCAUCGACAGGUUCACCCGGUUCAACUCCAAGUCCGGGAACCGGUACUGGCACUGGCACGGGAGGAACUGCGGGUAGCCCUACUGUGUUUGGAAUAAGUCCAACAUCUACAAUUAGUGGCAACGGUGAUCCUUCUGCAGCUGUAGUGUCUUAUAUGAAAAGCAUCAACACCUUGCUAUUGUCCUUUGUUUGUUACCUUGUGUUUUAGCCUUCAAGGUCUAAACUAAAGGUGCAAUGCUUUACUAUUAGUACUAGUGAGUUAGAAAAUUUUAGGGGGUUUUAUGUGUGGAUGAGAUUUUGCACAAAAACAUGAUGGUUAUUAUGUGAUUUUACUUAUAUGAAUCAUCUACUUGCAAACCCAAUUUUGUUUUGUUCCUCCUAAGUAGAAAAUUUUUUUUGUAGGGAAUUUGGUUUUUUAUUUAGUGGUGACAUAUUUUGAUUAUGACAACAUGGAGGGUAGAAGUAGUAGCCUUUUUCCAUUUGUAUAUCUAAGAAUAUGACCUGCACUAUUUUUUAAUUAAUUUAAUGGAAGCCAGCUACCCUAUUUAUUAUCUAGUUUACAUUAAGGUUCAAUUUCAUGCUAGCCGGCUUCUUCCUUGAUUUGCCUUUGACAUUCCUUGCAGAUUCAAAGAAGAUGAUGUAAUCUCAAAGUAAUUUAAAAUGUUGUAACGUUUUAUAAUAAUUUUAUAUAUAAAGGUAGGUCAUGCCGACACUAGUUAGCAAUUUCGAUAAAAGUAUAUGAAUCGACAAGUUAAAUUCUCGGAACUCACGAAAUCUUCCAAUGAGAUUUUCAUAUUGUAAAUGAUAUUCAAACUCAGUCCAUCAUGUAAUUUGAGUUGAAUAUUUUGCUUACACAACUAACUUACUUACCUACGUUUUACUUUAAGGGGUUUUUUCUUAUAAGAAAAAACGUUACGAUUGAAUCAAACUCAAAUAGAGUCGGUCCAACAUUAAAUUAGACAUAAAGCAAAUUUUAAGGUGAGGUUUUUGCAUAAAAAAAUAAUAUUUUAUUAAAAUCAUAGAAUUUUGAGAUCCGAUACCACCGCACCCCAUGUGCAUGCAUAAUGAAUUUGAGGGUAUGUGUUAGAUAAUAAAGUAUUGAGUUAUGUUGAUCUGUUAGUUUAGAGUUCAUUUUAUAUAUAUUUUUUAGUAAUCUUUUAUAUUGUUAAGCUAUUAGUAUUCUAUGAAACCUUAACCUCCUUUGUUAUUCUCUUCGUUUAUAUUUCGGGCUGAUUCUAACACUCUGCUUUUUGUAACAUUAUGAAAAGUAUAUAGGUUGUUCAAAGGUCACUAUAUCAACAAUACAAGAUGUGAAUUUCUACCAUCUCUUUCCGUUUUUGCAUUUCUUUCAUGCCGUAGAAGGAUUUUUUCUCUUGGACACAAUUGCUCCUAAAAGUCAAUUACGACUAAGAAUAAUUUUGUUUUACAUCUUGACACGCUUAGCAUACAAAUCUUAAAUAAAUACUCCCUCCGUCCCAUAUUAUAAGCAAAAAAAAUCAUUUUUUCAUGUCCCAAAUUAUAAGCAAAAAAAACUAACUUUUAUCAUUUUCAAGAUAAACUUUUACUUAAUUUACUCUCUCUCUUCUUUUCCCCAUAAUCAAUAACCAAUAAAAACUGUUUUAACAUCUUCCCAUGAAAUUUAUUUCAACAAACACACAAAAAGUCAACCUUAAAAUUAUCAUAUUUUACUUUUCUUAAUAAGUGUGAAAAUAUUUUUUUUACCUAUAUUAUGGGACGGAGGGAGUACUACUUACAACGUAGUUAAUAAAAGUGCAUGCCGGCAUUUUUUGUAAUUUAGAACACAAUCAAACUAGGGAAAGAUGUUUUAAUCUGAAUAAGAAAUGGUGAGGACAAAUGUGUUUUGACUUUUGAAACUAUUUGUUCACGAUUAGUUAGUGUCUUGCAUCGGAUGAAUGUAGUAAUGUAGUUAGACAAGAACGGUCCAUUCAAUUAAGAUUGAACCGAACUGUAUAAUUGUUUUAUAUUUGGACUCUCUGAUGAUGGUCAGAUAUUCCUUAACUGCAUGCAAUUUUGAAUGCAUCCAAUCUAAAUCCCUUGUAUCGAUGUAUCAUAAUUAAAAUCAAGGCUUAAAUGUAAUUUUGAUCCCCUAUAUUUAGUAAAAUGCGAAAUUUUGGUCCCCAUUUUGUUUUGUGCAAUGUUGGUCCCUUAAUUUCUUUUUCCGCAAUUUUGGUACCUACUAUUUUAAAAAAAUUCAGACAUUUGGUCCCCUAACACACUCACAAGUGCAUGAGUAUAUCAUCGUAAUAAAAAGAGUAUAGAAUCCACAUGGACUAAUGAGCAACAUGGUAUAACUUUCAAAUCAAGGAAACAUAUAGUGAUUUUUAUAAAAACAAUAGUGAUUGAGAUUGAUUGGUUUUGAGAGUUGUAUUUAAAGGCAUUAUGCCUCACUUUGAAAAACAAUCAAUGAAUGAACAAUUAUCUCCUUGCAUAAUCUUUCUUAAUUGUAUCGGAUUCUAUUCUUUUUUUUAGGUCAAGUAGCCUAAUAACUAGAAAAUUCACCUUAAAGGUAAAUAAGUAGAGUGUCUCGGGUUCAAAUCCGGGUUCCUGCACAUAUAGUGCGAUAUCCCUACCAACUGAGCUAUGCUCAAGAGGACGUAUCGAAUUCUAUUCUAAAUCCUUAGAAUCCCUACUCUUGAGAAUUAGAUUUUUCGGUUUGUCCUAAAAUCCAUUUACCCGUUACACUUGCAGUUUUGUCCACUAUUAAACUUUUGUACACCCAUUUACCCCUAUAAUAACACUCGACCAACUUGCAAGCUUUACAAGAUCUUUUAUAGCAAGAGUGGUCAUUUCUCUGUAUAUAGCUCUUGAAUGUAGCCUGCUUUCAAUUUUGUUAGACUAGGUUCCAUCAUAUGAGUAAUAACAACGAAUUUUUUAUAAGCAAUAAUAACUAUGCAUUUCCUAUAAGCAAAUAUAUCCUUUUUACUUGUUAGUUUAGCUUAUUGCUUAGCAUCAAGAUUUAAAACUACGGUAGUUGCAGAUGUCACAAUCUUUGAAAUUGCACAGAAUCAAUAAUACUGUUGCGUUAACUACAAUUCGAAGUACAUUGCUUAGCAACGAAUUUUUUAUAAGCAAUAAUAACUAUGCAUUUAGCUAUAUGUAAACCAUUCAUUACUUCAAUUUAACACUUUACUUCAAAUAUAUAAAAACAGUAGAAAGAAAAGCUUCGGUAAUCAUAAGAGAGAAAUAAAGAGCGACACAUCAAACUUUAUAGCAUUUGUUGGAUAUAAGAUGAACACAGUAACUAUGAAGUCCGGUUCAAAGUGAGCUGCAAGAUAAGCUGAAAAAUGCUCUCUUUGCAGCCGGGCUAUUAGAUGCCUCACUACAGCGUCCAGGGUCAGCAUGCUAUUUCAGUGCUGUAAAUAAAAAUAAAAAUAAAAUAAAUAUCAUGAACAGAAAUGUUUGCACAUAGUUUUGUUGCAAAUAAUGCGAAACAUUGCAUAAAUAUAGAGAAUUGGUGGUAGUUUUAGUCAGAGAUGGUUUUGUCUCGAGAUAUAGUACAAUUGUAUAUACAAAGUUAGUGCCAAAUUUGUCGACCUAGAAAAUCAUAUAAUUAAAAGGUAUUAAUUGAAACAUUGACUGAUUGAACAUCCAACCAACCUAACUUAGGCCUCUUUCAAUUGAGUAAAUUGUUGAGCUAGACAAUCAUGAUCCCCGUUUUACCAAAAACAAAAACAUAAAUACAAGGUAUUGAUUGAAACAUUGACAGAUGAAUUACCCAACAUGCUUACUUUAUAGUCACUUUAACUAAUCUGUGUUACUGAUUGCAUUUGCUUCUGUUCUAACAAAUUUAGUACUGAAGCUCUGUACCGAGAAAAUAGUACCGAAGCUAAUUAUGAAUCAUACACAUACCUCUGGUUCAACAGGUUUGGCUUCUUCUGUUUUGACUUCUUCACCUGCAUGAGAACAUUCAUUAUUUGAGCACAGUGAUAUAGAGUUGCUUAACACAACUAUCAUGCAACAUCAACUAUGAAGAGCAUAUUUUUACUUCAAUAGCACAAUCAUUUAGGACUCGAAUAUGAACCACAUAUGCUACUCCACAUCCUUAUAAUUUUUAUUUAUUUUUAUAUUUUUUUGAAGUUAAUCAACAAUAAAGAAUCAUUCUUUAUAUUAUUGGACAUUCCUUACGUCAAAGUUAUUCAUCUAUGUUUAUAAACAUCAAUAAUGGAUCAAACUUCAGUUUUCAUCUAUGUAUGUUACAAAAGUCUUACUUGACUAUUUGAAAAGGUAAGUUACAUCUUCAAUUUAUCAAGAUAACAUCCAAAUAACAUUAUAAUGACCGUUUCAAUAGUAAAAUUCAUCAAGUAUUUUUGAAUUUUUUUUAACUAAGAUUGUGAUCUCGGUGUUGUCAAUGAGGGUCUAAUUGAAGUGUUGAGUGGUGAAACAUUAUUUGUAGUAUAUCAUCAAAUGGUCAUGCAUAAAAAUUUCUAACAGAACUGAACUAAUUGGUUCAACGGUGUAAAGAUUUUUAAAGAUAAAUGACCAACUUGAAAUUUUAAAUUAGGUUAAAGCACCUCUUGUGUAAUUUUGCCAAUAAAGUAAAGAGGAGUUCUUAGCUUUAACUCUUUAAGAACUCAAGAAAUCACUUCAUUUGGAGAUGCUCUAAAUAACAAGAAACUUGGUUGUGCAAUUGAUUGGUCAUGAAAUUUUUAGAUAUAAUCUUUAAAAUUUAUAUCUUUUGUUAUACAUAUUUAUUAUAUAAUAUAAGUAUGAAGGAAAAUAAAAUCUCACUAUAUUAGUAAUCAUUGAAUAUUAAAGAAAAGGUUGAUGUUUGAGAGGGAAAAAAAUUUGCAAAUAAAAAGACUAAGAACUAAAGCAAAAAAUUGAAAAUAAGAAAAAUCAGAGUGAAAAGAUAAUUGCAUUUAAUGUUAUACUGUCAUGCUUAGUUAAUUUAAAAGUUGAUAUAUAGAAUAAUAUAAUAUGAUGAAUAUAUUACAAUACAUUUUAGUAUUAUAAUGUAGUGUAGUGUGUAUGAUGUAAUUUAUUUAAAAGUGGGAAUAGUUAUUGUUUGGAUUAUAAGCUGUUCUGUUUCAUAUAAGUAUAUAGACAUGGACUAAUAUGUCUCAAAAGAAUGUUAGCGGGGCAUAGCCCAAAUGCAUAAUAAAUCUCAAUCAUCAUCUUACCUCCAUCCUCAGGUAAAUCGGAGGUCCAAAGUGUAAGGUUGUCUCUCAACAAUUGCAUGAUCAAAGUACUGUCCUUGUAUGACUCUUCACUCAAGGUAUCUAAAUCCGCAAUUGCCUCAUCGAAAGCUUGUUUAGCCAAAUGACAGGCCCUGUAUGUUUCAGUAAUGACAUUUAAAUGAGAGUUAGCAAUAAGAGCAAUUCACUGAACCUAUGCAGAUCAUAUAAUAGUGUUAGAACUUAGAAGCACAGAUGUGUGAUGUUUUUUGAAUUAAAUCUAGAUAUAUUCCUUGUUGAAAACAAUUCUAUUCGAGGCCUACAUAAUAACGAGAGUAUGAUAGCUCUCAAGAAAUUUGUUUGGCACAAAAGAUCAAAAAAGGGAUCUCUCAGUAAGCAGUAUCCUUGAACAUAUUCCCACCACUUGUAGAGCUAGCAUACUACAACUAGGCCAAUCCCAUUGGAUUAUUUGUGUGUGAUAGGAUGUGAGAAAAUUGUACUCCUAUAUUUUAUAACAGAUGAUUGUUAAUUAACUUGGUUGGAUGGACCAAUACCUAAUGAGUAAUAAACUAAUAAUGUUCAAUAAACUAUAAACCUAAUGAGUAAGAGAUGAUUUUUUAAUGGCCCGAACUAAACAUAUGAACUUCACACUUUUAAUCGUGCAUAGUAAUUAGUAAGAUGGUAGCUACAUGGUCACCCUGUCCUCUAUUAAAAAACCCGUUUGGUCUGAAAGUUUACUUUUGGACAUCAUGAAAUUUACUUCCAGACGGAACAAAAUCAGUAACUUGCUAAACACACUACCAAACUCAAUCUAUGCCAUUAAAGAGUAUAAGUAACUUGCCUUUCAGGAGAGUUCAGUAUCUCAUAGUAGAAAACAGAGAAGUUGAGUGCAAGUCCAAGACGGAUUGGAUGUGUUGAUGGAAGAUCCGUGCUUGCAGAUGCGGAAGCAGCCUAACAAUCAUAGAAAUAUUUUGUACAUUAAAACAAGGCACCAUAAAUAGAGAUUAACACAAAACAUUCAGUGGUGAAAUGAGGGAGAUAUCAGACAAUAUACCAACCUCAUAUGCCUUCAGUGACUGCUCAGCUGCCUCCUUCCUAUCUUGUUCGCUCUUAAACUCAGCAAGAUAUCGAUAAUAGUCACCUUUCCUGCAGGAUGAAACAAGCUUAUGGAAAUCAAAUAGAGAACCAAAGCAUGAAAAAGCUAGCAAGAACAAAGAGACGUCAUGUUAUAUGAGACGAAAUAUUAUUUGCAAAACCAGAACCAAUAAGCAGAAUAUUCUGUUACCUUUUAUUUCUCAGCAAGUAAUAUAUUGAGAUACAAAAAUAAAUUCAAGAUACAAUGUUCCCUUUUAUCUCAGAUGUUAUACUUAAUAUUAAUAUGUGCUACACUUAUGAAUGAAUUCAUAUCAAACGAUUCAUAUUAUUGCUUUAACAAUUGGGAUUUAAAAUACAAACUUAAUUAAAUAUGAGUCGUGUGAUCUUUCAUCCAAUGAACAAAAUCAAAUAUAGUGAUCACAAAAUAUUUUGACCGUGCCUGUGAACUUUUUACUGCAUUAAAAUCGAUUUGCAAUUUUAUUCCAUUUGGAAACAGAUUCUCAAAAGCAGAUGAUUAUUAAAUUAACCAAGAAAACGGCACAGGUAAAACAACAUGACUCACAUCUUAUAGUAGAAAACAGUAGCUUCUCCUGUGGUGGAAGAAGGAAUGAGAUGUUGGUCAAUAAUUGUGAGAAUGUCGCUGCAAAUUUUGGACAGUUCCUCCUCAACCUUUUGGCAAUAACUCUUGAUCAGUUUCACAUUGUUCUCAUUUCCCUUACCCUCUUCUUUCUGUUCAAUUGAAGACAUAAUUCUCCAAGAAGCUCUCCGUGCACCAAUGACAUUUUUAUAUCCCACUGAGAGGAGAUUCCUCUCUUCCACAGUUAGUUCAACAUCAAGUUUCGCUACGGUCUUCAUGCACUCAACCAUUUCUGCAUCAUAUAUACAUAUAUAAGUAUGUGUUUUCAACAUCAAUAUAUCACAUCAUUCAUUAAUUGUUUACAAUUUGUAUGUUAACACCACAAAAUUACACCCUACAUAACAACUAUCAGUCUAACCAUGCAAGAUGGUAGACAUUCAACAAUAGUUAUAUAACAUUUUGAUAAAAUUAAUUUAAAGGUGACACAAAUUGAUUUUGUAAAAUGGAUUCUGACUAAAAGCGAGUUGAAUGUAAAAUGAUUUAUGUUUGUCCCAUAAGUCCUAGCUCAAGUAGCAAAAAUGCCGAAAUUGAUAGGCCGGACGUCGUGACCCGGGUUCGAACCCCAGAUCUCACAAGUCACAAUUAUAUGUGAGUUUAAUUUAAGUGGAUUACCACUUGAUCUAAGACCAAAAAAAAAAUGAUUUAUGUUUGGAUAUAUUCCCGUAAACAUGGAUGGAACAUUAAAUUCAAGGCUAAAAUCAAUUAUAGAUUCAAGUUAGAAUUAAUUUCGAACAUCCAAUCAUACCAAAAGUGAAACCAAUCAAAAUGCUUUAUGAUCCCAUGCAAGUAGAAUCAAGUAUUUAUUAUCAACAAAAUUUCUAAUUCUGUCAAAAACAAUUGUAUUGUAUCCAAUGUAGAAUAGUAAUUGAUUUGAAAAACUCCAAAUAACAACCAAACGUACAUUGAAAUUAACAUUAUGUAUAUAAAAUCAAUUAGAUAAAGUUAACAUUAAUUAAUCUACACAUGAUUUAAGGCACAAUUAAAGGAACCAGGAAAUGAAUGAAGAAAACUGAAACCUUCAUAUCUCUCUGCUUGCUCAGCAAGCUUGGCCAUGUAAACCUGAGUCUCUCUCUCUUUCUCCGUCGACAUUGUUGUGUAAGAGGGGAAAAACCAAGUUUGUGAUUGUGUGAUGUGUUUGUGGAGAAGAAGAAUGCAAGCGAGCGAGGAAGAAGGGAAUGUACGAAAGGGUAGUUAUAUAGGUGGAGCAACUUGUGGAAGACUAGAUCUCAACCGUUGGAUUUAUGUCAGAUUUUCCUGGCUUGUAAUUCAUGUCAGAUUUUGAAUUUGAAUGAUGAAGAAAGCGCACAUGAGAAAAAAAAAAUUAAAUGAAAAAAAUUAAAUGAUGUGAGAAUAUUAUUAUUAUUUUAUUUAUGGCUUAUAUAUACAUUUGGUCCCUUACGUUUAUUUUAGGUUUCAAUUUAGUCCCUUACGUUUAAAAAGUAUCAAUUUGGUCCCUUACGUUUAUUUUAGGUUUCAAGUUGGUCCUUUCCNNNNNNNNNNNNNNNNNNNNNNNNNNNNNNNNNNNNNNNNNNNACUUGGACACGCUGACACGUGUACUGUUCAAACGGUGUUAGUGACAAAACUAACGAAAAGGACUAACUUGAAACUUAAAAUAAACGUAAGGGACCAAAUUGAUACUUUUUAAACGUAAGAGACCAAAUUGAAACCUAAAAUAAACGUAAGGGACCAAAUAUGUAGUUAAACCUUUAUUUAUUUAUGAGCUUGUGCCGUGUCUAAAUACUUUUUUCUUGGAUUUGUGUUUAACUAUAUCCUCUCCAUUUCUAAUUUUUUUUCAUUACCUCCAUUAUUAUAUAGCUUUGGGAAUAUAAAUGCAAAAGUGUGAUAUUAAGUAGGUCCAGAUAUCUUUUAUACACCCUAAAACAUUUAAAAACUUUGGUAAUAGAAAAAAUAGAAAUAAUAGAAAAUGGAGAGAAUCUCAACUCCUAAGUAAUUAGGAUCCUCUCUAUAUUCUAAAAUGGAGAGGAUCUCAACUCCUAACUAAGUAUUUCUCAAUAUAUUUUUGAAUGAGACUCAUCCAUUUUACUCAUGUCCAUCCGUUGUAGUCAUUCACAAUGACUAGUUCAUACUUCUUACCAUUCAUUUACAUAGGAUGUUUUAACAGGACCAAACAAAUCAAUGUGUAAAAGUUUCAGACGCCUAGAGGUAGAAACAACAUUCUUUGAUUUGAAAGAGGUUUUUAAAAAUUUGCUUUUGUGACAUGCCUCACACAGAGCAUCUGGAAGCAAAUUUCAAAUUAGGAUGACCUCCGACUAAAUUGAGUUGAUUAAGCCUUGAGAUUCUUCUCAUACUAAUAUUGUUCAAUCCUUCUGACUAACGGCUUUACAUGACUCUUGAUUAAAUAUAAUGUCAUAACCAUUGUCAUUUAAUUGUCUUAUUGCCCGAUGAUUAUGCAUUAGAGCUUCAACUAAUAAAACAUUUUUAACUGAUUGUGCUAGCAAUUCUUAAUACAACGACUCUUAUUCUGUCCUAUAUAUAUAUAUAUAUAUAUAUAUGGGACUAUAAGCAUUUGAAGAAAUAAGUUUUGAACUCACAACUACUGAUAUACUCUUUGAAGGUAAAGCACAAAAACCCUUAGAAUAUUCUUACAAACUAUGUAUCUUAAAAUAUCANNNNNNNNNNNNNNNNNNNNNNNNNNNNNNNNNNNNNNNNNNNNNNNNNNNNNNNNNNNNNNNNNNNNNNNNNNNNNNNNNNNNNNNNNNNNNNNNNNNNNNNNNNNNNNNNNNNNNNNNNNNNNNNNNNNNNNNNNNNNNNNNNNNNNNNNNNNNNNNNNNNNNNNNNNNNNNNNNNNNNNNNNNNNNNNNNNNNNNNNNNNNNNNNNNNNNNNNNNNNNNNNNNNNNNNNNNNNNNNNNNNNNNNNNNNNNNNNNNNNNNNNNNNNNNNNNNNNNNNNNNNNNNNNNNNNNNNNNNNNNNNNNNNNNNNNNNNNNNNNNNNNNNNNNNNNNNNNNNNNNNNNNNNNNNNNNNNNNNNNNNNNNNNNNNNNNNNNNNNNNNNNNNNNNNNNNNNNNNNNNNNNNNNNNNNNNNNNNNNNNNNNNNNNNNNNNNNNNNNNNNNNNNNNNNNNNNNNNNNNNNNNNNNNNNNNNNNNNNNNNNNNNNNNNNNNNNNNNNNNNNNNNNNNNNNNNNNNNNNNNNNNNNNNNNNNNNNNNNNNNNNNNNNNNNNNNNNNNNNNNNNNNNNNNNNNNNNNNNNNNNNNNNNNNNNNNNNNNNNNNNNNNNNNNNNNNNNNNNNNNNNNNNNNNNNNNNNNNNNNNNNNNNNNNNNNNNNNNNNNNNNNNNNNNNNNNNNNNNNNNNNNNNNNNNNNNNNNNNNNNNNNNNNNNNNNNNNNNNNNNNNNNNNNNNNNNNNNNNNNNNNNNNNNNNNNNNNNNNNNNNNNNNNNNNNNNNNNNNNNNNNNNNNNNNNNNNNNNNNNNNNNNNNNNNNNNNNNNNNNNNNNNNNNNNNNNNNNNNNNNNNNNNNNNNNNNNNNNNNNNNNNNNNNNNNNNNNNNNNNNNNNNNNNNNNNNNNNNNNNNNNNNNNNNNNNNNNNNNNNNNNNNNNNNNNNNNNNNNNNNNNNNNNNNNNNNNNNNNNNNNNNNNNNNNNNNNNNNNNNNNNNNNNNNNNNNNNNNNNNNNNNNNNNNNNNNNNNNNNNNNNNNNNNNNNNNNNNNNNNNNNNNNNNNNNNNNNNNNNNNNNNNNNNNNNNNNNNNNNNNNNNNNNNNNNNNNNNNNNNNNNNNNNNNNNNNNNNNNNNNNNNNNNNNNNNNNNNNNNNNNNNNNNNNNNNNNNNNNNNNNNNNNNNNNNNNNNNNNNNNNNNNNNNNNNNNNNNNNNNNNNNNNNNNNNNNNNNNNNNNNNNNNNNNNNNNNNNNNNNNNNNNNNNNNNNNNNNNNNNNNNNNNNNUUGUCUUAUGAACCGAUGAUUAUGCAUUAGAGCUUCAACUAAUAAAACAUUUUUAACUGGUUGUGCUAGCAAUCAACGACUCUUAUUCUGUAUAUAUAUAUAUAUAUAUAUAUAUAUAUAUAGNNNNNNNNNNNNNNNNNNNNNNNNNNNNNNNNNNNNNNNNNNNNNNNNNNNNNNNNNNNNNNNNNNNNNNNNNNNNNNNNNNNNNNNNNNNNNNNNNNNNNNNAAGGCUAAUAAUAGUUUCUUAUAUUAACUCAUGUGUGUAUCUAUUUAGGAGAUUCAUUAUUUUUAGAUUGCAUAAAAAUUUGAUUUGUUGUUCUACAAAAAAAAAAAAAUUGUUCAAAUAAAAUAAUAAUAAUAAUAUUUUGUUGCUCUAGAAAACAAAUUGAUUUAUUGUUAUUCAAUCACCCCAAACAUUACUAUUCCCCUUUACGUUUUCAUUCUCAUGGUGUAUGAAUUGAGUUUAUGAAUCUAUUGGACAUAUAAGUUAUAAAUCAUUGAAAGCAAAUACAUAUAUGAAUCAUCAAUCAUGGUAUAUAUGGGUAUAAAAAUUCAAUUUUAUCGGUUUUAGUAUAGAAAACAAUUUUAAUUAAAUUGAGUUUGGUAGUAGGUUGUUUAUGUGCAUAGUUUGCAAUUGACAUUGACAGUUAAGCAAAGGAGAAUGAAAACGCAAGGAGAAUAGUAAUGAUGGGGAUAACAACAAUUUAUUUUUGUAGAACAGCAAAUCAAUUUUUUUUUGUAGAAAAAAAAAUUAUUUUUUUUUUGGUAGAACGCUUAUCAAAUUUUUUUUGGUAAAAUAACAAAUCAAAUUUUUAUGCAACCUAAAAAUAAGGAAUCUCCUAAAUAGAUACACACAUGAGUUAAUAUAGGAAACUAUUAUUAGCCUUUGAUUAAAAGAAAUAGACGGUUGAGAUUNNNNNNNNNNNNNNNNNNNNNNNNNNNNNNNNAUAUAUAUGGGACUAUAAGCAUUUGAAGAAAUAAGUUUUGAACUCACAACUACUGAUAUACUUUUUGAAGGUAAAGCACAAAAACCCUUAGAAUAUUCUUACAAACUAUGUAUCUUAAAAUAUCAUAAGACUUAAAAAUUCUGAGCUUAAUUUAGUUUAGGGUCUUGCUAACUAGUGCCCCCGGGGCACUCUUUAAGCAUUCCAUUAAAAGAAACUUUUUAUUCAAAAAAUUAAACACUCCAAUUUCCAAUGCGUUGACUUUAUGCAUUUCCAUAAAAAUUCUAUAAAAAACUUAUUAUUUAAGGGCUUAAAAAGUGCCUCAAAGGCACUAUUUAGCAUUUGCCUUUAGUUAUCACUCUUUAAGUCUUAUGUGAUUAUAAUUUAUAAUGAAUAAACUUUCUUAUGUGAGGAGACCGGACUAUCCCUAAGAUUAAGGAAUUAACUAGUAUAAAAACUUUCUAUCAUUUUCUAUCCUUUUUAUACUUGAUCAUUCUUGCAAACUAUUCUUGACUUAAAAAGUGUUUCAGACAAAGAAAACACAAUUUAAAGUUUUGAACCCUUUUUUAUUUUUGUAUUUUUUUCAAAAAUUUUGCAGAUUUUUUUUAUUUUUAUAGCAUCCAACGUUUAAGUAGAAAAAUAACAAAUUGAAAAACUAACAAAACACACGAGAAGCAUUAAAAAAACGUGAGCCGUUAUUAAAACAUUAUAAAGUUGAUGAUUCCCACCAAGAAUUUGAUCGCCGAGUGUGCCGUCAAAAGAAAUUCUCUCGAUUUCCAAAGGCAGAGGAAGAUAAAAUAAGGAGAUACAUGUCGGUUAGAACAGUCCAAUAAGGCAUAAGCAAUAACCAGCCGGCCAUAAGACGGACGACAUAGAGGAAUGAUACCACAUCUGGUGACCUGGAUUUGGAGAAUAAUACUAUAUAUAUAUAUAUAUAUAUAUAUUAAAUUAAAUUUUUACAAUCUGUUUUGACCAACAACAAAAAAAAAUUACAAUCUGGAAUCACGUUAAACCAAACAUAUAUUAUCAGAACUGCAUAAAUUCUUACUAUAAUUUGGAUCACAAUUAUACAUAAAUCCUAUACCACAUAUAUUUUAAUUUAAAGAGUAUUAGCUGUAUAGAAAUUCUCUAAGAGCAUUACUGUUGGCAAUUUUGAACGUUUUGCCUUAGAAAUUUUAAUUCGAAAACAGUUUCUUAAAUUUGAAAUUAUAUUUGUAGAAACUUUGACCCAGUGGAUCAACAAACAAAAUUCUUAUGGACUGAGUUCUCACUUCUCAAAGAAUUCUGUAAGGGAAGGUUGUGCUACUAUCUCAAUUUCAUUAAAUUUCGUGGCCAUUCACAUUCUUUCUCAAAAACUGGUGAUUGUUCAACAAAAUGCUAUAAUUCCAAUGAUCAAUAAAGAAAUAAAGAAGAAUAAAAAAUGCUAACAAGAUAUUGGAUGAAUGAAUUACUACAAACAACCUUGACAAAAAGAUAAAAAAGAACUGUAGCUAAAUUCAACAUGAACCUUCACAAUCUACAGCUUCUUCAAUCUCUUGACCAAGUUGUGGUAAAGAUUGAAGUCAAGGCUCUGAGCUCUAUAUAUACACGUGGCAAUUAAACAAUCCAUUCCCUGAAAUUGUAUAAAUAGUGACAUUAUUUCAGAUGUAUGCUAGCUAUAGCCAAAUUCAUAUCUGAAUUUCAGAGUUUCCAGGAGGACUUGAGUUAUCAUGGACCUUGCGUCUGGGAUGACUUGCACAAGUUUUUCUUAAUGAAACCAUGAUGUUUAAAUUUAAUCCAACAAAAAUGCUACUCAUUUUUACCAAAACAAUAAAAUUUACCGAGUUUAGAUAGAGAAAAGAAGAGUGUAGAGAAAUUACCAGAGCAAAAAAAUUGUGUUCAUCUGUCAUGGUGAUUAGUGAGAUAUAUUAGUGCUCAAUCAUUUUUUCAAAAAUAAUUUCUGGCAAACAAGUAGACGCUGGUCACUGCCAUUCUGAAGAUCAAUUAUCCUUGCUUCCCAACGUACUUGAGUUGCAAGCGUGCGAGCCAUCUCAAUUGUUCCCACUGUAUCAGAAAGAAUGACCCAUCCCUACAAAAAUAGUGACGUGUAUUAAGAAAAAUUAAGCUACAUAGACCUUUCCAUUACACUGAGACUGACAACUAUUUGUAUUCAAAAACACAAAUCCAAUAUUACAUUUCAUACGGAAUUCACAACAAUAAAUGAGCAUGCUUCAUUAGAGUCAACUGGCUUAUAAACAAUCAUCUGCCAAGAUGAGAUCAUCCUUUCUGGAGGUUUUGCCCAAAAAAUGGUCAGAAAGGAAGAGGGUGGAAAGUACCAGAUUACUGUUCCUUUACACUUAAAAUAACAAUGACGAAACUUUCCAGCACAAUCAUGAAAAGGAAUAUAAACACCAAGAUCAUACCUCUGGCCGUAGUAUCCUAUCCAUCUCCAAGAAUAAGUCUAUCAUGCUGCACCGUUCUGAAAUGAACUGUGACAAAAGUCCAUUUGCGUGAAGGAGAUCAUAUGUUCGUGGGUAGGUGGGGAAAGGUUCACACCUGAAGAUCAACAUCAUUAGUUAGAAAGAAAACAAUUAUCUGGAAGUUCAUAUGCAUUAACAGUAUUUUACAAAAAGCUUUGCAACAAACUCGACGAAUUUUGAUCCAACAAAUCAGGUGCAUGCUACAUUAACCUUAAAAUUUAUUCUCAAAAGGAAAACAAUUUUAAAAAAUAAACUGAAUAUUUGGUACUGAAAUUUCAGCACCAUAUAUGCAGUAUGUUAAAGGAAAUUAUCGGCAUAUUUAUGAAACUUGUAGUAUGUUUGUUAAUGGAAACUAUUUGCAUAUUUAUGAAUCUUACGAAUCUUGCAUUAAAUAUCAAAAUAUAAUUUACUAAAUAAAUAAGAAGUUUCCAGGGAAUUAUUUUGUACAUAUGGUACAUACACCACCAAACCAUUUUCAGCAAUAAAAUAAUCAUGAACAUCAUCAUAUCUUUUUUAGUAAAUUAUCUAAAACUAUUUUUAAUUUUCCAACUAGUAUAAACUACAAUUCUGUUAUUUGUCAUAAGCAUUUCCAUUGAUAGUGCACGAGAAAUACAUUUAUCAGGCUUUCGUGGUAUUGUCUGUUUAUCACCCUCAACCAAAAACAGUCUUACUCCAGUCAGUUUUUAAAUUAUAAGAAACUUUGUCUAGAUCAAACACAACUUGUCUAGAUCAUGAACAAAUAGCAACAUACCAGUCAUGCAUAACACCAGCAAAACCUCUCUCUAGUAUGAGAGGAAGUGCAUUAGAAGCCCUGGCAGGAACAACAUUCAUGACCCACACUGAUUUUUUCUCCUCCAGCAGUGCAGCAUUCAAACCCCCAUAAUUAGAACUCAUGUCCAUAACAUUGCGGAUCAUGUUAUAUGGAGGCAGUGGAUCUUCAUCUCCAGGUCUCUUUGGAUGGUCAGAGAAAAUUAACGGUGUAAGCAGGGACCAGUAAUUAUCGACAGCUGACCUCCAAAAAUGCAUGUCUUCAUAAAACUCGUCAGGCUGAACUCCUGCAAUAAUAAAGGGAAAUUAAUGAAAAGGAAAAGCAAAUCAAAACGGGAAAAAAAUUUCGCAGAAGGAAGAGGAUGUAAGCUGAAUGCUUCUAAGAAAUAAUACUUUCCAUGAAUUUCAAGCUCAGCUGAACUAAAUUCAGAAUCAAAGGAUUUGUUCUGUAUGGCAAUCCAGCGCUUGCUAGAUGUACCACUAAUACAUGGUACAAGAGGCUUGUAGUAUGAUUGAGUAUCAUCCGCUUCUUUACAUAGUUGAAUAGCAUGCUGCUUGCUAGAAUGAAGAAACAAAAGCUAAAGUUAUAUUAUCGUAGUAACUAGCAAGUGAUCAACGGAGAAAGACAAUAUCAUAACUAGCAGCAGUCUUGUUCAAAAAAUAUAUAUAUCACCUACACUAAUUCAAAUAUCCUUACCGAGAUGCAUAACAAUCAAGGUCAGCAGUCUUCUGCCAGAUGAAAGUCUCAUCUUGCUGAGCUAGGAGCGUCCAACAGAGUUGCUGAGUCAGCUCUUCCAUCGGGUUCAACGUGAUUCUCUUUUUCUCCCUUGAUGAACCUGGUAGCUUGCUUGUAGGUGAUGUUAAAACAAAAUAUCCUCCAGGUUUAAGAACACGGUCAACUUCUAUGAGGAACAUUCCAUCUGUAGGAUGAGGUCAAUAUUAGAGAUCAAAGGAUACCAUUUCAUACAGAAGCUAAACAAUACUCAGUAUGUUAUGAAAAGUCGUGGAAGGAUAGAAAAAGCAAAUGGAAAUGAUAUACAAAGAAUGGAAGAAAAACAAGAAAAUGGGACAACAUCCAAAUAUAAACGAUAUGAAAAGCCAUCCAUUUAAUUGUUGAAAAACAAAUUAAUUAAAAAAGAACACCUUUGAUUUGAUAAAUCGAAAUAUAUUUAGGUUCUAUGAGCAAGAUAUUAAUAGAUACAUAGACUACUGGGCAUAAACUAUCAAAAUCAAACCAGGAAGUGACUUAGAUUUGGACUUAAAUCAUAUACAUUCCAUUCUAGGACAUACAUACCCAAGAUAUUAAAUCAGCUUAUAAAAGAUGAAUUAACAUAAAAUACAUAGAGGCUAUGGAGAUGCUAGGAAAAGCCAAAUGGUAUGCAAUUCGAGAGUAUCUGAUAACAUGGUUCCACAGUUCCACUGUCCCAAAGCUUUGGUAAUUAGGAGGUAGCCAACAAAAGUUCAAUAUUAUUUGCAUGUCUCUUCAUGGAACCAUAAAUAAGGUGGGUGACAAGUAUGGUGCUUCUGGAUAUUUGAUUAUAGAUAUUCUUAAAAGGAUCAACAUGUCAAGUAUCGAUUAUCUCAUAAACUUGAGUUGUUGGAUGAAGGUCAAGAAUGGUUUUAUAUCUCUAACACACAGGAGGAUCACCACACAUUUGUUUCAUUUCAAGGGUUAGUUAUACCUCAAUCACUGAUUUGACAAGUAGCCUAAUCAUGCUAAUUUUGGUUUCACAGUCUAUAACACCAAUUAUUGCACGCCCAACUCAGUUUUCUCUCUUAUUUGUUAACGAAAUACAACUUUCGACAAAAACUGUGACUUGAAUUUAAAAUAUAUGACAUAUGAAUCUCUACCUAAGAGAUUAUAUUGAUAAAGAAGUUUGAACUUUAUGAAGUCUAUAAGGAAAUCCAUUAAGCUAAGAAUAAAAAAGUAAUGCUCAUAGCUAUAAAAUUACCCUUUUCAUCCCAAAUGAUGCCACAUUGAGCACAGUGAAUCAUGUCAUAUGAUAAUGAUGGAUAUGGAAGCUGUCUUGCAAUGAAGUUGCCAAUCAUAGCAGGAAGACCUCUCUCAAGAGCCAAUUGAACUUGGCUGCCAGUUGCCUCAUAUGCCGCAACACAAACCGCCAUUAUUUUAAGUGACAACAAAUGAGCUCCAAAGCUACCAAAUCCACAAUUAAUGUCCAGUAUAGUUCGAACCUGUUAUAUUAUGAGCAAAAUAGAUCAGUAACAUAUAUUAUGCAACAAAAGACCAGACCUUAGUGAAAAUCAAGAAGAGAUAUAUGGGAAGCUGAAUAGCAUAAUCUUCCUUACUGUACCAUGCACGAACUUUGUCCCUGUAAAACACUACACGGUUCCCCGAAAAAAACAACAAUUGUUGGAUUAUGGUUAAUGGAUGACUUACACCAGCUUGAGGAAGUUCAGUAUCACUUCCUAGCCCUAUCAUCUCUGCAAUUUGGCGAGAGUAGUCUUUCACCCCAUCAAAGAUCAAACCAUCCUCUGAGUGAAAGGCAAUUUGAUUCUCUUCUAGUAGCAUCAACCUAGAGAAACCACAGCACAACAUUUAUUUAUAGAAAGUAAAGGAAAAAAAGAAGAAAAAAACUUUAUGAAUCAAUCACAGCCCUGAUAAAAGUUAAGUUACUUUCAUUCAAGCAAUCUAUCAUUCAAAAUUAACAAACAAUCAUUCAAUCAAUCAGUAGUUACAAGGGUUUCAAAAUUCAAAUAGUGGUAAAAAAUAAAACACAACUGAAAAGAUUUUUUUUUAUCCAAAGGAAGUACCUUUUGGUCAUACUUCCAGAUGAAAGAAAUUGAUCUUUGGUUAUCUUCACAUUCCCACUCCAUAUAAUAUCUCUGCCACUGGGCCAACGCAAUGGAAUUUUGUAUUCCUUUGGAGGACGAACCAAACACCGGUCUUCUUCCGUCAACAAUUUGCAGUGCCGAUCCAGCUCCUCACCCUGUUCAAAUCCAGACAACAAAUUUGCAGUCACAUUGUGGCAUGGCACGUAAUUUUCCCUUUCUUUUCCACAAAGUCCUAAUUCCUUUUGCCUUGAACCACCACUGGAAACAGAUUUCAGCUCCAAAUAAUCAACCGCUACACGCUCCUUUAUCCUCCUGUAGUUUGUGUAGAUGAGAGAAGCCGGUCUCCGAGGCGAGGAAUCAAUUGCAUUGGAAGAUGAAGAACCAAACAAUGUAAUCAGAGCCAGAACAGUAAUCACAGUCAAUAUUAACCAGUUUAAUUUUGGUUUAGGGCCGAAAAUCAUCCACAAUUUAUUCAACAAAGAGCUUCUCAUGUCCAAAAUCGUAAAUCCGUCACGUACAGAGAAAGAGANNNNNNNNNNNNNNNNNNNNNNNNNNNACUAAAUCGUAAACGUAAACACCUUUAACCCUGGUUUUCCAACCAUAACCUAUCGUAAUACCAUGAAUCUUAGCCACAAGUACAGCAAGCAUUGAAACAAUAGGCUGAUCUGAAAAAGGAAAAACCGCGCAACGCCGAUCGAACGAAUGAGGAAACAAUCGAUGAAUCAGAUCGGAGAGUGAAUUGAAAAUGGAAAACGAAUCCGAUCGAAGAAGUUAGGAGAGGAAAAUGGAGAAUUAGGGUUUUUGGUUGAAGAAGAGAGUGAGAUUGAUGAUUUAGAAAGCAAAUUGUGAAUGGUGAAGAAGAGCGCUAAUUGCGGUUGGGUCCAAACUGUUUGGAUUCUUGUUACUAAACUUUACUACUUCUCUUCGUAAUUUUUAUCAAUUUCCUUAUAUACUACUACUUCCGUUUCAUUUAUUAAACAGAUCCAAAAAUACAGACCAUAAUUUACUUUUUAAACAAACAAUUUCUUUAAAUGGAAUUCUUGGAUUUCUUUAGUAAUGACGAGUUUGGAUAAUAAAUUAUAAGUUAUGAGUUCGAUUCACAACUUAUUGUGAAAAAAAUUAUGCAAAGUGGUGGGAUUAAACUUGAGAAUCGUUUGUAGCUAGAAUUGAUUUACUUGAAGCUAGAAAUUGUAGUUUCUGAUUCUAGAAUUGAUUUUUACACUUAAAUUCUUUCUUCAACCCACUUUUAUAUGAAUAUAUUCAAACAUAAAUCAAUUAUGUCAAACUCAAUUCUGUCAAACUCAAUUCUGUUAAAAUCAAUUCAGUCUACCGCAAAACCAAACACAUACUGUGAAGAAGAAUAUUUAUAUAUAUAGUAGUAACAAAUAUUGAUUUUAUAUGGUCUUGGGCUUAAGCGCUUUGUAUUUCAGAAAAAUAAAUAUUUAUAUAUAUAGUAGUAACAAAUAUUGAUCACUUUAUUCUUUUAAGCUUAUUUCAGUAGGUGUGAACGUCAAAUUAUAUGAGCGGUGUUCGAACUUCAAACACUAUACUUAUUUACUUUUAAGGAUGAAAUUUUUAGUCAUUAUAUAUAUUUCGUGACAAAAAAAUAUUGAUAACUUUUUUUAGUCACGAUUACACAAAAAAAAUAUAUUAUAUUAAAAAUACAUAGACUAUUUUAUUAUUUUCUCAUUCUACCUUUUAUUAAACAUAUAUGUGUUACUAAAUAAAUAUAAUAACUAAAUUUUAAAUCCCUUUAACUUUNNNNNNNNNNNNNNNNNNNNNNNNNNNNNNNNNNNNNNNNNNNNNNNNNNNNNNNNNNNNNNNNNNNNNNNNNNNNNNNNNNNNNNNNNNNNNNNNNNNNNNNNNNNNNNNNNNNNNNNNNNNNNNNNNNNNNNNNNNNNNNNNNNNNNNNNNNNNNNNNNNNNNNNNNNNNNNNNNNNNNNNNNNNNNNNNNNNNNNNNNNNNNNNNNNNNNNNNNNNNNNNNNNNNNNNNNNNNNNNNNNNNNNNNNNNNNNNNNNNNNNNNNNNNNNNNNNNNNNNNNNNNNNNNNNNNNNNNNNNNNNNNNNNNNNNNNNNNNNNNNNNNNNNNNNNNNNNNNNNNNNNNNNNNNNNNNNNNNNNNNNNNNNNNNNNNNNNNNNNNNNNNNNNNNNNNNNNNNNNNNNNNNNNNNNNNNNNNNNNNNNNNNNNNNNNNNNNNNNNNNNNNNNNNNNNNNNNNNNNNNNNNNNNNNNNNNNNNNNNAAUUAAAAAGUGUCGGGGGCACUCGUUCAUUAGCAUUUACCAAUAAAAUAUUACAAGUAGGCUUUCUUAAUUUAAAAUGUAAUCUAAAAUUAGUAGCCUAGUUCAUAAAAAUAAAAAUAAAAAUAAAAAUAAAAAUUAGUGGCAUUGCAUUCGUGUUGACAACUUACUUACACAUCGUGUUGCAGGCAUAGUAUCUUUUUUUUAGUAAGUUUGUUUAUACUUAUAAUAGUAAGUUGUACUACAGCUCAAAAAACAAACAUAUGCGCUGCACCUGCACGUCCAGCUAGCAGAUAUGAUUUCGUAGCAUUCAAAAAGUUCCCAAACGAAACAAACAUCCAUUGGACCUAAAUAUUCUAGAUUUCAUGCAAGAUCGUAUAAAUUCAGAAUGUUUUAUUGGAAAAUACUAUCUUUUAUAGUUAGACAAAAAUUAAUAUUUAAAAAAUAUAAUGUGUUAAGAUAAUAAGUUGUUAGGCUUUAUAUUAUUGGGCCCGUUAGGCUUAUAGUCCACUAGGUUUUGCUAUAUAAUCUCUUGUAACUCUAUUUUAUUAAGCAAAUGCAAUUCUAAUAUUAUGUAACCGUAGUUGUCUCCUUUGUUAUUCCCCUAGUUUGUAUCUUUGAUUCUAACAUGAUAUCGAGAGCUUGUUUCGAUCCUCCUUAGAUUGUGUAUUGUUAUCCGCUGCCGAGUUCCCAAUAGUUUGGGAAUGUGAUUAUUCUAUUGAGGUUGUGUUGCUGCGUUUUGAGUUCUCUUGGUUAAUUUCUAGGUUGGUCAAAAUUGGUUUCUAUUGAUGGUUUCUAUUGAAUCAAAUGAAUUUGGUUCGGCGGAGUGGAGAUAAUUUUCGUCUGCAAGGAAUCAACCUUUUAUGGCUUAUUGGAGAUUUAUAGGUACCGUCACUAAUAUCAAAUUUGGAAUUGGCAGUGCAAGGUACUUUGGUUAUUGGAAUAUCUCUAUUAGGCACAUGAUGUUCUACGGGUUGAAAGUGGCUUUUUGAUGGUGUCAUACAUUUGUAUUUGUCUUCCAUUUCCUUUGAAUUAGUUGAUUUUUGCUUUGAUUGUUGAGAAAAUUUAUUGAGUCGUCAUCAUCCAUAAUGUCUAGUGUCCUUUUAUGGUACUGUCUAUUGGUUCCUAUGUGUGAUUUAUGUUGGGUUUGUUUGUUUUCUUAGAGGAAAUGACACCGUGUGGGUGUUUGAGUUAGUAAAAAAAAAACAAAAAUUGGUUUGUUGGUUUGUUUGUCUUGAUUUGAUUUCUUUCAGUUCCACUUGAAUUGGUUUCGUUUCCAUAUGUUUCAAUUCGGUUAUUUGGUGAGUCAAAGUGCUCACAAUUUGAUUAUUUGGUGAGUUGAGUGCUCACAAUUUGAUUUCUUUUGAUUGAUUGUUGGUCUCUCUUGUUUGAUUGUUUCUCUUCCCCUUUUUUGAUUCUUCUUUGUUUGAUUGUUUCUCUCUUAUUAACUUCUUUUGUCUGAUUACUUCCCUCUAUUGGUUCUAUUUGAUUGAGCUUAUCUCCCUAUUGGUUUCUCCUUAUUAGUUCUUUUGUUUGAUUGCACUUCUCUCUUCUAAUUGAUUACAUUGCACUUCUCUCUGUCAAUUCUUCUGUUUGAUUGCUUCUCUCUAAUGAUUUCUUCCGUCUGAUUGUUUCUUUCUAAUGAUUUCGCUUCUCAUUGAUGAUGGUUUUGUCUGGAUCCUGUCUUAUUGCUUCUCCCUGCUGAUUUUCUUAUGUCUGAUUGCUUCUGAUGAAUUCCCUUCUCUUCUGUUGGAUUGCUCCCCUCUGUCUGUUCUUCUAUUUUAGUUGCUUCUCCUUCUAUUGACUGAUUCUUCUGUUUGGUGAUUUAGUUCACUUUGGAUUGGAACAAUUUGGUUUGGUAAAGUUUGGAUUUGUCGGAUUGGUUUGGAUUUGGUUAGCUUGGACUGAAUUGGAUGAAAUGGAUGUUAGCUUGGUUUGAUUUGAUUCUCCUCUCUAUCUCUGCAGGUUCCUCUUUUGGUACUAUUUGUGGCUCUUGGUUAUGAUAUUAGUUGAUUUAGUUUAAUUUUAUGGGUUAAUUUUGUAACAAGUUUAAAAGCUUAGUAAACUUUAGCUUGAGGGAUAAUAUUAAGAUAAAAUGUUGAGUUUAUAUUAUUAAGUAUGUUUUGUUUGACAAACUCUCGAUGCUUUUUGUUGUUGCAUCGUGAGUUUGAGGGUAAGUGUUAAGAUAAUAAGUUGUUAGGCUUUAUAUUAUUGGGCCCGUUAGGCUUAUAGUCCACUAGGUUUUGCUAUAUAAUCUCUUGUAACUCUAUUUUAUUAAGCAAAUGCAAUUCUAAUAUUAUGUAACCCUAGUUGUCUCCUUUGUUAUUCCCCUAGUUUGUAUCUUUGAUUCUAACAUAAUGCACAAAUUUCAAACAAAUAUUAUUACAUUUCCAUUCUUAACUUUUAGAGCAUAUGUUAAAUUGUCCUUAAGAUAAUUUAUUUUUGAAAAAUACUGACUAGUGUUUUUAGGAUAGUAUUAAAUAUACUAAAUAGGUCUUAAAACUUUUUUCUUUUUUAAUCAUCAGUAUCCGGCCAGCUAGACGGUCUAAUCGGUUCGAAUGUCAAUUUUGACAUCAAAUGGUUCCGACCUCCUCCCGAUCGUAGUAUAUUGUUUUUGGUACAUACUAUUAUAUUUUAUUUUUUCUUUGACAUGAAUGCUAUUAGAUAUGGACUAAUGCUACGGUGGACCACCUUUACAAGUGGUCCAUCGUGGAUAAGUGAUAUACCAAUACGACUUUUAUAAAAUUUACUGUUAGAUUGAAAAUUUAUAUCAUAUAGAUUAUCUAUAAAAAAUUCUUAGAAAAAUUAUAAAUGAUUUGAUAUGUUACUGAGACAUUGUGUCGUGACAUUUAACAUUAUCCUUAUCCUUUUUAUAAACAAAAAUAAUAAGAAAUUUUUUAUAUAUAUAAUCCUUCCACAGAGUACUUCUUAUAUUACCUUUUUUCUUAAUAUUCUUAUAUUACCUUCAUGAUUUUAUUAAAAUUUCAAUAUGGAUUAAUUCAAUGUUUUCUUAUUAUUGUUUUUAAGAGAGAACAACUCAACUCAUAUUCAGUGUUUUUUUAUUAUUUAUUUUUUAAAACUAAAUGUAUCAUCCGUGCGCAACUGUAAAGACUAAUUCCCUCGAGGUAACUGAGAUCCAUUUAAGAUGUUGAUCUCUCCUAACAAAUGCUUCUUCAUACGCACCGAUCAGGGAUCGAACCCAAGACCAAAUGGUUAAGAAGCCCAAGUAUUUUUGCCACACUAUAUUGGUCGGUAUGGUUUCUAAUAAAAAUGUGUUAAAUUGAAUUUAUGAUUAUCGGACGUUGUAUUACGCAUGGAGAAAAUGAGUUGUAACAAACAAAAUUCUUUCAUUUUCUUCUAAGCUCAAAAUAUAGAGAACUCUCGAUACAAGAAAAUGUAUAACAACCUGAGAAUAGAAAAUGAAAAGAAAAAACAUCCCUUGUUUAACAUUGAGUUCGACACUUGUGGUGUGACCAGCCCAACAUCUUUGUUUGAAGCAAAGCUUUCCUCGUUAGUUUGCUUUGGUUUGGCUUGUUUCGGGGGAGAGGUGAGCCGUUUAUGCUGUAUGGAAAAAGGAGCUCUCGUACUGUGCCAAACCUAACGAGGCCAAACAAGAAAAUGUAUAACAACCUUAAGAAUAGCAAAUGAAAAGAAAAAACACCCUUGUUUAAUAUUGAGUUCGACACUUGUGGUUCCUCUUCGAUAAUCGGUUCCAAUUUGAAGGAAUUUGUGGAUGGAUCUCAUCUCUCUUGCCAUUUGAAAAAUAAAAUGCAAGCAAUCCGUUGUUGUUUUCGAUGAAGAAAAUUAUUGUAUUGAAUAUUUAUUUGAAGCAAAUGAUUGAAUACAAUAGAGAUGAAAAGAGUUAAAAUAAAUAUGUUUUGAGCCCGUAAAAAGAGGACAAAACAUGGAAUGUCCAACUAUGAUAUAAUAUGGAUAUGAUAUUUUCUCUUUAGGCCCCCCACGUUUCUUUUAUACCCCCCUUACUUACGUUUUUGCCCCUNNNNNNNNNNNNNNNNNNNNNNNNNNNNNNNNNNNNNNNNNNNNNNNNNNNNNNNNNNNNNNNNNNNNNNNNNNNNNNNNNNNNNNNNNNNNNNNUGAAAAGAGUUAAAAUAAAUAUGUUUUGAGCCCGUAAAAAGAGGACAAAACAUGGAAUGUCCAACUAUGAUAUAAUAUGGAUAUUGCUUCAAUCCAAACAGCAAAGGAUUUAGGCAGAAUAUGUUUUCUAACUAAAUAUCGGUAACAAUUCUUUUUUCGUUACAAAUUCGGUGACGAUGCUUCUAUUUUUAGAAGGAAUUAUGUUUGCACUAUAGAGAUGGUAUUCUUAGGGUUGGGGACCGGCCAGGCCAAGCUUUGACAGGCCUGAGUCUGACAAACGAUUUUUCUUCGAGCCUAAGUCUGGUCUACGGCCUAUCAAAUGUUAUUUUUUUUGGCCUGAUCUGAGCCUUUUUUUAUAGCCCGGCCUUGUAGCCUAUUUAAAAGUCUGUGUUACAUAAAGACCUCUAUAUAGUCUUUUUAAAUACAGGCCUUAAAGCCUAUUUCACAUUUAAAUUUUUAUAAUUUCUACAACAUUAAGAAAAAGCUAAUAAAAUGAUGGGGAAAUAGUCAUUUUCGUCCUUCAUUGUGCAACUUGCUAUCAAUCUGGUCCCUCAGUGAAGAAAAACUAAAAUAUAGUCCCUCAAUGUGCACUCCGUUAGUCAGUUUAGUCCCCGGCGUUACAUUUGGCCGUUAACUCAACAAAAAAGCUGAUGUGGCAUUUUUUUGGGCACACACCAGCUUGUUGAGUUAGCAAUAGUUUUACAAGUGGCUGAUGAUUUGGCAAAGGACGAAAAUGAUAGUAGAUACCAAAUUUUCCCAAUUUAAAUCCUUAAAUCCCAAACCACAUUGUUCCUUUUUCUUCUCUGUUGCUGCUGUUCUUCAUCUUCUUCCAUGUUUAUUGUUUUUGUUCUUCAAUUUGUUGUUGCCUUCCAUUAAUAGAGAGAAUCGAUCUACAUGAUGGGGGUGAUGUAAAUUCGUCACAACGUAGCAACACACCUUCUUCGCGAGCUGCAUUUCCUUCUUCCAUUAAGAUUUUUUAUGGUUGUGGUCGAAUUGCAGUUCAACGUGUUGCACAAACCCAGGCGAAUAUGGGUAGGGCAUUCUUCACAUGUGCAAUUAACAAGUUAAUUUUUACUUCUAUUCUUCACAUGUGUCAUUUUUAAUUCUUCAUAAUUCCAGGUUAAGGUGAUUUGGGUUUAUAAAAUUGAGAACAAAAACAAACUUCAUUGCUGGAUGAUUAUGGUUGUUGUGGAUACUUUGUAUGGGUUGACAAUUUGAUUGAAUGUCAUACAAAUUCAAGUGAUGAAGGAAUUGAAUCACUUGGCUUGCAUCAUGGAAGAGAGAUUGGGCGACAACAAGCAAUGGGUGGACAACUUUGGUCCCUUAUUGCCAACUCAACAAGCUGAUGUGUGCCCAAAAACUAACACAUCAGCUUUUUUGUUCAAUUAAUGGCCAAAUGUAACGCCAAAGACUAAAUUGACUAAUGGAAUGCACAUUGAGGGAUUAUAUUUUAGAUUUUCCUUAGUGAGGGACCAGAUUGACAGCGAAUUGCACAAUGAGGGACAAAAAUGACUAUUUCCCCUAAAAUGAUUAACACAAUAAUUAAAAGCUAAUAAAAUAACCUUAUACACUAUAACUUAUAAGUUAGCAAAACACUAGAUCAUCAAAUCCAGAUUCUUCAAGUGUAAGCAAAACAAAUCUAAAACCCAAGGUAUAAAGUCUAAUUUCUAAUUUCAUUUGUGAAUUGUGCUGUAAAAUAUUUUGUCUAAAUAAUAUAUUUUUUCUUUGUAAAAAAAAAAAUAUAUAUUUUCUCUAAUGUUUUGUAUUAUAUAAAUAAUAUUUUUUUACAAGAUAUAAAUAAUAAUAUUAUAUAAAUAUAAAUAUAAAUAAUAAUUAUUAAAUAUAAACAAGCCGGCUUAUCAGACUUUGUUAGCUUUUUUAGAAGUCUGAGUCUGACCUAUUUAUGUAAAUAGAUAGGAUCAUUUUAAAGCCUAAGCCUGACAUUUUUAAUAAACAGGUCAGGCCAGGCUUCAACAGGCCAGUCCGAAGGCCCCUGUAGGCCAGACGGCCUAUUCCCAACCCUAAUUAUUAUAGUUAUAUAUUCUUUUAGGCUUAAUUUUAGUUUUGAUCCUCUAUUUUUAUCAUUUUAUAGAAUUGGUCUCUCUAUUUUAAAAUUUGACAAUUUUGACCUAUCUUAAAUAUUUUGUCUAAAGGAAUUAAGUUUAUAAAGAAAUUUUCAUACGACUUCAUCAAUGUUAAUAUUUUCCCAUCAUCUGAUCAUAUACCACAUCAUUUAAAAUAUAUUACAUCGACAAUUUAUAGUUAAAAAAUAUGAUGGAAGGACUGAAAAUAUUAUAAUUUCUUUGCAUUUAUUUUUCUCUAUUAUAUGGUACCAAAGUUCGACUCAAGUAUUUUUCUCUUUCUCAUCAAUAUCAUUUAUAAAUUAACAAAUUUUGUUUUUUUCUCUAUUAAAAAAAAUUAUAUGUUUUCAUCCCAAAAACUUUCUUGUUUUGUUUUAGUUCUAAUGGACAAAAUUUUGAAAGAAAAAAAAAACAAAAUUUUGAUUUGUUUUUUUUAUAAUUUUUGAACAUGAUAUGACUUAUAUAGGUUUAACGUAAUAUAUAGAUGUAAAUUUAUAGACACAUCUUAGAACAUAAAAUAGAAUUGGUUAUUAGAGACGAAAAAUAAAGUAAGAAUUUUUUUAGGAUGAAAACAUGUGAUUUUUUUUUAGGAACGAAAAAUACAUUUAACCCUAAGCAUUUUAAGGUAGAAAACAUGUAAUAUUGGUGUAUUGGGAAGAAAAAUAUAUGGAGCACAGAAACAAAAAUCACACAGCAUAUAGGUAUACUUCAUUUAUCAAAUUCUGAAAAAUUUAUAUUAUUUUCCCAUUUGACAACAUACUUUAACAUUGAGAACGAUUGCUUGUGGAAUCACUAAAUCUUUUACAUUACAAAAUGAUCAACAUGCUCGAGCACCAAUAUGCAGAUGUGAAUUCUUAGGUAUCAUUUGACCUAACUUUUUUUUCUAUUCUUUUUCCUUAAAAGUAAGCUAGGUUAAACAACAAUUUUUAAAAGCUCUACUAAAAAAACAGCUAUAUUUUUUAAAAAAAUUAUAAUAUAUUAUAAAACAUAUCUUUUAACCUUACUAUAAUAAAAUAAAAAACAACUUUUAACCAACCUUUUUAUAUAUAAAAAAUAAAUAAAUAAGAUUUACCAAGUAACUUUAAUUUUAGUUUUAAAACUAUUAUUUCUAGUUUUAUAAUUAAAAGAGUUUCACACCUAAAAAAAAUUGGGUCAACGGUACCUGCAUUUUCUAAGUAUAAAUUUGCAUGUAAUAAUAUAAUUAAACAAACAGCAAGGAAUAAUAAUAUAAUAAAACAAACAAGGAAUAUAACAACAAAAUCUUUAAACAAAAAUGAUAUAUAACUGGCCAAUUCCAAAACAAUCAUACCAGAAAAAUUAGAUACAGUAGGAAACAAAAUUGGAAGAGAUUAAGAAAAAAGAAGUCAGUAUGGAGAAAACCUGAUUUAACCAAAGAACUCUGACGAAAAAAUAUCACAGAAACUACAAAGCAAAAGACUCUAAUUCAAAUUCAAACCAAAAUCCCUAAUGCCUCCCUCUAUCUACUAAGAAAAUCUCGUUGCCACUCAAUUACCGACAAAAAGAAGCACUUUACUGAGCCUUCACUGGCGGUUGACGAGCGACUUUUCCUCCUCCAUUCUGAUAACUCCUUGGUGCAGCAUCUCCAUUGCUUCGACCGGUAUUAUUGCCUCCUCUAGGCCGGCCAGAGAACUCGCCUCGCCUGUCAAAAUCAUUCCUUCCGUUAAAGCCACCACCACGGCCACCACCAAAGUUGCCACGGCCCCUGAAGUUAUCAUUUCUGUCAUUUCGGUAUCCACCACGUCCUGCAGAAUACAGACACAAUCACUCUAUUAGCUGCAACAAACAAUGUACAAGUAANNNNNNNNNNNNNNNNNNNNNNNNNNNNNNNNNNNNNNNNNNNNNNNNNNNNNNNNNNNNNNNNNNNNNNNNNNUCACACAGGAACACAAUUGUACAGCAAGAUCAACAAAAUAGACUUAAAAGGUUCAAAUUUAACAAGAGAAAUAAAUAUGGCACACUUGCCUCGCCUUUCUUCAAUGGAAAGCCUACGGUUGUCCAACAUAACAGGAGGGGAGGCCUGAAAUAAAACAUACAAUUUUUCAGAUGAAGCUAGCAGAAGGCUUCGUACACUUCUCACUUAUUGAAAAAAUAAGUUAAACAUUGAAACAUUUAAUAACAAAAUGCAAGAAAUGUCCCCUUGAUAUAUUUGGAAAAAGAAAAAAAAAACUCAAGAUUUAUAAAACCCAACCAACAUUCAAUUUAUGACCUUGCUGAUAAUGACUAUUAAUAGAAAUACUCCAUACCUCUAGGGCACUUUGCAGUGAAGCAGCAGAUUCAAAUUCCACAAAACCAAAGCAAGAUCCCUGUUGCUAAAGGAAAAAGUAUCCUAUCAGUAGCUGUAAGUCAAUGUGUGGUUAGUAAACUGGGUGUUGGAAAUGCUUAAAACAAACGAACCUUGUUACUUCUAACUUGAAUACCAUCACGUUUAAUGGUCCCGAAUUUCUUGAAAACCCGGUCCAAUUGCUCUACUGUUGCAGUCAUAGGCAAAUUCGCAACAAAUAUUGCAUGAGCCCUACCUGAGGAAAGAAUAAUUACAGAAGUUAUGACAGAACAUACCAUUUGAAUGAGACUCUUUAUACCGAAUUAUAUAAAUACUUAACCAUAGAGUCAUAAAAAGAGUAACAAUAAAAUUACCUCCAUUCUCAAUAUUCUUUUCCGAUGGAAUGUCCAUGUUAGGGGCUGGUGCUUCAGGAGCAGGCACGCUAUGUACACGGGGUGGUUGCACAGCGGGUUUUGCAGGAGAAGUCCUCGAAAGGAAGGGAGCAGAAUUAUCUUUAUAGGCACUCACCUGGAACAAAUAAUUGCAGAAAAUUUAUUGUAGGAUAACUAAAAAAUAAAGAUGCAAGUAAAUAAAUUAAUUAAUAAACAAAACUCACAAUGGAUGCAAAAGAUUUUUUGGGAGUAUCCUCCUGUGUAUUUGAAGGAACUUUCUCAAUGCUUGCCAUUUGUUCCUGAUGACUUGACUCUUUAACAUGAUUAACAGGAAUCACAUUUUCAGUAACUGAUAAUUUUCCAUUCUCCAGUGGUAAGCUCACUUCUUUGCUGAUGUUAGUGUCAGUAUCAGCAAUAACAGGUUGAAUGGUUGGAAUGUCUUCAGCAACAUGAAUAGGCUCUACAGUCAACAAUCAAAAGCAAAACUUUAAAACCCAAACUUCCAACAAUAAAAAGACUCGUAUAGUGGAAGAAAAAGAAACUAAAAUUCAAUGGGAGGAUAUAUUUAGCAUUAAAUAGCAUAAGGAAUCAAUAUUCAAAUGCAAGUAUCUGUAGUUCAGGCAUACAGCUUGAAGAAUCCCUAAUAACUGUCGUGUUUAUAAAUAUUAAUCUUGUGUGUGAUAAACUUGAGCAAUUCUAAACAUUCUUCUGUAGAAGACUCAAACUUUCUCUAAAAAGACUUGAAAACUAUCUCAUAUUAUUUCAUGUGAUUUACCAGGAUCUGGAGUAAAAGCUUCUGAUGGAGCACUUUCAUCAGCAUCAUUUGCUGGUACAGUCUCAAUAUCAACAGACUUAUACGCAUCAACAUAUCUAAAAACAUCAUUCAAAACAUAGAAGCCCUUGUCCUGUGGAGCUAGGAAAAAGGACUGAGCAAAUUUGCGUUUAACAUUGUCAGUUCCGGUCAAGCAGCCAGUCACUACAACCACAACCCCACUAUUAUAUGAAGGCUGAGCAUCAGCACUCAGAACCUCUACCCUAUAGCUUGUGUAAUCAAAAGAUUGUAUCUUUUUAUCAAUUUCCUGCAUCAAAUUAAAGAUCAUCGAAGUCAGACAGUGGUAAAUCAUGUGUCACAAUACACCAUAAUCAUACUCAAAAGCAAUAAAAAAUAGAACACCCAAAAUAUUGCAACACAUUAAGCUCGAUCAAACAUUAACUUGAACUGUAAACAGGGGAUUGAAAAUACAGCAUUCAUUAUUAAAUCCACAAAUGCCAAUCACAAAUCAUAAUAACUUUUGAUACUUUUAUUUUGCUUUGCAGAGAACAAAAUUACUCAACAGCCAGCCAACAUGAUAUUAAGUGAUUAAGAUUUAAGAGCAUGAUACAUACUAAUAAUAAUAAUAAUAAUAAUAAUAAAAAUAAAAAUAAUACAGAGGAUAUAUUUCACAUACGAACCAGUGUUAAGGUUUGACAACAGUGUAAAUCUGGCUACAUAUGAAUGAUAUCUAAUCUACAAUUUACUACAAAGAUAUGAAGCAUAUCCUGAUGCUGAUUAGGGUGCUUUCAAUAUAACAAAUAUAACGUAAUUAGGCAUGACUCAUUUUCUCAACAAAUAACAGCACAGCUAUUUUUUCAAUCAAAGAAAUACAAUUCACUGAUUCAGCAUUAACAACUGUUAAACAUGACCUAAAUCUACACUUAGAUAAUUGAACACAUCUAAAUUAUAACUAAUGAUUAAAGUUGAUUGUUUGAACUUACAGCAGUGGUAGUGACAGUUGUCAUGGUACCGUCUUCUUCAGGUCGACUCAAGACACUUGAUUCGUGGUAAAACUUAUGAACCUGAUCCGGGUCUUGGUGAAGAAUUGAGUAAUACUGCUCGACAAAAGCAUUGCCAACCACCUGAGGGGUUGGGGUUUGGACUCCAUCAGAUACUGCCAUCUCUACAACAUAACACACAAACAUAAGUUAGUAAUUUCAAAUCCAAAUUAAAGACACUCCUAUACACGACAAAAAUCCGAUCAUCAUUAACCCUAGAAACCACCGAUCAAAUAAAUGUAAACAAUUCAUAUGACCUAACCUAUUCAACGAAUACAAAAAUCGUAACUUUUAACAAUUAAAGCGAGUAUUUUUAUAAUGUUUGAUUGAAAAGCCCUAAAUCUGAAUAACAGAAUAACAACGAAACCCUAAUAAACAAUUAGAAAUCGGCGAAAUUGAAUAAUUAAAAAAGAAAAAAACACACACGUACAUGGAGAGAGAGAGAUCGAGAUCGAGAAUGGGAGAGAAAAGUAGUACGUACCUCCUUGGUGUGAUGGAGAGAUCAAAGAGAGAAAGAGAAAUGGGGAGGGAGAGUGAGUGAGUGAGAAUGCGUGCGGCUGAUGAGUGUAAGUACAAGAGAGAGUAUAUAUAGGAUCUGUUGUGAUGAGAGAGCAAGGGCAAAAUUAUUAUUAGCAAAAUAUUUAUACUCCAUUUUUUUUGUCAAAUACUCGAUUUAAUUAUUAUAAAUAAAUAUUCCAAUUUUUUUACUUUUAGUGAGCCAAACACAACAACACAUAACAACCCGGUUUAUUGUUCACACGUGAGAAUGGGAUGGAACCAGGCCAAUGUUUUGUUUGUUUUUUUUUUUGUUUGGUUCCUUCCUCUCUCUCUCACUCACUGCGGUUAUUAUGUUUCAUGUUUCAAAUAGUAUGGCAUCCAAUUUGGAUUUAAAACCAAAAUUCAUUCAUUAGAUCAGAAAUUAAGUGGUUUCAGCUCCCUCCUGAUCACAGUUGUGGGGGAUAGAACUGUGGUUUUCCCUACCAAGUUCAGCGUCAAUCACCACCGAUCGCAGUUGCGGGAGAUCAAACUGUGGUCCUCCCUACCAAGUUCAGAUUCAAUCACCACUAAACCAACUAACGAUUGAUUAUUACUAUUUUUUAUAUUUAUAAAAUUUUAUUUCGUUUCUUAAUUAGUAAGAACAUCGCAUUUUUUGCAUUUUAUAUAUAAGAAUGGAUCGGCAAUCGCAUUUAAUUAGUUGAUGACAAUUUAUAUAAAUAUAUAGUAUGUCAUGCAAUUCGAUCGAAAAAUGUAGACUUUUUGUUUAUACCAUAAGCUUUCGAUGGUCUCCACCAAGCUAGAUGUUUUGGUGGAUUGUAGUUUACUCAGGUCUGUGUGGAUUGUGUUUAUUUGUCGGCGUUUUCUUUUAGUUUGACAAGGGUCUGGUUCGACAAUAGUGUUUUCGGUGGGAGAUGUUUCUAUUCUACUUCACUUUGGUUAUAGUGUUUCGUUCUGGUUUUAGGUUCGAAUUUGGAGUAGGACGAGAGUGAGUCAUUGUAGAAUUUUAAAUUGUGUUGUUUGGGUUUGGAGCAGUAGUUUUGGUUGAGGUAAUGGAAUGAAUUAUGAGUGAUUGUGUAACAAAUAGAAACCUACGGUCUACAAACCACUAGUAUGCCUUACUUCUACGUAUGAAGCCUUUUUUUAAAACUAAGAUCUUACAUGUCAAAUUUAUUAUAUAUAGAAGUGUUUGUGUUUAUCGUCGAGAAUAACUAGUUGUACUCUGAGGGAGUUGCACAAUACUGCAGAUAAUUCUUUAGUUUAAUGUGACAACACGUCUCCGAUUAUUAAUUUUCAGUUAUCCACAACAACAAUCUAAAAGGAAUUAUGACCGAAGACGAAUUUGACUAUGGCAAAAUAACCCGCGGUUUCCACUUCUCACGUAGUUAUACCGACACGCCGACAAUGGUCACCUACCUCAAAUGUAGGUGUGGUGAUUUUAGAUUUCCCUUACUUUGUAAGACGUAAAACUGUGGGGGUUCGCCUGCUAAUAAAGGGACCAGAGGAUAGUGAUCGACUUGUUUGUAAAAAUAUGAAAAGAUAGUAAUCAAGAGAGAGGUAGAAAAUUAGAAGAAGGAUUGAGAAAAAAGAAUAAGAGUAUCUAAUAUUUGCAAAAAUAUAUGUUUGUCCGUUAUCUAUCUAUAAUUUUAUACUAUUGUGAGAUGGGGAGAGCAAUAAGGAGUCAAAGCAUGGUAUGCCUUAAAAGUAUCUGAAUCAAUAAGGUAAACUAUCUUCUACCACAAUUUCCUUAGAUAAUUUCUCUUUCAAAAAUCACAAUAAUUCAAACGAUAAACAAUUCAACAACCCUGUUCAAUUAAAGUCUUGGAGAAGCUACAUCCUACGUAAAACCAUGUCUUCGGAAGCUCACAAUGCUCCAGGGAGCGGGGAAGAGAAGNNNNNNNNNNNNNNNNNNNNNNNNNNNNNNNNNNNNNNNNNNNNNNNNNNNNNNNNNNNNNNNNNNNNNNNNNNNNNNNNNNNNNNNNNNNNNNNNNNNNNNNNNNNNNNNNNNNNNNNNNNNNNNNNNNNNNNNNNNNNNNNNNNNNNNNNNNNNNNNNNNNNNNNNNNNNNNNNNNNNNNNNNNNNNNNNNNNNNNNNNNNNNNNNNNNNNNNNNNNNNNNNNNNNNNNNNNNNNNNNNNNNNNNNNNNNNNNNNNNNNNNNNNNNNNNNNNNNNNNNNNNNNNNNNNNNNNNNNNNNNNNNNNNNNNNNNNNNNNNNNNNNNNNNNNNNNNNNNNNNNNNNNNNNNNNNNNNNNNNNNNNNNNNNNNNNNNNNNNNNNNNNNNNNNNNNNNNNNNNNNNNNNNNNNNNNNNNNNNNNNNNNNNNNNNNNNNNNNNNNNNNNNNNNNNNNNNNNNNNNNNNNNNNNNNNNNNNNNNNNNNNNNNNNNNNNNNNNNNNNNNNNNNNNNNNNNNNNNNNNNNNNNNNNNNNNNNNNNNNNNNNNNNNNNNNNNNNNNNNNNNNNNNNNNNNNNNNNNNNNNNNNNNNNNNNNNNNNNNNNNNNNNNNNNNNNNNNNNNNNNNNNNNNNNNNNNNNNNNNNNNNNNNNNNNNNNNNNNNNNNNNNNNNNNNNNNNNNNNNNNNNNNNNNNNNNNNNNNNNNNNNNNNNNNNNNNNNNNNNNNNNNNNNNNNNNNNNNNNNNNNNNNNNNNNNNNNNNNNNNNNNNNNNNNNNNNNNNNNNNNNNNNNNNNNNNNNNNNNNNNNNNNNNNNNNNNNNNNNNNNNNNNNNNNNNNNNNNNNNNNNNNNNNNNNNNNNNNNNNNNNNNNNNNNNNNNNNNNNNNNNNNNNNNNNNNNNNNNNNNNNNNNNNNNNNNNNNNNNNNNNNNNNNNNNNNNNNNNNNNNNNNNNNNNNNNNNNNNNNNNNNNNNNNNNNNNNNNNNNNNNNNNNNNNNNNNNNNNNNNNNNNNNNNNNNNNNNNNNNNNNNNNNNNNNNNNNNNNNNNNNNNNNNNNNNNNNNNNNNNNNNNNNNNNNNNNNNNNNNNNNNNNNNNNNNNNNNNNNNNNNNNNNNNNUCACAUACAAGAAAAGCUUGUUUCAUGUGCUCAUAUAAUUCUCUUACUUUACUAUAAUUAUUUUAAAUAUUAUAUGACAUAUAAUGGAAUGAAUUAUGAGUGAUUGUGUAACAAAUAGAAACGUACGGUCUACAAACCACACUAGUAUGCCUUACUUCUACGCAUGAAGCCUUUUUUGAAAACUAAGAUCUUACAUCAUCAAAUUUAUUAUAUAUAUAGAAGUGUUUGUGUCUGAGUCAUCUAGAUAUGUUUAUCGUCGAGAAUAACUAGUUGUACUCUGAGGGAGUUACACAAUAUUGCAGAUAAUUCUUUAGUUUAAUGUGACAACACGUCUCCGAUUAUUAAUUUUCAGUCAUCCACAACAACAAUCUAAGGAAUUAUGACUGAAGACGAUUCUGACUAUGGCAAAAUAACCCGCAGUUUUCCACUUCUCACGUAGUUAUACCGACACCCCAACAAUGGUCACCUACCUCAAAUGUAGGUGUGGUGAUUUUAGAUUUCCCUUACUUUGUAAGACGUAAAACUGUGGGGGUUCGCCUGCUAAUAAAGGGACCAGAGCACAGUGAUCGACUUNNNNNNNNNNNNNNNNNNNNNNNNNNNNNNNNNNNNNNNNNNNNNNNNNNNNNNNNNNUAAUCAAGAGAGAGGUAGAAAAUUAGAAGAAGGAUUGAGAAAAAAGAAUAAGAGUAUCUAAUAUUUGCAAAAAUAUAUGUUUGUCCGUUAUCUAUAAUCUUAUACUAUUGUGAGAUGGGGAGAGCAAUAAGGAGUCAAAGCAUGGUAUGCCUUAAAAGUAUCUGAAUCAAUAAGGUAAACUAUCUUCGACCACAAUUUCCUUAGAUAAUUUCUCUUUCAAAAAUCACUAUAAUUCAAACGAUAAACAAUUCAACAACCCUGUUCAAUUAAAGUCUUGGAGAAGCUACAUCCUACGUAAAACCAUGUCUUCGGAAGCUCACAAUGCUCCAGGGAGCGGGGAANNNNNNNNNNNNNNNNNNNNNNNNNNNNNNNNNNNNNAUGGCGAGCGCAAAGAUUGUAGCAGAGGCAGCUCAGUCAGGUUUCGGGAAAGGAGCUGAUGGGAAGGAUGUAGACAAAGGGAAGGUGGCAUCUGCUGCAGGGGAUCUUCUAGACGCAGUCGGUCAAUAUGCUAAAUUAGAUGAUCAGAAGGGGUUAGGACAAUAUGUUGAUAAGGCUGCUGAUUAUCUGCAU
RNAcentral lists this long non-coding RNA (130980 nucleotides) under Trifolium pratense (red clover). RNAcentral describes it as "long non-coding RNA (TPRA_LNC001093)". The stretch from base 56527 to 56598 matches the Rfam family "tRNA". The record is from RNAcentral. Lineage: Eukaryota; Viridiplantae; Streptophyta; Magnoliopsida; Fabales; Fabaceae.